Molecule: long non-coding RNA, 173027 nt
Filed under: Ananas comosus (pineapple)
Lineage: Eukaryota; Viridiplantae; Streptophyta; Magnoliopsida; Poales; Bromeliaceae
Description: long non-coding RNA (ACOM_LNC024658)
Source: RNAcentral
AACCGACUGUAGGAAAUGUCAAAUCUGACCCAAUCCAAUUGGGACUGUAAACAUACCCGUCCCUGGGACUGUGAACACACCCGUCCCUGCCCCGUUGCGACUGUCCAGCUACCUCCACACCAACUGGUCCGUGGAGAGCAAGUCCAACUGGCAUGAGCGACACCAACGCAAAAGCACAAGCCUGACUCCGGAGUGGCACUCGUGGGCGCUACCCAACCGAGUAUGCAACGUAUCUCUGUCGAGCUCAAUCAGGCUCCAACUAGCCAAAGUCAAGUAAUCGACUCAAAAUGGUCUAACAACCAACAAGUAACGUGCCCUCGGCACAAUCCGACGCCAAAAAAAGCGAUACGGGUCCACCGUCAACUCUGACAGCACCCAACAGUCCGAAACGACCUGAACGACCCUGUAAAAAUCCACUCGGCAAACCAGCACGAGUGUAAAUACAUUCUAAACUACCUGGAGUACUCGUCUCGAAGAAACUGCGACAGUACAAUUUUCUAACGGCUCCUAGAGCUAAAUCAGGUAGUUAAAACUGGUGACAGGUCCAAAUCGCAGGUUUUCUCCUAAUUCAAAUUCCAAGUCCAACAUGUAUAAACUACUCAAUUUAAUACCACAUGCUCCAAAUUCAGAUUUGCUAUCUAUAACAAAAUCCAUGAAUUCGAGCUAAAGUAAACUAUACAAAAUCUGAAAUUACACAUGUUGACUAUUGCGCACUUAGGAGUAUAAGCCGAUGAUUAACCCACCUCGCUCGCUAAUCCCUGGCAGCACGGAACUCCCCUCGGCUGCGGAACAACCUGCCAAAACGUCCGAAAACCUCCCAAGGCCCGAAGUCAAGCUCCCGCCAAACUCUGCACGGAGAAUCCGACAAUAAGCAUUAAUUCUGCCUCAAAAACAGCAACAGAGAAGAGCGAAAUUCCGACCUAGCAAACCUUUACCAAAUCCAGCAAGUAAGGGCUUCGUGGAUUCCUCUCGAAGUCCCGAAUCCAACGAACCAAGUCUUGUCGAAAUCCGACGCUCCUACGCCGAGUACGAACUGAAAUACCGAUGGUCGACGCUGGAAUUUCUACAAAUCAGCACCAAGCUCGAAAUGACAAUACUUGAAGCAAUGCAACGGAACACUCACCUCAAAGGCUAAUCGGACAUCGACGCGGCGUCGAGAACGACGAAAACACGCCCUCGCCUAAGCUCCCUGCGACGCUACGACUGCAACCGUACCCUCGAACGGCUCCGCGGUGCGUCGUUGGUGUCGAAAUCGGCUCGCGGCAACUCCCCGAGCUCGUCGUUGCUUCGGCCGAAACGAAAGAGAGAAUUAAUUACUGAAGUGCAUGCACACCCUCUGUACUUAAGUUGAUAGGUAUGCAUGGGAGAGGGGGAAGGAAAUUGAUGCACGUGGCAUCCUUAUCCCCCAAAGGCACAUCCAUCUUAUACCAAUUAAAAAUAAAAUAAUAAUAAUAAUAAUAAUAAAAAUAAUAAAAAUAAGGAUACUACAAUGCAGCUUUUGAUUCUUAUUAUUUCAUGCUUUUUAACAUGUUGUUAUUUGAUACUGGUAAAUCCUUUUCGUCCUUCCAUGAAUGGUCUCUGAAUACGACCUCCUCCACACGCCGCUUGGGCUGCGGACACUCGGCGGCCUCCGGCUCAACACUCACAUUGGCAUGGUUUGCGGGGAUCGGCUCGAUGCAACUGUACAACCUCAUGAAGGACGUCGCGACAGCGGAGAUCUUGAAGGUGCAAAAUUGGUAGUGGAUCAGAUAUCGAGCCGACGUAGGUGUGGACCGUCACCACUUUGUCAAAAUGCUAGGCUCCUUUGCCGCCUUCUAUACCGCGCUCUUGAGGCUUCGAUGGAUGUUGUGACUCUUUGAAGCCCUCAGCAACGAAGUUCUUCUCCAAACUCCAAGGUAAUUGCUCCUUGCCCAUUUCUCUCUCUUUAGAUCUGCAUUUAUUUAGAUCUAUAUUAUGAUAUGUUUGAGUCAAUUGAGAUUUCUAGACUCGGGUAUUAGAUUUUCUAUUAUGAUUUAUAUUUGAUUUGUCGCUAAGGUUUCAUGUUUGGUAUUCCAAUGAGGUUAGAUGACAUUUCUUACAACGCUUCAAGGUUGACAAUUCGACCUAACUCGAGGGAAAUUUUUUACAGUGUAUCACGGCGGCUCUGAAAUGUUACAAGAUGGUGCUCUGCAUGCCAUCGUACAUGAGCCUCGAGAGGAGGGUCAUCAUGAGGGUGUAUGGGGUAAAUUUAGUGCUGACUGACCCUACCAAAAGGAUGGGCGGAACCGUGAAGAAAGCAUAUGAACUUAUGGAAUCCUAUCCCGAUGCCUUCAUGCUUUAACAGUUUGAGAAUUGCAAAUGAUAAGGUAGCUUUAUAAUAAACAAGCUGGCUUAAACUUGAUCUUACAAGUUUAAUAGCUAAGAGAUUUAUCUUUAUAUGAUUUUGAUUAAGAGUUUAUCAAAGGUAGGUUGAGUUUUAAUUUGAAAAUAGCUUAUAGAUAUUCAAAUAGAGGACAAAUUGAGCUAUGAAGAUAAAUUGCUCAUAAGAAAUCUUUGACUCACCAUAGAAGAAAAAUAGGAAUAAGGAAAUUUCAUGAAUAAAUUUUAUAAUUAUGUAGAGUAUUGCAUGUUCCUUAUUAUUAUUAGAAUGCAUCAAUAUAUUCUUUUCUUUUCUUUUUCGAGCCUUUUUUUUUAAAAUUUUUUGGAUCCUUAAUUUUGUCUUUUUAAUGUAAUCUUCCAACUAAACAUUUUGAAAUUUUAUGUCUUCAGUCUAUCAAGCAUUCCAAAUUUACCCUGAAUUCUAACUUGAAACUAUAACUUGAUUUUUUUAAUGGCUAGAAUUACUAAUUAUUCAUUUUUUUCCUCUCACUGUAUUUUGUUUUCACACUUAUACUAACUUUUUUGAAGAGAAGUUGUUCAUGACCAAAGAUGAUCUUGAGAUAGUCUGGAGCAAGAAUGGGCUCCAGCAGAGGAUUCUUGAGGUGGGAUACAAGUCAACUUCCUUUUGAUGGUAUGUUUAUUUUAUUUUAUUUUAAUUUUGUAUUUGAAACAACUUCUCUACUUGAGAAAGAAAAACAAAUUAAGGACUAUCUCCAUGUUUGUAAGGACUGAAAUUUUGACAGUGUAACUAAACUCUCUGUUGACGAUGUUUAUGUGUGUAAUUUAAUUACAUAAGCACUCGUCAAGUUUCAGGAGAAACUGAGCUAAAACGAAGAAGUUACGCGAUUAUUAGUUUUCACUUAAGUGAAUAGUAACUCCGAUUUUUCGGUGAAGCCACGGAGUAGAAUUGGCUUUCGGCGCGUAUCGGACUCCGAACAUAGGACUCCAAUAGCUCGUUUCGAACGGUUCAGCUAUUCUAGAACUACUGGCGCUGACGGAUUUUGAGUUUGAUGCACGAAUUUCGAGAAAAUCCGAAAAUACAUGUUUUAUAUGUAUUUAUGUGUUAUUCCUUCUAUUGGAAAGAAAGUUUGGAUUUUGUCGUGAAUCCGUGGUCGAUCGUGGUGAAACAAAAUCGUAGCUUUGUUGUCUCCGAGGUGCUGAUCGCACUGGUGCAAUCCGUUCGCAAAUCUGACGGACGGAUCUGCGGAGAUCGCACGUUGAUCGAGGAGAGGUCGGUGUUGGAAAAUGGGUAAUUUCGCAAAAAGUGCGAUAUUUUAUGUGCCUUUUCGCGUGAAUUUGUUUGUGAAGGUGUAUUCGCGCAUAUUUCACGCGUUGUGAAGGGCUGGGAUAGAAAUUUUCUUAUUAGAGGGGCUAAAUUGCAUAUUGCCACAUAUAUAUAUGUGUGUUGGAACCUAGGGCUUCGUGGAAACCCUAACCCUAGCCCUCCCUGUGCACCAGCCGCCUAGGAGGCCCCCUGCCCACGCCGUGCUUGCACCCCGGCGGCCGGCAGCCGCCGCCGUCGCCGGAAAAGGCUUCCCCAAGCUCCAACCUUCCUCCCUCUCCCUCCACCUUGGCCGAGGAAGUUCCAAGCACCAUCCUGAGCCGGCCAGGCCUCGGGUGAGGUGAGCCCCGACCCAGGCACCCCCACCGGCACCGUCACCGCCGACCCCCACCGUCGCCGUGCGCCGCCGGAGCCGCCUGCGGCCCCAGGGACACCACCCAGGCCGAAGCUGGGUGGCUCGGGUGUGUGAGCCCUGCCGCCGUUUCCCGACGGCCGCGGAGGUCUCCACCGACCGUCCGGCGACCACCGCGCCCGACCCCGGCCACCCUCGAGGGCCGCCGGCCGCCGCAGGAGCCCCCUGCCGCCGCCUUUGUGCUGUAGGGGCCGAACGCGGGCCGCCUUCACUCCCGGGCAUCGCCGCCACCCGCCGACGCAAGCUCGGCCACCGCCUCGACCCCCGGCAUCGUCCCCGACCGGCCCCGACCAGCCCCGGCCGCCGCGUCGCCGCCGGCAACUGUUGGAAAGCACCAAACCGCAAGGGAGUUGGCGGCUCCGUACGCCGCCGCCGCACCUCCGGCCGCCCUGCGCCGCCUGACGUGGAGUGCCCCGGAGCCCCGCCAUCUGGUGCACCCAUCCCCGGCCGGACCACCCACCGGAAUACCGCCGGCGGCCAACCCUAGCUUCCCUCUCACUGUGAGUGUCCAUUUAUGCAGCCAGCACUGUUUUCCCACUUUCCGGUAACUAUUCCGGCAAUCCGAAUGGUCUUUUUGACCUCGGGAAGUGAGCACGAUGAUCCUUAGGUCGUGCUGAACAUCGUGCUCACUCCCGUCGAGCCCUGCGAUGCCUUGGUUGCUUGGGCAACCGCGAUCUUCCUGCGGUGCGCGCUGCUUCGCUGACCUUCGCGUCGCUUGUGCGCGCACCGCAGUCGCCGAAUGUGCUCCGAAUGGUGAGCACGGUCUCCGGCACGCUGAAACCUAUCAGCGGGUGCGACGGUUGACCCAGCGAACCUCGUAUCGCAAAAUUGGGCCAUAAAACUGCCGGAAAUCGCAUAAAAUGAUAGAUUUUAGGGUUCUUGAUGUGCUUCCUUGCAAAUAACUUCAACUCGGUCGCUGUGGACAACGUGUAAAUGCUGAGGGUAACCUCUGGACUAAUCGUCCAAGGCCCCAAGCCACUGCGGAGAUCGAAAAGCCUUGUUUGGGGCGUUUCACGGCGAAAUUCUUCGACGGAACGCGAUCUUAGUUCGGUUUUUAUCCGACGGUGCCUCGGGAUCAGUUGUGAUGUCGCUAAGCCUUCUUGGCAGGUCACCCGUGUCGUUUCGAGGGGUUCGAAAACGACGGGUGAGCGACUGGUGGGUCCUGGUGUCAAAAACGACACUUUCGGGAACCCGGUUCGAGACGUUUAGUCAACAAUGUUUGUUCCGCAGGCGAAGUGUUGGUCUUUGUGCCAAUGUGCUGAUGGGUUAUUAUAGAGUAUUAGUGGACGGUUGACUCCUCAGUGGAGUUGGGAGUUCCGGGACAGUUAGUGGUCCGGCGCAGUCCCGUGGUGCGAUUUUCGGAAUUCCGGCGAAGUUACGGUAUUCGGGUGUUUGGGAAUCGAUCUCGUGCGGAUUUGUUUGUGGUUAUGCUUUAAGGGUUUCUUAGCUGUGGGUUAGACACUGACCAGUGGACCUUCUUAGGUCUGAGUUGACGUUUCUUUUGCAGUCAGUGAGCAGGCCGACAGUUUGUAUCAGGUGGGGUUUCGAUCGACGAUCGGUACAGUGGUGCACGCUCGGUGAUCGUUUCACUUUACCCCUUGGUUGUUUAUAUCUUUUACCAUAUAUAUGUGAGCCUUUGCACCAUACUGUUUCCUUAUUACUGGACUUAGUUGUUGCCAGUGAUGUAGUAUUGUGUAGGGAGUAGAGUAGACUUUAUUGUAUAUGAUCUUGUGACCUGGCUAGUGGUUUCUUGUACUUCUUAUCAGUGACCUGGCUUGGUCGAGUUUAUCCUAUUAAUUACGACCUGAUUGCGCUCGAUUUGUUUACAUGGUAACCCAUUACAGUCGAUGGUUGCCCUGGGCGGGGCAGGAUUGUCGGACCGUUGCCGACGGUUGAUAUUGAGCAUUAUGCAUUGAUUGCCGAUACUCGUCGCAUUUCACCGAACACCUGGCCGUCUGAUCCACCGCAAGGAGUGUUCUUUUCGAAAAGUGGUUAAUGGUACAACCGUGAGCCCUAGAGGGGGGUUAUAUGCAGUUGAACGGCAGCGUACUGUCGGGAAGGUGUAAUGCGUUGCGGACCUCCAGGCCAUUGGCUUGAGGUUGCGGUGCUGACCAAGAGAGCAUUGAGUUUCAAUUUGGGACUUUUGGUAUUCUUGACCGUUGAUUCGCAGUAUAUGUAUACGUAGCAGUCAUUUGCAUGUCAUACUUAAACCAGUUCCUUACUUUAUAGUUGUUCUUUGCUGCUAUACGUAGAUUUCAUUAUGCGUUUCAGUUCUCAGUUACAGUAUGCGGUACGCGUUAUUUUGUCGUCUAGUCUUACUUUCUUUCAGUUUAUUGUAUGUAUUCCGGUAUACUCUGCUCUGUUUACUCUUAUAUUGUUGCUACUAUCAUUUCCACUGACCAUUUUGUUAUUCUAGCUUCUUCCUCGAUCCCGAGUGAGUCAUCCUCGCCUUCUCGGCUUACGGUACCCACUGGGAGGCGGAGACAUGUUUAAUUUCUCAGCCUCCCACCAUCUUUUCAGUAUCGGGGCGGUAAUAGGUCGGAUGAACGUGAGGUACGUGUGUAGCGGUCGAUAGAGCUUCCGACCCAGGUUAUUUCGGUAUAGUUAUUACCCUUAUUGUUUCAGUUGUUAUAGCUUAGAUAGUUAUAUGGUUCAGUAUUUUUAUUACAUUUGAAAAUAUGAAUUUUCGUAAAUGUAAUAAACGGAUUUCUGGAUUUUGUAAAAUAAAAGGUUUUCUACCCCUCGUGGUAGCGUUUUUAAAGAAUAAAGGUUUCCGUGUAGGAAACAGUUUUCAAAAGGUUUUCUGUGGAUUUUGCAUCUUAGUAUUUCAAAAUCUGUUUCUGUAGUUGGAAACAUUUUAACUGAUAGAUGUGGAUUUAUGUUUACAUAUCGAAUAUAUAAAUGUGAACCUGUAAUGUGAAUGGUAUAUGAAUAUAUAAUUGUUGGUUUUGUAUGUUCAUUUGGUUGUGGUUGUACCUGGGUUACUUCUUGUAUUUGUGUGACGCCGUGCGAAUACAGGGGAGACGCUGUCCGUGUGAACAGUGGAUUCCCUGUGUUUGUGGCGGAUCUGACAUACUCUGGGGUCAGGCUUUUCAAAAAAAAAAAAAAAAAAAAAUUUAGACGCUUUUUCCGCUGUGUUCAAAUAAAAAGGGACCCCGGGGCGUGACAAUGUUCUAGGUUUCGAAAGCUGUAGGUCUAAUUUGAAUUAAUUUUUACAUACCUAUCAAUAAAGGUUUUGAUCAAGAAGGAGAAUUGCAAACCUUUGAAGCUUAAUUGAGAUUUCCUAACUCUCAAUCUUAACAAUAUAGUUUCUGAAGGUUAUGAUUAACAAAACAACUUUGUUUAUUUUAGUAUGAUUAAUGAUAAUUCGAAUUUGAUUUGUUUUUUGACAGUUCAAUUCUGAAUUAGUUCUCGACCAUGUGCUUAUAGGGGAAAAAAGUUAAUUUGUUUACUUAGAAAAGAAAACUUUCUAAAUUAGAGUAAUUUCCAUUGCCUUCCCAGAAAAAAUAUAAGAUUAAUAUCUAUUGAGAGUACUAUUAAUGAUAAGAACUUUCAUAUCAAAUAUUGUAUGUAGACAAUAGUUUUCCCCUUCUUUUCUUCUGAAGUACUAUAUAGGCAUCAAUUUUCAUUCUCUUCCAUCUUUAUUGAUCUCUUGCUCUAGCUCAACACACUUGCUAUUUCUAUUCACCGUUAUUGAUCUCUUGAUGCUCUUGGUGUUCGAUGAAACGACUUCUUUCAAUGGUGAGUUGAAAAAUUAGGUGUUAAUAUUCAUUAUCUUAUAAAUCAUGAUGAUUGUAAGGCUUCACAUAAUUUUCGAAAGGUGAUAAAUUUUCUAUAAUAUUUUCUCAUUGCUGUUUUCUUUCCAUUUAUUUUCCUAAUGUUUAUCUUUUAAAUGUGCAUUACAUAUUUAUAAUCCUAUCUUUUUAUCUCAUGUGUAAUGUGAGUAGGAACCUCGAUUAGUCUUGAUUUAAAUGGCAAUACAAUCUUAACUUAUUUGAUCUCAUAGGUCAAUUUGUUUAAUUUAAGUGCCUUUUACAAGUGAUCUAUUAUACUUUGCUUUAGCCUAUGUCGUUGCUGACUGCUUCCUACAUUUUGCUCGCUCCUUUAUCUCUUUUAUUUAUUAAAUAAAGAAUAGUAAUGAAGCCAUCACCAUCCUUUUUAGGGACUAAUACAUUGGUGGAUUUAACAUAUUGCAUAACGAAUUUCUGAUAGAGAUUUCUCUCUUCACUUCUAGCUGUUAUUAAGUCUCUACGGAAGUCUUGAAGUCAUCCAUUUUGGCUCCAAAGAGGUGUUGUCUUCUUUCUCUGAUUCUAUUACUAAAAAGGUUGAUUAUGAUGUAGACGGAAUUCUUUUACAAGAAGCAUGCAUUUGUGGUAUGAAAAGUAGUCAUCUUGCUUACAUUUUAAUCUGUGUAGAGCAAGAAAGUUUAUAUUUUUACUCUCUAAAAGAUUUAGCUAUUAGAGAACGAUAUUUUUAUAUUUUUAUGUUCAAAACUUUUCCCUCAUGUCUAGACUCGAUACAUUUUAAUAAGCCCAAUAUGUAGGCUUAAUUAAAUUGGAGAAAUAAAUAAUGCUAGAAGUCUGGUGGGAUUCAAAUUCAGGAUCUUAUGCUCUAAUAUCAUAUUAAAUAAUGCAAAACAAUCAUUAUUCUAGAAAAUAAAAGCUUAAGCUAUUAGAGAAAGGUAUUUUUACAUUUUUAUGUUCAACACUUUGCUUUUUUUCUUUGUUAGUAUGUUGCAUUCAGUGACCAGUUAGUUGCAGUUUGGAUUUCUUUAUCUAUCGUGUAAUGUGAGCCAAACUAUUAGCUGCUUUGUUCCUUUAUUGUUGUAUAAAAUAGUAUGUAGAUUGUAAUAUAAAUAUAUCUACUUAAAAGAAAGAAAAUAAUAAUUUUGCUUACGCCAUGUUUUCCAUGAUUUGUUCUAUACUAGAAGAACGAAAGCUUUUAUUGUAGAAAUUGCUUUCAAGUUUUGUUGAAAAUUUGUUGACCAAAUAUGUGGAUUAUGCUGAAAAUCUAGUCUCUUUUUCUUUAAAAAAAGUUACACAUACAUUUCAUGUUUUUUUUUAUAUUCUUUUGUUUUUUACUUUUUUAUGUUGUUGUGGGAUAAUUUUUGAUUUUUUUUGUUGACUGAACUCUUUGAACUCAUCUUCGAGAAAUUUGAGACAGUUUACAUUUUUAUAUAUGAUUCCUAUAUGUAGGGUUUUAUCCUGAACAUUCCAAGUUUGAGAGAGGAGGCCAAUUCAGAAGCGUCUGCUUGGUGGGGCUCCUCGUAAAUUGGCGCUGAUUAUCUUGAACUCUAGCAGCUACUUCUAGGAAAGCUUUUAUAAUUUUUUGUUAUCUUGCAGUCCAUAUUGUUUUUUUUAUGAACUGUAAGAUAAUAUUUUAAGCUCUCAAAAUAUAUGCUUAAAUAUGUCAUUCUCUACUCAUUUUGUUUGAGACCAUAUUUUAUUUCUUUUUUUUCUCAUAAAUAAUUAUUUAUUUUCUCUUGUUGAUUAAUUUUCUAUUUCUGUUUUGAGAUUAACGUACGGCGCAUUUUGGCGAGAAACAUCUUGCUUAGCAGUAUCAAUACGAUAAAAAAUAAAAUAAUUUGGUAAAAAAAACUUAUGUUUAGAGCAUGAGUUAUCCCUUGCUUCCAAAAGUGGCUUUGAAGUGAACAAAUUAAAUUAUUUUUACAAAAAGGGGUUCUAGCUUUCUAGAUGCUUUUAGAUUAUGUAGGAUUCCACGAUUAUAAAUUUUGGCUCAUUUAUUGGUUAGUUGGUUGUUAUUUGUAAUAUCUAAGUCCGAAAUUUUGCAACUAUUGUUGCGAAUGUUAUUUUGUGCAUAGAAAUGAUAGAAUAUGCUUUUUGGUAUUUCUUCAUUUUAUGUCAUAUAUAUUAUGAUUCGUAUAUUUUAGAAUUCAACUUUUUCAAACUGUAUAUAAUAUUUUUACUCAGAAGCGCAAUAAUUAUAUUUAUGCACGAAUUAUAGUAACACUAUCUACUUGCAGAGGUAACUGAUACUUCUUCAUAAGCAAUAUAUAAAUAUAGGAAUGGGACAAAUACUUAGGGUGUAAUGUGGGCCGCGUAGCGCCGCACGAAUCACAUUCAGGAUUUUCUAUCGGCAAUAUGUACACACAAUUUUUAUUUUUUAAAGUUCGAUAAAAAUUUAAAAUAAUUAAAAUGGCCAAAAUAUAUACUUUCUUAUAACCAGAUUUUAUUUAUUUAUUUAUUUUUUCUGUGCAGAGAUAUUUGAGUCUAAAACUCCAAAAAUAUUUCCUCCUGAGUCUUUACGAGAUGGGCUCGGCCCAAUAGAGAGGAAAGGCCAGUUUUUGCUUAAAAAGAAAUUUUUUUAAAAUUUCUUUUUAAGUUGUGAUAUUUUAUUAUUCACAUAUUUUUACUUCAACAAUACCUACCCAUCGCAUCGCACGGGUUUCUACACUAGUUAAUUAUAAGUUAUUGAAUAGAGAGGAGGGGAGGGGAAAAGCCAAAUUAAAGAUCAAUUCAAAAAAAAAUGGUUAGUGAGGAUGGAGGAAAACUUGCCAUGUGGCAAAAUUAUUGGAAAUUCAUAUCGGUUAAUAGAUGACGCUUUCCCUUCCUUCCACUAUACUUUCAAUUAAUGCAAACGGUCCCACUACCAAACUUCUAAUUAGUAUAUUUAAAUAGUUCCACUACCAUCUACAAUCAUAACUCUCUCUCUCCAAUUAUUCAUUAUGGCCCUUUUCCUUCCCUGACUUUCAAUUCUUUAUCUCCAAUCUAUUCAUCAAUUCACUAUCUCUCAUUUUUUGCUAUACACCAUCACCCCCUUCUGUUGCUCCCUCCCUCUCUCUCACUAAUGCGCGCCCACUUCCCGCUUGCACCGCUGUCGAAGGAAUCAUCGUCGUCGUCACUAUCAUCAUUGCGGAGAAGGUAUCGUCGGGCCUAUAUCUGCCACCAACAAUAAGAGAUCUUUGGUGGAUGUAGUAAGUAAGAUACACAAGAGAAUGUUUAAUAUUUUCUUAUUAUUAAUUAUUACUACGGUUUCUACCCGCCGCAAAGCCCGGACCCCUUCACUAAUGUAUAUAUAUAAAGACAGAGAGAGCUGGGCUCCUGUGAUAUCUGUAGUACUAGAAUUUCAGUACUAUAGUUUUGUUUUCGAUCUUAGGGUGUGUUCAAAUCAAUGAUCCACACCGUUAAAACUAAUCUAGAAUAUUUAAAAAUUUUUAGAAAUAAAAUUUUAUAUUUUUUUGACAUAAUUUACUUUAUUAGCAAAUCAUUUCAAAUUGUCAAUUUUCAAUGGCUACUAUAGUAAGUUUAUAGUUUAAAGGUGUAGAAGAAUCUAAACUUAUUCAAAUUUUGAUAGAAAAUACUUUAAACUAUCUAGAUCAAAAUUAUCAUCUUUGAUCUUGAAUUCAAAAGUUCUAUCUUCAAAUUUAAAAUUUGUUCAAUUUUCAUCGUUAAUUUUGACAUGAUUUACUUACUAAAUAACGAUGUCAAAAAAAAUUAAAAUUUUAUUUCUAUGAACUUCAUAUAACCUAGAUUGUAUUUAACGAUGUGGGUCAUUGAUUUGAACAUCUCCUGUGCUUUUUAAAGCGACAAGUUAUUGGUGCUUAAAGGUUUACGGUCCUUCGACGAAGAUUUGUUGGAUUAGAAUAGUGGUCCUUAGAGUUGAGUGGGUGGUUGGUGGAAUAGCAUAAUCUAAGGGAUGAAAUUGGUUAAAGGGAUAAGAUCUAAUAUAGAAAAACUUACACGCACCAAGUGCAUGGUGCUAACCGGACUCUCUCUCUCUCGCUAUAUAUAUAUAUAGAAUUGAGCUCUUAUACUUUUAAAAACACCAAGUCCUUGGUGCUUGUAAGUUUUCGACCCUAAUGAAGAUUUAUAGGGUUAGGAUAAUAAUAGUUCCCUAAGGUUGAGUGGGUAGUUGGUGGAGUAGCAUAAUCUAAGAGGUAAAAUUGGUCAAAGGGACAGAUCUAAUGGUGAAAAACUUACAAGAACAAAGUAAUUGGUGCUUGUAUAAGCACCAUAUUCACACACACACACACACACACACACUCUUGCUAUAUAUAUAUAUAUAUAUAUAUAGAGAGAGAGAGAGAGAGAGAGAGAGAGAGAGAGAGAGAGAGAAAGUCCGGCUGGGAUACUAUCGAUAGCAUGAAGCAUUUCGUGCUAUCAAGUUUUCUGCCGUUAUCAUUUUCAUCCGUUCGAUGAUACUAUUCAACCAACCAUCCACUCAACCAUAAAGGGCCUACAUCAUCCUAACCGCACAUCUUUUCAUUCAAGGGCAGAAAACUUAAUAGCACUAAGUCAUUGGUGCUAUUAAUAGUAUUCCAGUCUAGUUUUAUAUAUAUAUAUAUAUAUAUAUAUAUAUAUAUAUAUAAACACUUGGUGCUACCAAGUUCUCUGUCAUUAGAUCUACUCUUNUAGUAUUCCAGUCUAGUUUUAUAUAUAUAUAUAUAUAUAUAUAUAUAUAUAUAUAUAAACACUUGGUGCUACCAAGUUCUCUGUCAUUAGAUCUACUCUUUUGACCAUUCCCACCCGUUAGAUCAUAUUAUUCAAUCAACCACCCACUCAACCCUACGGGACCACUAUUAUUCUAACCGCACAUCCCUUAAUCCAAAGGUCGAAAACCUAAUAGAACCAAUGACUUGGUGCUUUUCCAGCCUAGUUUUAUAUAUAUAGAGAGAGAGAGAGAGAAAGAUUUGAGCUGGAAUACUAUCAGUAGCAAAUAGACUAUAUUGCCACCCAUUUGUUUUUAAUGAUGGAGCCUCCAAAUCGACGAUCGAUACCGUUGAAAAUGAUCUAUACCACUUGAAGUAUCUAGAAAUAAAAUUUCAUAUUUUUUCGAUAUUGUUCUCUUGUCCAUCAAAUGGACGUAAAAAUGAACAGCUGAAAAUGAAUAUUCUCUAAAAACUGAUAAUAGAAAUUUUAUAACCAAGAUCGACAGUAUAGAUCUUGUUCUAAAUAGUUUAAGAAAUUUUCUAACCAAAAUUCAAUUGAUUUAGAUUGCUUUACACUGUUAAACGAGAAAACGCUUCAUAUCUACCAUUAAAAUUACAAAUUUUAAAAUCCUUUGAUCAUUAGGUCAAUGAUGUCGAAAAGAUUUAAAAUUUAGUUUAUAGAUAUUUCAAGUGGUAUAGAUCUUAUUCAACGGUGCCGAUCGUCGAUUUGGAGGCUCUAUUAUCGAAAACAAAUGAGUGACAACGGAGCCCGUUUGCUACCGAUAGCAUUCCAGUCUCUCUCUCUCUCUAUAGAGAGUCAGGCUGCUAUGCUAUUAAUAGCACAGCCUGACUCAUGCUAGUGAGUUUUUAACCACUAGAUCGCUUUGAGGUCUAUGCGCGCGCGCGUGCGAGAGAGAGAGAGAGAGAGAGAGAGAGAGAAUUGAUCGGUACAACUUCAAUUUGUCUUGGACACCAAACCAAACUGUACCAUACCCAUCCUUGGUCCCAACUCCAAAACAGGCUCCUCGAUUUUGGCUCAGAAAAAUAUGGACACUGUAGGCAUGUUUGGUUCGAAGUCGGAAUCGGAAUCGGAAUCGGAAUCGAAAUCAGAAUAAGCUGGAAUCGGAAUUAGAAUGACUCAUUAUCUAAUUCUGUUUGGUUCAUCACCUGAAUCGGAAUCGGAAUAAAUCAUUUCCAUUGUCGAUGUUUGGUUCAGAUAAAUAUAAAAAACGUAAUCAGAUUAAUAUAUUAACUUUAUCUUUAUAAUAUAUUAAUUUAAAUUCAAAUUAAAAAUUAAAUAUUAAAAAUUUACAUCAAAAUUUUGAAAUAAUGUCAAAAUUUUAAAUCUAUUUUUUUUAAAAAAAAUAAACUUUGAAGUUGAGUAAAUAAUUCGAAAUAUAAAACUAAAUUUUGAUUUAUUCAAAUUCAAACUUAAAAUUAUAAUUUAAAUUUUAAUUUGAAUUCACAAAUUUAAUUUAAGUUUUAAAUAAAAUUUGAAUAAAACUUGAUAUAAAUUAAAAUUUAAUUUAAAUUCAAUUCAUAAGGUAGAUUCGAAAUAUUUGAUUAAAUUUUAAUUUUUAAUUCAAGUUCAAAUUAAAAUUAAAAAUUAAAAAUUUAAUUUCUAAAUUUAAACUCAUAUUUUAAUUAAAAAAAUUAAAUUUAAUCCGAAUAAAUAUCCAUUCUGUCCGAAUUCAAAUUCCAAUCCCACUUCCUAGGAGGCCGGAUUGAAAAAAAAGGUGAUUGGGGAAUUCCAUUCCACUAGGGAAUCAGAAUCGGGAUGGAACUCUCGCGUACCAGACAUCCACAAACGGAUUCGCCAAUUUCGAUUCGAUUCCAUGAUGAAAAAGAAGCGAAUCAAACACGCUCCGUUUAUCUACCCAUUGUAACACUCACUGAAUGGGACCUAACCUAGUGGUUGCUAUUCAGGUCGCAGUCUACAAGGUCGAUUAGGGGGUUCAACUCUGCAUCACCACAUAAGUUCUCACCAAAUGAAAUAUUUUUAAAUUCUUUUUCACCAAACAAGAUUCGUAUUUUUAGGUUUUCGGAUUAUAUAUAUAUAUAUAUAUAUAUAUAUAUAUAUAUAGAGUUGAGCUAGAAUACUAUCGAUAGCAAACGAGCUUUGUUGCCACCAAUUUGUUUUAUAUGAUGGAGCCCCCAAAUCGACGAUCUGCACCGUUAAACAUGAUCUAUACCACUUAAAGUGUUUAGAAAUUAAAUUUCAUAUAUUUUCGAUAUUGUUCCCUUAUCCAUCGAGUGGACACAAAAAUAAACGGCUGAAAAUGGAUAUUCUUUAAAAAAUGAUGAUAGGAGUCUUGUAAUCAAGAUCAAGAGUAUAAAUCUUAUUUUAAAUAGUUUAAAGAAUUUUCUAACAAAAAUUCAAUUAAUUUAGAUAUCUUUACACCGUUAAACGAGAAAACGCCUCAUAUCAACCAUUAAAAUUAUAAAAUUUGAAACUCUUUGAUCAUUAGGCAAAUGAUGUCGAAAAGAUUUAAAAUUUAAUUUCCAAACACUUCAAGUGGUAUAGAUUAUAUUCAACGGUGCCAAUCGUCGAUUUGGAGGCUCUAUCAUUGAAAACAAAUUGGUGGCAACGAAGCCCGUUUAUUAUCGAUAGUAUUAUUAUUAUUAUUAUUAUUAUUAUAUAUAUAUAGUCCGGCUGCUAUGCUAUCGAUAGCACCAAGCACUUGGUGCUAUCAAGUUUUCUGUCGUUAGAUUAACUCCUUUGAUUAUUUUUACCGGUUAGAUUAUACUAUUAACCAACCACCCACUCAACCCUAGGAACCCCACAUCAUCCUAACCGCACAUUUCUCAAUCCAAGGGCCGAAAACCUAAUAGCACCAAUUGCUUGGUGCUAUUGAUAGUAUUCCAGCCUUGAUAUAUAUAUAUAUAUAUAUAUAUAUAUAUAAAAUUUAUCUGAAUUACUGUAACACUCUAAUAGUCUCACAUCAGAUAAUGCGGAAAAGUGUGAUGAACUUAUAAGUGACAGACACACUAGUAAUAAUAACUAGAUUUAAACACUUUGGAUUGAUAGUUUGGGCCCAACGAGCUACUAUUACUAGUGAAUCAGGUCGUUAUAUUUGAUAUCAGAGCCUGAUAAUCAGUCGGAAGUGUGAGAUGGAUUUUACAUUGUCUGAUAAAUUUGAAACUAUGUAUUUGAUUGGGUCAGACUGACAAAAACGUCAAAGCCUAAACUAGGGAACUAAUAGAGUAUGUCACACUCCAAUAGUUCAACGUCCACGUUGGAUAAUAUAGAAGAGUGUGAUGGGCUCAUUAAUAAUAAUUGAGUUUAAGUAUUUUUGUCUUAUGGUUUAAGUCUAACGAGUUAUUAUUGCUAACGGGUCGGGUCAUUACAAUUAUAGAUUAUUUUGACUUAGCUACCAAAUUUUUGAAUUUUUUAUUUUACUAUCUAAUCUUUCAAUUUAUUUGAUUUUUCAACAAUAUUUUGACUUUGAAAUUUAAGAUAGUUAUUUAUUUUAAUAAAUUUAUAGUUGCAAGAAAUAUACUUUAAAUCUAUAAAAAUAAACAAACGCAUUCAAAUUUUAAAGUUAAAGUUUCUGUGACUACUUCAAGUCAAAUAAAUAAAGAUUAAGGGAUCCGUAAUUCAGAUAAGUUUUAUAUAUUUUUACUAUUGAGGUUUAGGUUGGGAAUCUGCAAGCAAAUUCAAAAAAGGAAAAAAAAUCUAUUGUUGACGUGGUGGACCUGGUCCACCACCCAUUCCGAUACUUGGCCACUGCCAAGAUCAGGAUAACCCAAUCCUGAAUCUGCCACGUGUCACUCUCUCUGAGGAUCCCUCAUCUUCCCCAUUGACCCGCGAAAUCCCCUCCACAAUCCACAUUCAAAUCCACUUCAACACUCCCCACACUAACCAACUCCCCUACAUCAAAAGAGAGGCCGAGAGAGAGAGAUCAAUUCAUUAUCCUUAUCCCCCCAAAAAAAUGGCUUCUCUUGCCGCCGUUGCCGCCGUGCAGCCGGUGGCCGUCAACGGCCUCGCCGGCAGCUCCCUUGGCGGCGCCAGGCUCGCCGUCAGGCCCUCCCUUUGCCGCGCUCCGCGGCGGUCUGGCCUGAGGUAAUUGACAAUAAGGUGUUUGAUUUUAUGCCCCAAUGAAGGGCGCGGGCCAAGUUCGGCUUCUAACCGUGCCCUGGCGCGGCGUGUGGUUUGAAUAUGGCAGGUCGCGCAGCGGGGCUGUGGUGGCUAAGUACGGCGAGAAGAGCGUUUACUUCGAUCUCGAAGACCUCGGCAACACCACCGGCCAGUGGGACCUGUACGGCUCCGACGCGCCCUCGCCCUACAACCCGCUUCAGGUGCCUCGGCUUUUCCCUCCCCCCAUCACUGUUUGUAACGUAUGUAUCACGGAUGCAGUAAUAAGCCUCGCGUAUCCAUGUCGGACACGAAAAAGUCUAAAAUGUGUCAGUCAUAUAACUGAUGUGGUAUUUUCAACCAAUUAUAUUUGGCCUCUUGGAUUCACCUAUCCCGUUAUGAUUUUUUGAAAAAUAUUUUUGUUGUACUUUUCUCUCAAAAGAAGAGAUAUGAUUGGCCGGACAAAGAUGAUGUGGUGUAGCUGCUAGACAGUAGACUUCCUCAUAGGACACAUGCGUAUCCGUGUUGGACUCGUGUCCGACGCAGACGUGCUAUGGACGCAUGUUCAUAGCGCAUCUCAUUAAAAAAUUAAAGUAAAAGUUUUAUGCAUAUAUAAUAUAACAUGAUAAACAUUUUAGCUUUUUGAUGAAUGAUACAAACAUUUUUUGUAUGAUAUAAAUAAAUUAUGUAUGGUGGAGAAUUAACUUUCUUAAAAUAUAUGAACUAUUGAUGAAAGUUUUAUUUUCAUUUGUAUAAAAAAAUAUAGCAGUAUGUUAGCAAAAAUAAUAUUUUAGAUAUGAUAAAUAUGUAUUUUUAUAUUAAUAAUAUUAUAUUUUAUUAGCGGCGUCCAUACUGUGUCCAUGUCCUAAUUAUUUUGAAGCUGUCAAGUUGCCGUAUCCACGUCGUGUCGUGUCCUAUGUCCCGUGUUCGUAUCCGUGACAGCCGGUUUUUUUAGUUACUCUCUAAAGAUUUCUGGUUAAGAGAGGGUAGAUAACGUGCUUUUCGAGUAUAAUACAUUAAAACACGAUUCUUUAGCAACUCCCAGUUGUUAGAGAAAAACAAUUUUAGUAUGAUUUUGGUUCCUUUCGUCAAUAGAAAAAUCGCAUGAUGGUCUUGUGACUAUAAUCAGCGAAUGUGAUUAAAGUGCAGUUUUCUAGUAGCUCAAGAUUUUAGAGAAAAACCAUAAUUUCACAUCGAAUCGGGGAUAAAGGUACCGAGUUGAUUCUGUGGUCGAAAUCGGUCCUUGCAUCAGGGUGAGUUAGGGUGAGUCUUGAGUAUGAACUGAGCUUUUAGAGCAAAAUGGUGGUUCCGUAGAACUCAAUUUUUAUACUUCAUUUACUAUUUUGAAAUAAGUGGAUAUUUUAUUUCUUAAGAGCUCAAUCGCUGGUGCUUCAUGUGUACAUCAAUGAAAAUUUUCUGUUACUACUUUCAAGUAAAAGAGAAGCGAUAGAACAUGUUAUGCAAAAUAAUAGAAAAACAUCAGUAUCUACCACUUCACCUCUCAGUGGUUGCUGUUCAGAAUAUUUAUAUUACAUGCUAGGACUCGUAGUCGAAAUAUAGCAGAAACUGAGCGUAUAGGAAUUUCAUGGCUUAUUAUUGCCAUCGGCCACAUGAUUGUCAUAUGCUCAAUUUUUAGAUACAUAUAUAUCCAUGUACGUUCAUGUACUUACUGAUCUAUUUAUGCACUUAGCUACCGUUUGGUUGGGGAUUAAGGGGUGGAAUAACCCCUUAACCCCCAAUUUAUACCCAAACACCACUCUUUACUAACCCGGGUUAGUGGGAUUUACUAACCCCACUCCCCCUCCCAACUUUAACCCCGCACGCAUUCCGAGCCCUCAUCUUUUUCUUCUUUAUCAAUCAUUAACCCUACUCCCACUCCCAACUUUAACCCCGCACGCAUCCCGAGCCCUCACCUUUUUCUUCUUUAUCAAUCAUUAUCUUCUUAUCCCACCUACUCCAACCAAACAUUUUUUUUCACUAUCCUAUACUAACUCCAACCUCCAACCAAACACAAAAAAACUUUAACCCCACUUUAACCCUGAACUUAACCCUAUCCCUGGAAUAGCUACUUUUUCCUUAACCCCGAACCAAAUGGAGGCUUAAUGAAAUUUGCAAGCAACACUGUAAAGUGUAAUAACUUCAAUAAAAUACUUGUAGCAAUUGGAAAAUAAUACAUGGAUUUCAUAGAAGAUCUUGCUAAGAGAAACAUAGGGUGAUUUAUAGCAAGCUCGUCACCAAUUGACAUCAGUGAUUUUUGGAUUAUCAAAUGCAGAGCAAGUUCUUCGAGACAUUCGUAGCCCCUUUCACCAAGAGAGGCUUGCUGCUCAAGUUCUUGAUAUUAGGCGGUGGCUCCCUCCUUGCCUACGUGAGCUCAACAGCCUCGGGAGACGUCCUGCCGAUCAAGAAGGGCCCACAACUGCCGCCUCAGAAAGGCCCACGCGACAAGAUAUAAACUCUUUGUACUGCUACUUCAUCUCUUUCACUACUCAUUUAUGUUGUCGAUAUAGUACCUGUUCAAACUGCUCUGUAAGUAAGACCGGAUCUUCAUGCCUAUUUAUCUAAAAUUCCAUUUGUGCUUGCUGUAGGGAGAAUAUUUGCUUUGAUUUUUCUUCUCUGCUUUUGAUGAUACAUUACACCUAUUUCAAUGUAGGAAUUACCAUUAGAUGAAUUUGAGUAGUUCUUUUUUGGAUAGCAUGUCAUAUACUGCUAUUUUUCUCUUUUGGCAUCUUUAAGUCCAGAAGAAGUUCAUUUCUACUACCAAGAAGAAAUCUGGAGAUUCCUCCAUUUAAGAUUAACAAGUUGUCCUAAACUUACAAAUGUGACCCUUGCGUUAUAUUGAGUCGAAAACUAAUAUGAAGUGUGUAAGUUUACUAUAAUCACCAAUUGAAAUAUUACUACUGCUUAUGGUUAGUAGUCCUUUGCCUGAUUGUUGUUAAUACAAUGAAAAAAUGGUGCCAAUAAAUGAAAUCUUAAAUCUUCGAUAUGCUUUAUGUGACCUGGUAAUCCUUGUGGAGAGGACAUAAAAUUGAUGGUUAUGAUUAUCCUAUUUCAGAGAAACCAGGAGUUAUUCUGUCACUCAAAGACAAAAGAAAAAAGAAAAAGACAGAAAAAGACAAAGAAAAAGCACUCCUGUGAAGUUCUUUUGAUGCCUUAAUUGGUCUUACAUAAGUUGUUCUAUGGGCAUGAUACAUAUCCAUGUUUGAUUUCAGUGUGAGUUAGCUUAAUAUUUCAUUUCAAACAUUACGAAGGUUUAGUUCAUACCCUGUAGAAGCGAGGUUCUACAUGCUUCUACCAAAAAAAGAGCCUGAAACUACUCUUUUUAUCGGAGGCUACUUGGAAAUAGAAUCAACUUAUUAUUGAAUUACAAUGCUACUCAAUCAACAUUAUUAGCCAUUCAAUGAUCAAUUGAUCGUGGAGUUGUUUAAGAUGGCUACAUGGGAUUCCAAUAUUGUACUGUUAUGUUCAAAAGAUGAUUGUUGGACAAGGCUAAGAAGUUCUUGAUCACUAUUGAUGCUACUGAAGAAACUUUGAAGUUUAUUCGCAAAGUAUUUCUAGGAAAAGAAAUAACGCAUCAUGCCAGCCACACAAUCGAAUUUUCUUGGAGAAUUUCUUUUGUUUCUGGAGAGGGCAUUGGGGCAUUGGGAAUCUCAAUCGCAUUGUAAACUUAAGUAUUACCAUGAGGUUAUAACUCGAAGAGUACACAAAGGGGGAGCAUUUUUAACCUAUAUAGCACCCAAAUGAAUGAAAACCAACAACAACAGCCCUUGAAAACAACUAAUAGACCUUAGUUGUUUUAUCCCUCAGAAGAUAAUGCCUCUCUCUCUUUAAUCCUAGGACUUCUAGUGUCGCGCCGUUGGGCUUCUCAAACCUCCCAAGUUCUGAAGCUUCUCAAUAUAAGAAAAUUUCUUGUUAGUCACAAUGUUCGGGGGCUUCUUUAACUUGAUAGCAUCGACAUUUAAUGUGUCCUCCAAGUUAUUUGAAUCCUUCUUCUUUUCCUCAGUAUCUUGAUCCAACUGCCAACCCAUGAAAUCCGACAGCGUCAUCGAAGCGGGCGCUUCCAUUUUAUUCAGCUUCUCGAUUUCUUCUUUGGGAUCGAGGGUCCUCACCGUUCCUUUAACUAGCUCUGAAUCUGUUAAAGAAGGCCUUCUCUUUGACAGAUUUGGGUCCCGGGCAAGGGAAUCGGCAUAGAGAACAUCAUCGAUCCGGGACAUUACGUUGUACGCUAGGCUUUCUAGAAUCCUCGAGUAGCUCUCCAAAAUUGAGUAUCCAACAUCCUGAAGAAUUCAACAUGGUAAGAUUAAUCUAUGCCAAGAAAACUGAGGGUAAAUUGCACCAUUGUUCUUCAGCCUUUUAGCAUAGUUCCAGAUUUGUCCACAAUCUUUUUAUAGUUACAAUUGCAUCCUUAACCAUUACAUUUUGUUUAAAUCUCACUCUUUUGACAUUAAUAUCAACAUAAUUGUCAUCUAAGUGGCGCAUAAGCAACAUUUUGGAUCCUCAUUUGGCAAUUAUGCAGGUCUCUGUAUUCAACUUUAUAGAAGAAUCCAGUAAAAAGAAUAAGAUUGGAAUUGAAUGCAACGAUUAGCGAUCCAAUUGAAAUCAUUGAAAGGUUGGGGAUCAUUGGUGCCGUUUAUCCAAACCGAAAGUAAAGCAUAAUAGAUGAAGUGAAAUUCUAUCUCUUACCUUGUUGUAUUGGAUCUUGCUUAUGUCUAGAGACGAUUGAGGAAUACCAGGAAAUCGAUGCUUGAUAAUGAGUAAAAUGGUCUCGGCUCUCUCUUCGAAUUGUUCCCUUUUCUCCAUGCUGACACCCGCCCCCCAUGUGGACUUGGCGUCUUUAUGAUGCAUCUUCCUCCUCCAAAUGACAAUGGAUGCUUCAAUCCGAUUUUUGAGGUCCAGGAUUUUGUGCUCCGUCGAUAAGUCUAGAGAUGAUAGGAACUCGUCGGGAUCGAAAACAUCAACUGUUAUGCUCUUAUAGAUUGAAUCUCCGAGGCUUUCCCUCCCAUUCUAUAACAUGAAUUAAGAAGCAACACACUUCAAUAGAAGAUAUAAAAUGUGAAAGGAGCCAAAGACUAUUAAGCUACCACCACGUAGAAACAAAUCAACAAAGAGGAAUGCUUGUUUAUAUGAAAAAAAAAAAAAAAAAGACAUCGGUAUCAGAUUGUGAAAAUUUGGCCAGUACUUUAAGACUGUAUUUUAACGAAUAAUCAAAAGUUUCCAACAUCUAAUUCGCUAUUAGAAUCUUCGGCAUUAAAAUUAGCCAGGUAAGUGAAUUGUCUUACAUAGUACCAUAAGUGCUUAUUUCGCAUGAUUGCUCGAAUAACAAACAUCUAUUCAUUUUGAAAUAAAAAUCUGAAGCUUUUGCUGCGACCAAAAACUGAAAUGAGCUUAGAGGCCCAAAGCAGAAGCUCCAAUCUGAAUCUUUUGCUUCGGCAAAAGCAAGAAAUCAUUGGAGGGAUUCAAUGAACGACCUCUAAGUGUUGCUUAGAGCAGCUCUGCUCAAACAAUACAUUUGCAGAGCCUGCAGCCAAGCCAAACAGAGCCAAUAACAGAGUACAAGGAUAGAAUAUCAAGCCCCAUAAAAAGUAAAGCACAAACCAAAUUCAAUGUAUAUAGCAUUAGCAGUUCAAGUACCGUAAGCAUAUCAAUCAAGUUAAUAAAUUUUUCACGAAAUCUUAGAAAAGCUCUGCAUGAACAGUAAGUUUAAGUGUGAUCGAACCAAACCUUGGGAAGGGAUUCGAUGUAGGCUUCUGGAAUCUCCAUCUCCAUAAGAACAUUAGCAUUUAUAGCCAUAGCUGCUUUGAGAACUUGGUUCACAAGCUCCUUUUGAUACUGAAGCCAUUUUCUCGACACUUCGGAUAGGCCAUUUGGAGGGACUUUCACCGUCGGAAGCCACCACUUAUCGUCCUUCCUCUUCGCGCCACCCUUCUCAGACUCAUUCGCAUCUCUCGACACGUACGUAAACUCUUGGUGGUCUUUAAAAUUGUCGAGGUAUUCCUACCCGACAGAGAGAAGAAGAACAUAUUAGCACAUUAGUUUUCGGGGGACUAGAAGUUCUGAAUCUUUCUUACUAUUAGCAUUGCGUCGAGCUUGCGCAAGGCAGGGAUGUUCAUGAGAAGAUCUCGUCGUUGCUGAGUUACCAUAAUCUGCAGAAGUGAAAGAUGAUGAUAGCUGAGGUGAGUGUCCAGAAAUAAGUUUAUUGAAUUGCAUAGAAUUAUAAUCAGAUUGCUAGUGUGACCUCCAUGUUAGUUCCAUCCUUUGAUACUUGUUGGGACGGAACAAACUCUACGAUAUGGUCGGUGACCGAUAAAAGCAAGUCUAUCUCUCUCCUCCACCUUGCUUUCCUCUCAACUGCCAUCGGUUCUAAUCGCCAGCGCUCCCCGAAGACAGAAGCUGAAACAAUUACAGAAGAAGAAAAAGAAAAGAAAAAAGAAAACGAGGAACCAUAAAACAUUAGUCAAAUUAUUGUAGAAUAUAUGAUCAUCAUGUGAAAUGAAUCAAAAUCAAAGAAAUUCUGUAUGAAGGUUAUGGAUUUGAAAAACUAGUUAUGUAGAAAUGCGAUACACUGGAUAGUGUGAAAAUGUCGUGAGUCUAUUAUUAUUAGAAAGAUAUGAAAGGCAGGGCGCGAGAAAGAGUGUCAGAGAAAUACAAUAACAAGUUAAUAAGGACAUUUUCCUCUGUCGGACGGAUUCUGUAAGGACGCUUUCCUCGGCGUGAAUGAUUUGCAUUUAUUUUUGUCAGGGUUGUCAGGCACUUCCAUAGCUCAGGCCAAUCAUCGCUUCUUAAAUCAUUUCAUUCUUGAACAUAAAUAUAAGGUAAAUCAUGUUUCCUCAGAAACAAUAUUUUAGAUUUGACAACUAAUGAUGGCACAACAUUAUUAAGAUGUGUAUGCUUCUGCAAUAAUAUAGGACACAGUUAUUGCAAGUUAAUAUAAUCAUCAUGUACUAAUUAUCCCAAAUGUGAAAUAGGUUAAUAUGCCUGCAAGAUUGGUGAUGGCAUUGGAGAGAGCCAAAGCUGAAGACACUCCUUUGCCCGAGCCCGACAUGUCUUCGCCGAGAAGCAGCUUCGCGAACCUCUCCUUCAUCAACUCCAUAUCUAAGAAAGGAAAAAAAAAUAAAGCCUUUUUAACUAAAAUUUUUUCGGUUAACUUGGAUAGAAACACUCACAUAAUUGCCAUAUGAAAAUUGCGAAAGUCGGUUAUUGAUUUGAUGGAUGAAUAGAACCGAAUUGAUAAGACUACAACAAUCUAAAGGUUCGAGACCAAAGUGGAACUACGCGAAGCCUCAUCAUAUAUAACAAUUAAAAGGUCAUCACUAUGUCAUCGAAUUCGCCAUUCCUUACCCGAAGGUUGGCUGUUGCCGCCGCCCUCCUUGCCCAACCGCGACUUGGGCCCUCUCUCGGAGGACCGAGAGAGCGGCACGCCGACCUUCUGGGCCUCUGAAGACCUGCUCGGUCCCGUCGGUCCCUCGCUCCUCGAGCUAACCCUGUCGUCUGCGGCCUCCAACGAUCCCUGACUCUCCAGAAUCACGCUCCGAGACCUUCCCGCCAAGUGCUCGAUCACCAUUCCACAGCGAAAGAACCUCUCUAGACUGAAACCUCUCUUCAGGAACCGAACCAUCACAUGCGGCAAAUCGCCUCAGCUUAAGUCGAGAAACGCGGGGUGAGGCAUGUUGAAGCGAUUUUUGAUGUAGUGCAAGGAAAUGGAAAGGAAUGUAGUGUUGGUUGAGGAGGGGAAACCUCACCUCUCCAAUGAGGCAAGGGAGAGGGAGGGGAGGGGGAGGAGGGGGAAGUGCUUCUAAAUGAGAAAGAAACAAAACAAGGGCCCUUCUCUAUAGACCAAAAAAGCCAUGCAAAGGUGUGUGUUUAUUUUGGGAACUAAGACAAUUUUUUGGGGGUAAAUUGCACCACUAGUUCCUAGAUCAAAUUUCAUUCUAGUCCUCGAACUUUUAAUUUCAACAUUCGAAGACCCUGAACCUUUAAUAAGGUUAUAUUAAAUAGUUAUUAUCUGCACCUAGUUCAACUAAGUAUUCGUAUAUACAUCGUGAAUUUAUCUUUUCAUUUUUCGUCCUAUAUUUUCAAUUCAAAAGCCUGACUUUUUACGUACAGAAAAUAAUUACAUAAAUCAAUAAUUGAUAAGUACAUGGUACAUAAAUCUAUAGAUGCAUUAGAUAUAGGCAAUAACUUAUCCUCUAAUAGCAAAUAUAAACAAGGGCAAAAAUGAAACUCUUUAAAAAAGUUCAGGGACCACAAACUGCCGAAUUCGACAGUUUGAGGACCAAAAUGAAACUUGUUGUAUUUGUACUAUUGGGUGGUGGUAUUUGAGUGACUCUUCUCUCUCUCUCUAUUUUUUUUUUCUUUACACCUAAUUUAUUUUUUUUUUCCUAUUUUUUAUAUGGAAAAAUUCUAGGGGGGAAAUGUGGGGUGCAUGUUGAGAGAGGAGGAGAAAGAAAAGGUGAGCUUAUGGAAGGGGUGGCCUUUUUUUGGACCGUUUUCUGUUAUGAGACCAUUUGAGGUUGGUGAAAAGCCCGGGAAAUGUGGGAUGGCAAUAUUCCCCCAUUUCCACCUUCCUCCAUGUGCUUUUGCUUUAGCUUCUUGGUCAGAUCCGAUCCGCUGUCAUGUGUUAGUUUUGUCUGCUUCUUGGUCAGCCCCGAUCCGCUGUCAUGUAUUAGUUUUAUCUUUAUUCAAAGAUUAUUAUCUUUCUCUCUAUGGUUUAAAAAAUUCUUUUGAAUUUUAUGUUAAAAAAACGCCUUACACAUUCUUGGAUGAAAGUAAAAUUACCAUAUGUUACCGCGGAUCAAGGGUUUCCCAGUACGGCAUCAUUGGCUUUCGUUGUAGCUUCUUGGUCAGCUCCGAUCCGCUGUUAUCUAUUAGUUUUAUUUUUAUCCAAAUAUUAUAAUCCUUUUUUUAUUGUUUUAAAAAUUCUUUUUUUAGUAUUAAAAAACACCUAACAUAUUCUUGAAUGAAAGUAAAAUUAAUACGUUACAGCAGAUCGAGAGUUUCCCAAUACGGCAUCGUUGAUUUUGAAGCUUCUAGAUUUUUUUUUGUUUAGAUUCUAUUUGAAAUUGGUGAAAGAUUGUGGUAUGAUGAGAAAAAAAUACUAUUUAUUUUUGGUAAAAAUGUAGACAACUUACCUGAACUAUAGACCAUUUUAAUUCGAUUAUCCGACCUUCAAAAUUUUAAUUUUCGUAUCUAAUCUUUUAAUUUAUUUGAUUUAAAUAAUUUGAUGGCUUUCAGGAUGUAAAAUUUAAGCUAAUUGUUUAAUUUAACGAAUUUAUAGUAAUCCGAAUUGCAUGAUAUAUAUAAACUAAAUCUAUAAAGAUAAACAACACGUUCAGAAUUUAAAAUUAAAUGGUCAACAACUGGCUCAAAUCAAACAAAGUACAAUGUUAAGCAGUAAAAUCAAAAUUUCUAAAAAAGUCAGGUACUCAUAUUAACAUAGAAAAUAGUUGAGAUAAGUUUUAUACAUUCUUACCUUUAUUGUUAUACGAAUACCAUGUUGCGUAUAUUAUAAUGAGUCAAUUAUGAUAUAUUCUGUACACUCCCACGAAAAAACAAAGAAGCAUAUCAUUUUAAGCCUUGUCUCAUUGUUUUGCCUAAUAGCAUUAGCUGGUCCUUGAGAAAUCUAUAGAGAUUUUGUGCUAAGCAUAGUUUAAUAUUAUGUUUUUAAGGCAUUUAUUUUUAUGCUUCAAAGUGUCUAAAAGUUCUAAAAUGUUUCCAAUUAUUCCCCCUUCAAUUCUCUUGUGGCGGCUGAAAUCACAAUUUUACAGCUUUGGAGGAGAAAAGAUCAGAAACACUCGAGGAUUUCUGAGUCUUUAAAAUAUGACAUAGGGUGUUUUAAGCCAUUAUAUACUAAACUACCCAGAGUAUGCAAAUUCAAUGCAGCUUCGCAAGCAAAUAUUUUUCCAAAGGAGCUCAUUUUUAAGGGUAAAUUACACUUUUGGUCCUCAAACUAUGAAUCACGUGACAGUUUAGUCUUCAAAUUUUAAUUUAUUGUGAUUUCUGACUUGAACUUUCAGAAUUAUUACAUUCAAGUCCCACAAAAUAUUUUGAAAGUAUUGUGAUUCAUGAUAACGUAAUAUUAAUAUAUUACAUCAUUCCUAGUUAAUAAUUUAUUAAUAUUUAGCCAAUUAAAUUAGAUUGUGGAAUUUGAUGCAAUAGUUCAGAAAGUUUAAGUGAGAAAUUAUAACGAAAUAAAGGUUGAAAACCAAAGUACCAUGCGCCUCAUAGUUUGAGGACCAAAAGUGUAAUUUAUUCUUUUUUUCUUAAUAUAAUUUUUCAUUUCCUAGCAAUUUUAUAAUUAUUUUUCCCAUAAAUCUCUUCAGCAUUAAUUCAUGCAAAAGCUUUUGUCUUCGGUUUCAGAGGCUCAUUUAUGGAUCAAUAUCUUCGGCUUCUUGUUGGCCCUGGUUUAUAAUUUGGUCUUGAAAUAGGGAAAAAAAUAAUUUAAAUAAAUGAUCAUCAUUCAUGUUAAAUGAUUUGUAUGUUUCGAACUUAAAAUCUGGAAUACCAACCAUUAAGCAAUUAACCAACUGCACUAGGUACGGUUAAAAUUAUUUUGAGCUGUUAACUAUGAUCUUAGUCUUUUUGACAUGGUUAUCGACCUAAGCUAUUUAAAAUUUUUAGUUUUCAAAUUUAGUAACUUUUUCAAUAUUCUUUGUCUACUAACUAACUAACGAAGUGGUCUCAGAAUUAAUAAUUUUAUACAGAUAAUAUAAGGUGAGUUUGGGGGCUCAUAAUAUUAUGUCUAAUGUCUAUGAUCUCUUUUUUUUUUUUUUAGGGAAUAUAGGUUAUCCUCGGAUCCUGAACUCUAGAUAGCGAGUUUACAAAUGCGGAGACCACUUGAUCGUUAGAUAAAUAAUACUGAUUCGUGUAAAGUUCAAACAGUCUUAAUCGAAUUACUAGUCAUACUCGUGACUCAAAUAACCCCUUGUCGAAAAUGACGCGAAAGUAAACUAUCUUAUUUACUUUUAGAAAUAUUUUAUCUUUACUCCUAAAAAAAAAUAAGGUAAUUGUACAAGCAAUGCUACAUGUAUAUCUACCCAUUUAGGGACCAGUAUAUUCACACUAAUUUUAUUAUUUUUUGAAAUUAAACAUUAAAAAACUAAAAAGAACAAGCAAAUUUUUUGAAUAAACAUGAGAGAUGUAGAUCCACUUUUUGAUAUAUAAAUAGUAUUUUUUUUUUGGAAUAAUUACCUACGUAUCCCUCAAAACUUAUAAAAUAUCUUAUAUAUUCCUUUUUUUUUAAUUCUAAAUAUAUCCCCCUUUAUUUUUUCUUUACUCAAAAAAUUUUGCUGCCAAUAUUUGUUAAGUCAUCUCAGAUUGACUUCCGGUUAAAUUUCUACCAGAGUUGAAAAAUUAAAGUAUCUCUUUUGCCCCUGAUUUAAGGACAAAUAAGAAAGUUGGUAUUGAUAAAAAAAAUAUAUUCGAAAUGAUAAAAAGUCAAACUAGCUCUUUUGCUCCUAAUUUAACAGCAAAUAAGAAAAGUUGAUGACGAUAUCAGGACAUAUUUGAAAGUGCAAAAUAAUAAUUUAACAGUAAUAACGGCUAUUUCUAACCAUUAACUAAUAGAAUCUAGAUAUAUUUGAAAGAACUUUGAAAUGUCAAAAUAAUAUUUUUAAUAUUAGUCUUCUAAGCGAGCUAAAUAAAAAACUAAAACUUUUCAGAAGUAUACUAAGUGAUUGUCUCUUUCUUUUUUUUUUUAUUUUUAAAUUUGUGUAUUCAAUCACGGAGCAAAUUAUGUAGAAGUAAUGAGAAGGACAAUUCAAAGAAAAGGACAGUGUUUUAAUUAUGAUGUGAAUUCAUGUAACUAUCUCCAAGUCCAAUAAUUAGAUAUAUAGAGUGAGCAAUUGAAUUUCUUAUGAUUAAUAUCAUGGCCCAUGAAAUGUAAUGUAUCAAAAUUAAUAGUCAGCUAAUCAAAUCAAGCUGUUUCUUUUUCACCAUUAAUUUCAUUUCAAGGCAUGAUGAUAUGUACAAGCCACUAUAUAUAUAAUGUGCAUAUAAUAGUGUUUUCUUUCUGUAAUCAAUUUUAAUGAGAUAAAGACAUCUUUCCUUUUUUAGCAAUUUGAAAUAAAUCCUCCAAUUUUAANAUGUUUGGAGUUGCUUUUUGGAGUCAAAAAGCAUUUAAUUGGUGUUUUUGGCACCUCAUAAAAUAGAUUUUAUGGUACGCUUUAGGUUAACUAUGAACGGAGUUUGGGUGAAGUUGCUCUCGAUCUCUAUCGACUUCAAGAAAAAGUGGAUGUUUGAUAUAACUUUUGAAAGAUAAUUUUAGAUUCAAAAGUAUUUUUGACUGAAUAAAAUAUUUGACAAUCUCAUUUUUAAAGUCUGAUUCUAAUUUCAUAAUUAAUUUUUAAUUUUUAAGGUUCAAAAUCGGAAGCAGCUAAAAUCUACUUGUGAAGCAAUGCGGGAAUUUCUUGGUUUUGUGAAUUAAAUUCUUUUUUUUUUUUACAAUAUAUGACGAUAUCACCCUUGAGAUUUAAACUAAUUUAUUAUGAUCUUUCUUGCAUAGAAAAUUUGCUGGUUUUGUGAUUUUACAAAAGUGGAUCACUGUUUUUUUUUUUUUUAUAUAGAUUUAGCUCAAAAUUUUUUAAAUGAUCAAAAUACUCAUAUUCUCUCUCUCCCUGCUUUCUUUCUCCUCCGGGCUUCCUCUCGCUCCUCCUCUACUGCCUCCACGUUGUCGCCGCACUUCCCCUACCUCAUGCACAAGGGAAAAGACGGUAAGAAAAUUUGACUUUUCUGUGGCUGCGGCCGUUCUCGACGUUUUUCAGUAAGGUUGUCGCAGUAAAGAUGAGGGUGGCAUUGCUCGGCGUAUCGCCGGAGAUGGAGACGGAAAUAAUGAAGGAUGAAGGUGAUGAUCGCUGGUCGAUAAUGCUCCCAAAGUAGGUUAAUUUGGGAGUGGAUUGGUGAGCCUAGCUGACGAUGAUGAGAUGAUGGGGGCAAUAAAAGAAAAUUAAAAAUUGGAGAAUGACGCAAUAUUGCACUAUUUAUUUAAAAAAUGCACUUUUCGAGUAUAUAUUAUACUAUUUAGUAAAAAUAUUAUAUAUUUGAUACAUAUAUUAAACUAUAAAAUAUUAUAACUUUCUUACUAAAUGGCGCAACAUAUGUUUGAACAGUGUUAAAAGCAUCAUUUUUAAUUUGAUAAUUAAUUUAAACUUUUGUAGAAUAAUUUAUGGUGAUUCAACUUGUUAGUUUUUAUUGGAUUUUUGGUGAUUUAAAAUUUUGUUAGGUCUUUUGAACAGCCCAAUACUUAGUGAGCCUUGCCUAGGAGCCCAACUAAGGUUUUCAUAUGUGAGGUUUAGUCCCAUAUUGAAAACUAAAUGUGUGUUGUUGUUAUUUAUAUAUUGUUUCAUUCUCAAGUUAAUUAUUCGGAAGAGAAUAACAGUUAUACUCUCAACUAAGCACACGCACGAGCCGGGGCCGGACGGGCGGCGGCACGCACGGUCCAUGCACUCAAUUUAUUUUAUUUUAUUUUUUGGUUUUAUCUUUAUCCUAAUCCUAAUUUAUAUCUCGUGUAAUCUUAUGCUUAUCUUGCUCUACACGGAAUUGACACUGUUGAUACCAAAAUUGAGCCGACCUAAUCCACGUAUGAGCCAAUAAGGACACGUGGUACACCAGGAGUUGGCAAUAAGGCGCCUGAAGGACAAAAAGGUGGGAACGGUUGAAGAUUGGGGCGUAACUUCCAUGAGGAAUUAGCGUAACUUCCAUGAGGAGUUAGUAUAACUUCCACGAUCAUGGUUACAACCACUCUCCCCAACUACUUUCAACCAACUAAUAAUAUGGGCUAUAAAUAGUAACUUUGAAGCCUGCAAUAGGGGUCUUUGCCCCUGCGCACAGAAAACAACUGUUAUUUUCCUGCAUCUUUCUUUCUCGCAUUUACUGCUUUCCCUAGGAGUAGUUCUUGUAACUUAGAUCUUUGGAGUCUGUCUGCCCCAUGGGCAUCACUCCCUUAUAGAAUAUACUUAGAGUCUGUCUGCCCCAUGGGCAUCACUCCCUUGUAGUUGGAGUUUGUCUGCCCCACGGGCAUCACUCCUCUGUUCUUGUACUCCUCCAUUCCCUAUUCAGUAGAAAGUCACGUUCGGCUAUUCGGGCCGACCAGAUUUUGUGUUGUGCUAGCCAUUCGGCUCAUCUCCCGGCUUAAAUUCCGACUUUUCCCGCACAUUCGGCUCAUCCAGCCGAACCGGAGAGUGAAAAGAGCUUUCGAACCCGGCUGAUUUGAUCCCUCAUCAGCCAAUUCGCUUGAUCUAGUCGAAGGGCGCAAACUUCGAGGGUCACUAUCCGCAGUCGUUCCUCACCCCGACACGCUCCACGAGGAGGAUCUUUGACCAGGUCAAAGGUCGAAAAAUUCGGCUACCAACAAAUUUUGGCACGCCCGGUGGGACACAUUUUUAGAUAAAUUUAUAUUUUAUAUAAAUUAUGGUUGAUGAUCUACGUAAUAGGGUUGUUCCUAGAAAUUCUGGGAGUGAUCAACCUAGUAAUUUAGACAAUGCUGGCGAAUGUCAAGCAGUUUUGCCAGUUGAAGGAGAAAUUAGUGGACAGUCGGCUCAUCAAGAGCCGAGUCUAACUCAGGCACUCGGCUAGAUGAGGCGAGUCCUGCAAACUUUAGAUCAAAAUAUCCAUCAAAGUACCGCUCGACUAGACGCGGUGCUGGCCGCUAUCAUGGCCUAUAAUGAAAAUAUUGGUCAAAUCAGACAAUUAUUUAUCCAAAACAAGCAACCUUAUGGGGGGCAACAAGAGCCCCUAAAUGUGCCGGUGCAACAAAAUCCCGUCACACCAGCGGUUUUACAGGCGCAACCGCAAAUGGCACCUUUCCAGGUUGCUUACAGGCCGGCGAAUAUAAACGCCGGCCCUCAGUCGGAGAUUGCAUCGGGUUUACCUCCUUUACCAGCUUAUCAGCCCCAAAAUGUAGGGAUUAGGGCUGAGAGGCAGGCCCUUAAUGAUAUGCAAGGAGCGAACCCUGCAAUACAGAAUUCUAGAGUUCCUCAAGAGCAAAAUUCGGCUCAAGCACAAGCUCCGUUGUAUACUCAGAUUGAGGAAGUCAUUCGGAAUACCUUCGGAGUAGGGGCCAGGCCGGCUAUGCGGCCUGUUUUUCGAUCCCCAUAUCCGGCAAACAUAGAUACAGAACAUCCGUAUCAGACAAACUGGAAAAUGCCGAAGUUCGACAAGUUCUGGGGCGAUGAGACCGAGAAUACGAUCGAGCAUAUAGCCUGGUUCACGGCCCAAUGUAGAGAAGCGGUCGCUGACUCAUUUUUAAAACUUUGAUUAUUUAACACGUCGUUAACUAAAACGGCGUUUACUUGGUAUACAAGUUUAUCAGCCAAUUCCGUCCAAAAUUCGGACGAAUUGGAAAGAAAAUUUCAUGAGCGAUUCUAUAGAUCGGAGCCACAAUUAUCGGUCGCCGACUUGACUUUAUACUGACAAAUGUCAGGUGAAACGGUCGAAGAGUAUUUGGACCGUUUCAAAAUAGCCAAAACCCGGUGCUUUAUGAGAAUGCCGGAAUCAGAGUUCGCCAAAAUGGCGUUAAAUGGUCUACAUUUUAAGAUAAAAGACCAUUUUGAAGAUAAGUAUUUUUCUAACCUAUUUGAUCUAGGUGUUCGAGUUGCCCAAUACGAGCAAUUUCAGAAAAAAAGUGAGGACGAUCGGCUGCAAUGGAGCCGAUAUAAAAAUCAAAGCAAAUGUAAGGAGAAAUCCUUGCUAGAAGAACAGUCGGCUCAAGAAGAGCCGAGCCAAUCGAGUGAAAGUGAAGAAUCGGCUGAUGAAGCCGAGAUAUAGCUACUUUCUUUAAGAAGAAUAUUUUGAUAGAAAAAUAUUUGGUUCAAGAAGAGCCGAACUAAUCGAAUAAAAGUAAAGAAUCGGCUGAUGAAGACGAGAUAUAUAUGGCUGGGAUAAUAAAGCGCCGUUUUUCUAAAGCCGACCAAGACAAGCGAAACUAAAGCUUGGGUCUCGGCUAUACUUUUGAACAGUCGAUUUGGCACUAAUAGUCAUUCGAAUGUUCAUUCGAAAGACUAUUGGGGGGGCAUUAUUGAUACCAAAAUUGAGCCGACCUAACCCACGUAUGAGCCAAUAAGGACACGUGGUACACCAGGAGUCGGCAAUAAGGCGCCUGAAGGACAAGAAGGCGGGAACGGUUGAAGAUUGGGGCGUAACUUCCAUGAGGAGUUAGCGUAACUUCCAUGAGGAGUUAGUAUAACUUCCACGAUCAUGGUUACAACCACUCUCCCCAACUACUUUCAACCAACUAAUAAUAUGGGCUAUAAAUAGUAACUUUGAAGCUUGCAAUAGGGGUUUUUGCCCCUGCGCACAGAAGACCACCAUUAUUUUUCUGCAUCUUUCUUUCUCGCAUUUACUGCUUUCUCUAGGAGUAGUUCUUAUAACUUAGAUCUUUGGAGUAUGUCUGCCUCAUGGGCAUCACUCCCUUAUAGAAUAUACUUGGAGUCUGUCUGCCCCAUGGGCAUCACUCCCUUGUAGUUGGAGUUUGUCUGCCCCACGGGCAUCACUCCCCUGUUCUUGUACUCUUCCAUUCCCUAUUCAAUAGAAAGUCAUGUUCAGCUAUUCCGGCCGACCAGAUUUUGUGUUGUGCUAACCAUUCGGCUCAUCUCCCGGCUUAAUUUUCGACUUUUCCCGCACAUUCGGCUCAUCCAGCCGAACCGGAGAGUGAAAAGAGCUUUCGGACCCGGCUGAUUUGAUCCCUCAUCAGCCGAAUCGCUUGAUCCAGUCAAAGGGCGCAAACUUCGAGAGUCACUAUCCGCAGUCGUUCCUCACCCUGGCACGCUCCACGAGGAGGAUCUUUGACCGGGUCAAAGGUCGGGAAAUUCGGCUACCAACAAAUUUUGGCACGCCCGGUGGGACACAUUUUUAGGUAAAUUUAUAUUUUAUAAAAAUUAUGGCUGAUGAUCUACGUAAUAGGGUUGUUCCUAGAAAUUCUGGGAGUGAUCAACCUAGUAAUUCAGACAAUGCUGGCGAAUGUCAAGCAGUUUUACCAGUUGAAGGAGAAACUAGUGGACAGUCGGCUCAUCAAGAGCCGAGUCUAACUCAGGCACUCGGCCAGAUGAGCCGAGUCCUGCAAACUUUAGAUCAAAAUAUUCAUCAAAGUACCGCUCGACUAGACGCGUUGCUGGCCGCUAUCACGGCCUAUAAUGAAAAUAUUGGUCGAAUCAGACAAUUAUUUAUCCGAAACGAGCAACCUUAUGGGGAGCAACAAGAGCCCCUAAAUGUGCCGGUGCAACAAAAUCCCGUCACACCGGCGGUCUUACAGGCGCAACCGCAAAUGGCACCUUUCUAGGUUGCUUACAGGCCGGCGAAUAUAAACGCCGGCCCUCAGUCGGAGAUUGCAUCGGGUUUACCUCCUUUACCAGCUUAUCAGCCCCAAAAUGUAGGGAUUAGGGCUGAGGGUAGGCCCCUAAUGAUAUGCAAGGAGCGAACCCUGCAAUACAGAAUUCUAGAGUUCCUCAAGGGCCAAAUUCGGCUCAAGCACAUGCUCCGCUGUAUACUCAGAUUUAGGAAGUCAUUCGAAAUACCUUCGGAGUAGGGGCCAGGCCGGCUAUGCGGCCUGUUUUUCGAUCCCCAUAUCCAGCAAACAUAGAUACAGAGCAUUCGUAUCCGACAAACUGGAAAAUGCCGAAGUUCGACAAGUUCUCGGGCGACGAGACCGAGAAUACGGUCGAGCAUAUAGCCCGGUUCACGGCCCAAUGUAGAGAAGCGGCCGCUGACUCAUUUUUGAAACUUCGAUUAUUUAACACGUCGUUAACUAAAACGGCAUUUACUUGGUAUACAAGUUUAUCAGCCAAUUCCGUCCAAAAUUGGGACGAAUUGGAAAGAAAAUUUCAUGAGCGAUUCUAUAGAUCGGAGCCACAAUUAUCGGUCGCCGACUUGACUUUAUACUGACAAAUGUCAGGUGAAACGGUCGAAGAGUAUUUGGACCGUUUCAAAAUAGCCAAAACCCGGUGCUUUAUGAGAAUGCCGGAAUCAGAGUUCGUCAAAAUGGCGUUAAAUGGUCUACAUUUUAAAAUAAAAGACCAUUUUGAAGAUAAGUAUUUUUCUAACCUAUUUGAUCUAGGUGUUCGAGUUGCCCACUACAAGCAAUUUUAGAAGAAAAGUGAGGACGAUCGGCUGCAAUGGAGCCGAUAUAAAAAUCAAAGCAAAGGCAAGGAGAAACCCUUGCUAGAAGAACAGUCGGUUCAAGAAGAGCCGAGCCAAUCGAGUGAAAGUGAAGAAUCGGCUGAUGAAGCCGAGAUAUAGCUACUUUCUUUAAGAAGAAUUUUUUGAUAGAAAAACAUUCAGUUCAAGAAGAGCCGAACUAAUCGAAUAAAGGUAAAGAAUCGGUUGAUAAAGUCGAGAUAUAUAUGGUUGGGAUGAUAAAGCGUCGUUUUCCUAAAGCCGACCAAGACCUGGGAAACUAAAGCUUGGGUCUCGGCUGUACUUUUGAACAGUCGAUUUGGCACCAAUAGUCAUCCGAAUGUUCAUUCGAAAGACUAUUGGGGGGGCAUUGUUGAUACCAAAAUUGAGCUGACCUAACCCACGUAUGAGCCAAUAAGGACACGUGGUACACCAGAAGUCGGCAAUAAGGCGCCUGAAGGACAAAAAGGCGGGAACGGUUGAAGAUUGGGGCGUAACUUCCAUGAGGAGUUAGCGUAACUUUCAUGAGGAGUUAGUAUAACUUCCACGAUCAUAGUUACAACCACUCUCCCCAACUACUUUCAACCAACUAAUAAUGUGGGCUAUAAAUAGUAACUUUGAAGCCUGCAAUAGGGGUCUUUGCCCCUGCGCAUAGAAGACCACCCUUAUUUUCCUGCAUCUUUCUUUCUCGCAUUUACUGCUUUCCCUAGGAGUAGUUCUUGUAACUUAGAUCUUUGGAGUCUGUCUGCCCCAUGGGCAUCACUCUCUUAUAGAAUAUACUUGGAGUCUGUCUGCCCCAUGGGCAUUACUCUUUUGUAGAAUAUAUUUAGAGUUUGUAUGCCUGAUGGGGAUCACUCCCUUAUUCUUAUACUCUUCCAUUCCCUAUUCAAUAGAAAGUCACGUUCGGCUAUUCAGGCCGACCAGAUUUUGUGUUGUGCUAGCCAUUCGGCUCAUCUCCCGGCUUAAUUUUUGACUUUUCUCGCACAUUCGGCUCAUCCAGCCGAACCGGAGAGUGAAAAAAGCAUUCGGACCCAGCUUAUUCGAUCCCUCAUCAGCCGAAUCGCUUGAUCCAAUCGAAGGGCGCAAACUUCGAGGGUCACUAUCCGCAGCCGUUCCUCACCCCGACACGCUCCACGAGGAGGAUCUUUGACCGGGUCAAAGGUCGAAAAAUUCGGCUACCAACAGACACGUUGAAUCAAGAUUCUUGUCCUGGAUAUAUAUAUGUUGGACGAGAUUGCAUAAGUUUAACCUGAACCCAGGCAUACCUAAGAAUAAAAUCCUAUCCUCUACCUCACUUUUUUCUGUUUUCUCGCCAUUGAUCUUUUGCGCCGAUUUUCUCCCAUUGAUCUUUUGCACGGAUUUUCGCCAAGCUUUCUCAUAUUUUACUGGAUCUGAAACUUGUCGGUUUUGUCUUGCGCCAUCUUGAAAGCGUGUCAACGGGGUGGAACGUAGUCGUUGUAUCGCUGAAAGUAAUUGUCGGGAAGUUUCGCACGUCGAGGGGCAAUUUCGCUUCUAGGACAGUACUCUGCACACCUCGAUUCACAGACUUUUUUUCUCGAAAGUUUUCUAAACCUAAAAUUAAACUUUUAAAUUAUUUUUAAAGAAUAUUUUAAUAAAAAAUGAAAAAAAAUUUCCAACACAACUUAAAAUAUCAAAAUAAGUUAAAUAUCAAAUAAAUACACAUUAAUUAUUUUUUAAACAAAAAAAUAUUAUUCUUUUUCACAUCACCGUCAUAUAUAUAAUAAUAAUAAUGAUAAAAUUUUAAAAAUCAUUUCUCAACUGCAUGCAACCAAACAAUUUUUUUUAUAGUUGCAGUACUUUCUACAAUAUUGAACCGAAAAGGAUGCAUGAAGUUACAACUGCUGUAUUGUCAAUUGCAUAUAUCUCUAACUGCACUGUAUUUAUAAUUACAUCAAACUAAACGGUCCCUUAGUGUCUUACAUACCCCCUUUCGCCUCUUUUACAUCCUCUUCCUCUCCUCUCAGAAUUAUAUAUCUUGUAUCCGUCCUACAAUUACAUGUCACUCCACGCUAUUUUUAAGAUUCACGCAGAAUUAAAAAAAAUGGCGAAAAAAGAUAAGCCUAAAAGAACGUGUUUAAUAGGAAGAUUACUCUUUAAUCAUGCAUGCUCUUCAUUUUUCUUAUUAUUUUAACUUUCUCUUGCAAAUAAGAACAAGAUAUAUUCACAGUGCGUGGUUAUCUCUGAAGUCUUAAUGCAAGUAAUAUUUUCAAAGGGCAAUUGCUUAUAUACCCUUGAAAAGUUCCGAACUUUUUGAUUUACUUCUCUUAGAAACUUAAUAUUGAAAAUAUUUUUUUUACGUUCCAACCUUUUCAAAUAUAUUCAUAGAGUUAAAUUCUGUUAAUGAACUAUUUGCAAUAGCUAUUAUCUGUGUAAAAUUACUAUUUUGCUCUUUCAAAUAUACACUUUCACCAUCACCGAUUUUUUUAUUUGCCCUUAAGUUAGGGGUACAAAAAUUAUUUUGAAUUUUGGUCUUUUCAAAUCUACCCUUCUACCAUCACCAACAUUUCUUAUUUAUCCUAAAGUUAAGGACAAAAGAGGUAUUUUGAUUUUUUUUAACUCUAUUAGAUAUUUAACUCAUAGUUAACCUAAGUUAACUUAACGGAUAGUAACUGCAGAGGUAUUUUGAAAUAACGAAGGAACAUAUGAAGGGUAUAUUAAAAAAAAAAAAAGGGAUAAAUGAGAUAUUUUUGAAAUUUUGAGUGCUAUAUAGGCAAUUAUUUCUAUUUUCAAUCAUAUGAGUUAUUCUUAACUUGACACGCAAAGUGCUCUUUUUUUUAUUCCCUAGUUUCAUGGAAGUAGACAAGCGUGUUAGUUUUCUAAUGCUUUGAUUUUGUAUCUAAUCAAGGGGUUUCCCCCAAGCUAAGAUAAGUGCUCUUAGAUAUGGUUUCAGUGGCUAAAAUUGGUGGGCACACAAAGUACACUGUCCAUUUCAUAUUUUUGGACCAUUCCCAUAUGGGGGGGGGGGGGGGNGAGUUUUAAAGACACAAACCAUCUUUCCAUUGGUCCAAACAACCAACUGAAACCAAUCAUGUAUGGCAAGGACCGAAAACGAGCCGAGCUCGAGCGAGCUAAUCUCAGCUUAAGUUCGACUUGAAAUUAAUUCGAGCCUAAAUUUAGGCUCAAGCUUGGUUGAAAUUGAUUUGAGCCGAGCUCAAGUGAGCCUAACUCUGAGCCGAGCGAGAUCGAGCCCUAAAAGAGCCGCUUGAAAUUGUUAACAUCAAACAAUUUAUAGCUUAUAUUUUAUAAAACAUUAUCUAGAAUUUGUAACGAAAUAUGUUUAAUAGUUCAACAUACAAAAUAAAUGUGUAUAUUUUGCUGGUUUAGUCUUACGGACCAGCAAAUUAAUAUGGCCCGAUAAUCUAAACUAGCUAAGGGCACGCGCGAUGUCGCAGGGAGAUAAUAUUUCAGUUAUUUUUCAGAAUAUUUAUUUUUUAAAUACGUAUAAUUUUACGAAUACGCUCGCACAAAUUAGAUACAAUAUUUUACACUAACUUUAUUCGAAGCACAUUGCUUUCAUACAUUUUAUAAUAUUAAAUAAAAUUAAAAUUAUAUAAAGUAUUACCUAAUUAAAAUAGUAAGAGAACACAAAAUCGCGCACUAUCAAAAAACAAAGGGUGAACAACAGCUGCCUAUUUAUAAAAAAAUAAAUCAACCAGAUGUAUAGCUAUUUCUUUACAUUGUAUUUAGAAAAUUUUAUUAUAAAAGUAGAAAUUUAGUAAUUUUUGUAUUAAGCCUUUUUUAUAUAUUAUAGAUUGCAAUUAUUAUGUUAGAUUUUAAUUUUUUCAUAUGAAUUAUUAAAAAAUAGAUUUUUUUUGUUCAUACAAGAAUUUUUAGACGUGGUGUAGAUAAAAAAAGAAAGAAAAGAAAAGGUAAUGGGAGAGAGAGGGCAGUGGAGAAAGCGGAUGGGCCCCACCAAUGCUCCAAGUCGGUGUAUAACUUUUUUUUUACACUGAAUGAAAUUUUAAUUUUUUUAUAUCGACUAUUAAAAAGUAUGAUUGGUCAAUGCAAUAAAAUUUUACACCCAAUGUAGAAAAAAAUAAAAAAAAAUCAAAUUAUAAAUUGUAUAUGAACAUAUCUUAUACACUUGGUGUACAAUUUUUUUUAUACCGUGUGAAAUUUUAAUUUUGUUAUAUCGAUUAUUAAAAAAUAGAUUGGUCCAUACGAUAAAAUUUUACACUCGGUGUAGGUAAAAAUAAAAAAGAAAAGGAAAAAAAAAAGAGGGUGCAGGGUGAGCAAGAGAGAGAGUGUGUGGGAAAGUGAAAAAAAAAAAGGUGGGCCCCACCAAAGUGAGUAGGAGGCGGCCGUACAAAUUUUGGGUUAUAUAUAUAGAGAGAGAGUUCGACUACUAUACUCUUAUGAGUAUAGAUCUUUUUGUACUCAUAAGUUAUUUUCGAUUAUCAUUAGAUUAAUAAAGUCGGAAAGAUGAAAUUUGAUUUCUAGAUAAUUUAAGUGGUGUGAUCAUAUUUAACCGUGCUGAUCGUCGAUUUGGAGGCUCCAUCAUCGAAAAUAAAUGGGUGGCAACGAAAUCUGUUUGCUACUGAUAGCAUUUCAGCUCAACUCUACAUAUAUAAAUAUAAACUAAAAUUAGCGAGAAUAUAAUAUAUAAUGUAAUUAAAGGUUCACACUCAUGUUCAAUUUUGUAUACCUAUGUUUUAUUCAACAAAUUUUAAUAUUUUAAUAAAUAUAAAUACAAUUUUAACAUAAAAUUGUAAUAAAAUAAACAAAAAAUAUAAUUGAGAACCACUUUAUCUUCUACAAUAUAUAAGAAAUACAUUGCAAUUAAAGAUUCACACUCAGUAACCACUUUCUUUUCUGCUUUUAUUUCUGUACCGCUAGAAUGGAAAAUGUAAUGGACAUCUAUGAUUUUGAGAGGAUUUGGUUAAGAGAAAGGAGAGCAACAAAGGGAGAGGAGAGCGAGGUGGUUGUGAGAGACGGUUUUGAGUAAUUUAUUUUGGAAUGGACCAAUACGAAAUUCAAAGUUGGACUAGGCCCUAAAUGAAUUGAGUCAUUCCUAUUCCAGAGUGGAAUGAGAAUCGUUAUUCGAUUCUUAUAAAAUAAAUAACAACUAUUAGAAUCACUAAAUCUCAUUACGAUUUCAUAGUCCAAAAUAAGUGAACCAAACAGGCCCUAAAAUUUCUCUAAUUUUGCUGUUUGUUUGACAGGUAGAAUUUUAUUAUUUUUUCUCACUCCUUGUAUUUUUAAUUGAUUUUGACUGGGGGGUAAACUGAAGUCAAUUACAGUAUUUUAGAGAGUUUGAGUUUCGAUUAAACAACAAAAGUAGACAUCUAUAGUAAAAAAAACCAUCCAUCUCUCUUUACUUUCGAUAAAACAAACACGCACUUAAUACCUAAGGCACAGAAAAACAUUUCUACCACAGCAAUUGUUCUCUUAGCCAAACAAUUAGGCAUGUCAAGGGGUCGAAUUUGGGGUUGGUUUUCAGAAACCCGAACCUGACUACUACCCCCAAAAACCGAACCGAAUCCGAAUUUCAAUAGAUUUUAAAAUCCAUAUACAAACCUAAAUUAGACCAAAAAUUCGAAACCCGAACCAAAAAAUUUAAACUCGAAAUAAUUAUUUCUCUUUACCAUAUUUCAAAACAUAUUACAUUAAAUCUAGAUUUUUAAAAUACAAAUUCAAAUAUAUCAUAAAAUGUUCAUAUCUACAUUUUAUAAUGUAAAAUCAAUUCGGAUUCGAAUUUGGGUGCAAGUUAAAUGCACACAAAAUUCAUAUCCGAAUUUAAAUUCGUCGAAUUUUUUAUUUUUAUAUUUAUAAUUAUAUUCAAAAUUAUAUUCGUAUAGCAUUGAAGAAAUCUGCUCAGUAAACAUCUACAUCCCUAAAAGCAAACCUCGAAGGCUAUGUAUUUGAGAUUAAAAAAAUUCAAAUUCAAAUUAAGGACAUACUUUGUUUGAGAUUAAAAAAAAAAAAUUUCAAAAAAAAAGAAAGAGCUUCCAGUAGUAUUCUUUGACGGCGACGGCAACGACGAUUCCGACGACGAUAAUCACAACGACUUCUACGACAACAAGAGAUAUGCAUGCAUACGAAUAGCGUAAGUGCGAUUUUCGUGUCGGUUUGAUCAACCUGACUAUCUUCAUGAUAGGUUUCGAACCGAUCAAAUUUGACAUCAAAUCGUCACUUCCGCCGUAUGUAUGCAUCGCUAAUCUCUAAACCGUACGGCCAUCUUCGCGAUAGGCUCUACAUGGUCGAAAUGGUUGAUCGAGUAUUGGAUAUUUUACUACGUAAACCGUGCGGCCAUCUUCGCGAUAGGCUCGACGUGGUCGAAAAGGUUCAUCGAACACCGAAAAAUUUACUACCUAAACCGUACGGCCAUCUUCGCGAUAGGCUCGACAUGGUCAAAGGGGUUGAUCGAGCGGUCAUCCUCGUGAUAGGCUUGACACGAUCAAACCCGGCUAUACCGUGCGACCAUCUUCGUGAUAGGCUUGACACGAUCGAACCCGCCGCAUAUUUGGACAAUAAAAAAAAAAACGAUUAACAUAUUUUGAUUUGCCAUCUUCGCGAUAGGCAUUGUUCGAAUCAUUCGCCAUGUUCUUGAUAGGCACGAUUCGACUUGAUCAACACGACCAUCUUCGCGAUAGGCUCGGACCGAUCAAAUAAAAAAAUAAUUAAAAAAUUGACGAACAUAUUUUAAUUUGCCAUCUUCGUGAUAGGCUUGGCCCAAGUCCGGUUUAUUUAACUGGGUCGCCAUCUUCGUGAUAGGUUUGACCCGGAUUUGAUUCAUUUAGCCGAGUUGCCGUCUUCGUGAUAGGUUUGAUCGAGGUUUGAUUCGGUCAAACCAAAUCGACUGUAUAAAUAUUUGGUUUGAACUGAAUCCAAUAUAAUUAUGAGUUCAAUUUGAACUUAAUGAAAAAGGAUGAGCUAAACUUAAGUCAAAUCGGCUUGGAUACAAGCUCUAAUUGAACCAACCCAAGUUGACGUCGGUUCAUGUAAGUGAUGGAUAAAAAAAAAAAAAUUAAAGACCAAGUUGGUGAACCAAGUCUAAAAUGGUGAACCAAAUUUAUAACGGUGAACCAAGCCUAAGUGUUAAACCACAUAUAUGGCAUCGAACCGAACUCGCAACAGUGAACCAAACCAAAAUUAAGUUGAACCGAAUCUAAGAAGGUGAAGCGAACCCAAAGCGAUGAACCAAAUCGACUCAUAAGCUGGUUCAACUCAAAUUGAACUCUGACUCAAGAGCUUUGAACCAAACCAAAUAAUGAACCGGUUUGAUCUGAACCAAACUACAAGCUGGUUCAACUCAAACUGAACCACAUGAGGAUCAAGUAGACCGAACCACGAGUCAGUUCAAAUCGAACUGAGCCACAAAGGUGUUCCAAGUCAAGUCGAACCAAAGCACAUACCGGUUCAGCUCAAACGAAAGCACAAGAGGUUCGAGCCAAGCCAAGUCGAACCAAUUAUAAGCCGGCUCAACCUAAACCGAAUAAUAAAGGAUUUGACUUGAACCGAAGCGGAUCCAACCCGAACUGAAUCGAACCGGAUUCCGUCUGAACCAAAUUAUAAGGAAUUUGACUUGAACCGAAGUGAAUCCGAUCAGAACUGAACCAAAGCGGAUUCGAUCCGAUCUGAACCGAACCGGAUCCAAUCUGAACCAAAUCAUAAGGGAUUCGACACGAACCGAAGUGGAUCCGAUCCGAACUGAACCGAAUCGAAUCGGAUCCCGUCUGAACCAAAUCAUAAGGGAUUCGACUCGAACCGAAGUGGAUCCGAUCCAAACUGAACCGAACCGGAUCUCGUCCGAACCAAAUCAUAAAGGAUUUGACUUAAAUCGAAAUGAAUUCGAAUCGAAUCGAACCGUAAAUGAUUCAACUUGAACCGAAACGGGUCCGAUCCGAACCAUACCAUAAAGGAUUUGACUUGAACCGAAGUGGAUUCAGUCCGAACCGAACCAUAGAAGAUUCAACUCGAACCGAAGUGGAUCCGAUCUGAACCAAACCAUAAAGGAUUUGACUUGAACCGAAGUGGAUCCGAUCUGAACUGAACCGCAAAGGAUUCAACUUGAACCAAAGUGGAUCUGAUCUGAAUCGAACUGCAAAGGAUUUGACUUGAACCGAAAUGGAUCUGAUUCGAACCGAACCAUAGAAGAUUCAACUCGAACUGAAGCAGAUCCGAUCUGAACCAAACUACAAAAGACUUCAACUUGAAAUUGAAAUGGAUCCGACCCGAAGUGAACCGCAAAAGGGUUCCAAGUCAAGUCGAACUAAAGCAUAUGCCGGGUUCAACUCAAACAGAAGCACAGGAGGUUUGAGCCGAGCAAAGUCGAACCAAGUACAAGCCGAUUCAGCCUAAAUCGAGCCAUAAAUGAUUCGACUUGAACCGAAGUGGAUCCAAUGCGAACCAAAACAUAAAGGAUUCGAUUCGAACCAAAGUUGAUCGAGUGAACCCAACUAAAAAGGAUUCAAUUUGAACCAAAGUGGAUCUAAUUCGAACCGAACUAUGAAGGAUUCGAUUCGAACCGAACUACAAAGGAUUCGAUUCGAACCAAAGCCGAUCCGAUAUGAACCGAAUCAUAAAGGAUUCAACUCGAACCGAAGUGAAUCCAAUUUGAACCAAACUACAUGAAGAUCGAGCUAAACCAAACCAAACCACAAGCCGGGUUCGACUCAAACAGAAGUACGGGAGAUCCAAGCCGAGCCGAUUUGCCGAACUACUUCAACUUGAAUUGAGGUGGGUGCAACCCAAACAAAAUUAUAGAAGGUCCAAAUCGAGCCAAACCGAACUACAAGCUGGUCCAACUCGAAUGGAGCCACAAGAGGAUCGAGCCAAGCCAAGCCAACCCGAACCAAUUACGAGCCGGUUCAUCCCAAACUGAACCAUAAAAGGAUUCAACCUGAACCAAAGUGGUUUCAAUCCGAACAGAAGCACAGGAGGCUCGAGGCAAGUUGAACCAAACUACAAGUCUGUUUUACUUGAAUCAAAUCAUAAAGAAUUCAACUUGAACCGAAGUGGUUUCAAUCUGAACAGAAGCAUACGAGGUUCGAGCCACGUUAAACUGAACUACAAGUCGGUUCAAGUUAAAUCAAAACGGGACGGAGCUAUAUGUCGGUUCAACACAAACUACACAACUUGAACUAAACUAUGAACCGGUUCGAUCCCAAAUCAAAAUUAAAGGGCGAGCUCAACUCAAACUGAACCACAUGAGGAUCGCAGCAAGCCGAAUCAAGCAUAAACAGGUUCAACCCAAAACUAACUUGGAAAGAGCAAUAAGUGAUUUGGCCCAAACCAAAUGCAAAAAGGUUCUAAGCCAAGGCGAACCACAAUAGCUCAACCCAAAUCAAACACAAAAGGUUCAAGCCAACCCAAAACCAAAGUCGACAAAUAAAUCUCAAAACCCAAAGUCCACAAAUAAAACUCCAAAAUCCAAAGUUCACAAAUAAAAUUCCAAAACCCAAAAUCCACAAAUAAAACUCAAAACCCAAAGUCCACAAAUAAAACCAACGACCGUAAAGUCGCUAAACUACACCAAAUUCAAACGACUAUAAAGUUGUUAAACUAAACCCAAAAUCAAACGACCGCAAAGUCGUUAAACUAAACAACCCAAAUUCAAACGACCGUAAAGUCGCUAAACUACACCAAAUUCAAAUGACCGUAAAGUUGUUAAACUACACUCAAAUUCAAACGACCGUAAAGUCGUUAAACUAAACCCAAAUCCAAACGACCUCAAAGUCGAUAACUAACAAACCCAAAUUCAAACGAUCGCAAAGUCGUUAAACUAAUAAAUCCAAAUUCAAGCCGACCGCCACGUCGUUAAACUAGGUGAUUCAAAUCAAGCCGACCGCCACAUCGUUAAACUGAGCGGCUCAACUCAAGCUGACCACCAUGUAGUUAAACUGAGCACCAUAAACUCAAACCGACUGCCAUGUCAUUAAAUUGAGCACCAAAAACUUAAACCGACUGCCAUGUCAUUAAACUGAGCACCAAAACUCAAACCGACCGCCAUAUCAUUAAACUGAACACCAAAACUCAAACUAACUGCUAUGUCAUUAAAUUGAACAACUCAAUUUAAAAUCGACCGCCAUGUCAUUAAACUGAGCAACUCAAUCUAAAAUCGACCGCCAUGUCGCUAAACUGAGCGCCUCAACUUCAAUCGACCGCCAUAUCGCUAAACUGAGCAUCUCAACUUCAGUCGACCGCCAAGUCGCUAAAUUGAGCAAAUCAAAUUCAGAUAUGACCGUCAAGUCGUUAAACUAAAUAAAUGACUGUUAAGUCAUUAAACUGAACAUUCGAUCGCCAUGUCAUUAAACUGAGCAUCAAAACUCAAACCGACCGCCAUGUCAUUAAACUGAGCACCAAAACUCAAACCGACUGUCGUGUUAUUAAACUGAGCACUAAAACUCAAGCCGACCGCCAUGUCAUUAAACUGAGCAACUCAAUCUAAAAUCGACAGCCAUGUCGCUAAACUGAGCACCUCAACUUCAAUCGACCGCUAAAUCGCUAAACUGAGCAAGUCAUGUUCAGAUAUGACCGUCAAGUCGUUAAACUGAACAAAUGACUAUUAAGUCAUUAAACUGAACAUAUGACCGUCAUAUCGUUAAACUGAGCAAACCAAUAUCUAACUCUUUUUGGCUGCCAUGUCGUUAAACUGAGCAAAUUUAAAUUAAACUAAACCUCAACUUAUUUCGAACGACCGUCAUGUCAUUAAACUGAGCAAUCUGAUCCCAAUCGACCAUCAAGUUUAUAAACUGAGUAUUUAAUUUUAUGAGAUUCAUGUACAGUGGGGGAAUGUCCCUGCUUAAGCCACGUACACGGCAAAUCAUAUUAAUAAAAUUUUAUUUGCCUGUUUAAUCUGUUUUAGUAUCAGCAUUUAUAUUCGGUCUCUUAAUCGAGGGUUCCUUAACACUAAAAGUAUGGAGUAAUUAACAGCAGACUCUUGAGUCUGUUGGAAGCCAUGAACCUGUAAUCCUGAUUUCAAAAAUAAAAUUUAAAUAAAUUUAAUCUGUACCGUGAAUGAUCAUUCGCCUUAGAAACACCUACGGCGGGGCUAUUUCGUUCGCAGCAGAAACUAUGUUUGGUUGGGGGUUAAGGGUGGAAUAAAUGGUUUAUUCCACCCUUAUCCCCUAAAUACAAAAAAAAAUUGGUGGGAACACUAAUUCCCAUCUUAACAAGCUAUUCUAGGAUAGCCCGUUAAAGGGUAAGAACUAGUGUUCCCACUUCAAGGUGGAACAAGCUGGGAUAACCCUGCUUGCUCCACCCGUGAAGAGAGAGAGAGAGAGAAUUUUUAAUAUAUUAUAAAAUUUAAAUUUUGUAAGUUAAAAAUUUAAAUUUAUAAUUUUUAAAAUUACAAAAUUAAAUAUUUAAAUUUUAAAGCGUUUAAUUUUAAAAUUAAAAUUUGACAUUUUAAAUUUUUUUAUAUUUAAAAUUUGAUAUUUUGUAUUUUUAAAUUAAAAUUUCAUCUUAAAUUUAAUAGUUUAAAAUUUAAAAUUUUAAUUUUUUAAAAUUAUAAAUUUGAGAUUUUAAAAUUUUAAAUUUUAAAAGUUUAUAUUUUAAAUUCUAAAAUAUUAAAAUAUAAAAAUUUUAAUUCUAAUAUAAAGAAAGGGAUAAUAUCAAUAUUUUUUAUUUAUAACUACCUACUUUAAUUCUUAUUCCAUCUUAUCCAAACAUGCUUUUUUACCUAACCAAAUGCUAUUUUUUUAUUCCUACGAAUAACCCAAUUUUCAUUCAAAUGUAAAAUUGAUUUAAUCCCCGCUUAUGCCUCAAUUUAUACAUAUUCCUGAAAUAGCCACUUUUUGCUUAUCCCUAGAAAUAAUCACUUUUUGCUUAUCCUCAAACCAAACGAUGCCGAGUAUGAGAAAGAACUGCCCAUUUUAGGGAUACUGACUAUGAGAAAGAACUGCCCAUUCCAGGGAUAGAUAUAAGUUCAGGUAGAAGUCUGUGAUAGAUUAAUUUUGUAUUUGGAUGAAAAUUGAAUUGUUAAAGGGAAUAAAAAAAAAUAGAGUUUGGAUAGAGAGAAUAAAAAAAAAUAGAGUUUGGAUAGAUAAAAUGGAAUAAGAAGAAUAGUGUGUAGUUAUAAAUAGAAAAUAAUAAUUGCCGCUUAUAUUAUAUUUAAAUUUAAUAUUUUAAAAUUUAUAUUCAAAUUUUUAAAUUUAAAUAUAUAAUUUUAAAAUUGUAAGAUUUUAAAAUUUAAAAUCUUUAAAUUCCAAAUUCAAAAAUUCAAAGUUUUAAAUUUUAAAUUUUAAAUUUUAAUAUUUAAUUUAAAAUUUUAAUUUUAAUUUUUAAAUGUCAAAUUGAAAGUUCUUAAUUUUAAAUUUUAAAUUUAAUUUAAAUUUAGAAGUUAAAAUUAUAAAUUUUUAAUUUUAAAACUUAAAUUAAAUUUAAAAUUUAAAAUUUAAAUUGAAAUUUUUAAAAAAUUAUAUAGGAGUGGGAACAGCAGCCGUUCACACCCUAUUCUCACACAAAGGAUAAGGUAGCUAUCCCAAAGGAUCGGGUAUAAUGAAUAGGGUAACCCCUUAUCCCACUCCUCCUUCUACCUAGGGAUGCAAACGGGGCGCGGAGCCCCGCCGCCGCCCGCCGCCGCCUGAGCAAAUCUCGCGCCCUGCCUCCCCGCUCCGAAUCAUGACGGGGUAAAAAAUACAUUCCAUAAUCUACCCCGCCUCGAAACCCGUCUCCCGCUGGCGCCCCAAUCCGCCCCGCCAACUAAUAUUUUUUAUAAAAUUAUAAUAUUAUUAAUAUUUUAUAAAAUAUAAAAUAAUAAUUUUUAAUAAUAUUAUAUAUAUAAUUUAACAAUAUCUAUUAUAAAAAUCAAAAAUACCAAUCACAAUUCAAAACAAAAUUCAAAAGUUUCAAAUACAAUUCAAAAGUUUCAAAUACAUUAAAAAUAAGAGUACUAACUUAUUUGUAUUUUGAACUUCUUUGUAAAUAUAUUAUUUUUUAAAAAUAUUUUUUAAAAAUAUAAAUAAUUUUCGGAGCGGAUUCGAGACGGGUCAAAAUUUUUCCCGUUUCCUGCCCCGAAUCCAUCUCGAUCGUAAAAUUUACUCCGUUUUCUACCUCGAAUUCGUUUAUUUUCUUUCAUUUACUGUCUCCGUCGGAACAGAUCGGGACGGGAGCUCCACCAAUCCGGAUCCGUUUGCAUCCCUACUUAUACCUGAACCAAACACGGGUACAGUUCUUGCCCCCUUAUUUUAUUUGUUUAUUUUUAUUGGCGCGUUGACUGACCGAAGGCUGCAGUGACGUACCGCGCGGGAUCGUCGGUCUUUCCUUCUCAACGGCUGCCGACCAGCAACUGCAUCCGCACCUGCAGCCAACUCCGCAGAUGUACCAGAAAACCCCCCAACCCAGCUGUACCAAACUACCAAUACCCUCGGUCCCACUCACCUCUCGCCACGUGUCCAACACGACGCGUGGGCCCAUUUCGUAGCCCCUCGUACCCCCCGCGCCGCUCCAACUUAUUAGUCUACGCCUCGAGGGGACGCAGCGGAGCCUCGAAUGAAGGCACGUUUCAAAAAGUUUCUCCUUUUUUACAUUGUGCCCCUCCUUAAAUAUUUAUUUUACAAGUCAUAGUAUUGAAAAUUAUAAAUAUAAUAAAUUUUGAGCUAGGUUUUUGUGCUUUUAAAAUCAAUGUGGGCUCCAUGCAAUUAUGGGGGUAUUUGGCCUAACUUUUAAAAUGUGUUUUUCUGAAAAGUGGUUUUCGACUCAAUAAAGCGCUAGGCAACCUUAUUUUUAAAAUCUAAUUCUACUUUUCAGAAUAAAAAAAUUGAUUUUGAAGACCCUAUAAUUAGAAACAGAAAAAAGCUGCUUCUUGAAAUCUGAUUCUGAUUUUGGAUUCAAACUUCAAAUUUUAUUUUAAUUUUAAAUUCAAAAAUUAAAUUUAAAUUUAAUUUUAAAUUUUAUUUAGAUUUAUUUUUUAAUUUUUAAAUUUUAACUUGUAAAUUUUAAAAUUUGAAAAAUAGAUUUCAAACUUAAAAUUUUAAUUUUAAUUUUAAAUUUCAAAUCUCAAAUUUUAGAUUUUAAAUUUCAAAUUUCAAAUUUAAGAUAAAAUUUAAAAUUUGAUAUUUUAGAUUUUAAAUUUAAAUUUAAAAAUUUUAAAAAUUUAAAUUUUAAAUUUUAAAAUUUCAUAAUUAUUUUAAUUUUUAAUUUUUAAAUUUUAAAUUUUAAAUUUCAAGUUUUAAAUUUUAAAUUUCAUAAUUAUUUUAAUUUUUAAUUUUUAAAUUUUUAAUUUUUAAAUUUUUAAAUUUUAAAUUUUUAAAUCAUUUUUAAAAUUAAAAUAUCAAUUUUUAAAUUUUUGUACAAUUUUUAAUUUUAAAAAUUCUAAUUAAUUCAAAUUUAAAUUUAGAUUUAAAUUAUUUUAAAAUAAAAUUUAAUAAAAAUAUUAAUUUAUGCAAAUAUUCAAAAAAUUUUGUCCAACAGCUUUUCAAAAUUUCUUCAAAAAAAUCAUUUUUAUCUAAACUCGAGCCAAACGUUCUACAGUUUUCAAUCAAAAUAACUUUUUUAAACCAAAAUCACUUUUUCAAAAAAUUACUUUUUCAGAAGCUAGGCCAAACUAAGUUGUUUUCGAUGUUGACGCUCCAACUUUUCUAUGCCUCCACAGGACGCAAUGAAGCCUCGAAUGAAUGAGGGCUCGUUUUAGAUUUUUUUCUUUUUUUUUACAUUUUAGUCCUCUUAAGAAUAUUUAUUUUACAAAACUGUCCUAUCACAAAUUAUAAAAAUAAUAAAUUUUGAGCUAGGCUUUUGUGCUUUUAAAAGCAAUGUGGGCUCCAUACUAUCAAAUUGAUUUUGUUGUUGGCGCUUAAUUUUUCUACGCAACGAGGGGACGUAGGGAUCCUCAAGUGAAGGCUCGCUUCAGAAUUUUCUCCUUUUUUUUUUUUUACAUUUUAGGCCUCUUAAGAAUAUUUAUUUUAUAAAUCAUCCUAUUAAAAUUAUAAUAUAAUAAAUUUUGAGCUAGGCUUUUGUUUUUUAAAAGCAAGAUGUCCACCGUGUUAUCAUGUCGUUUUCGAUGUUGGCACUCCAACUUUUCUACGCCUCAAGAGAACGCAGCGAAGCCUCGAAUAAAGGCUCGCUUCAGAAUAUUCUCUUUCUUUUUACAUUUUAGUCCUUUUACCGUGUUAUCAAGUCGUUUUCGAUGUUGGCGCUCCAACUUUUCUACGCCUCAAGAGAACGCAGCGGAGCCUCAAAUAAAGGCUCGCUUCAGAAUAUUCUCUUUCUUUUUACAUUUUAGUCCUUUUAAGAAUAUUUAUUUUAUAAACCAUCCUAUUAAAGUUAUAAAUAUAAUAAAUUUUGAGCUAGGCUAGGGUUUUGUGCUUUUAAAAGCAAGGUGUGGUCCAUGCUAUCAAGUUAUUUUUGAUGUUGAGAUCUCCAAAUUAAUGAUCGGCUUAAUUAGACUUGAUUUAGAGUAUUUAAGUAUUUUGAAAAUAAAUUUCGUAAUUUUUCAAUACCAUUUGUAUAAUAAUUGGAGGGGCCCAAAAUCAACAAUUUUAAUGAUUGUGGUAAGCCAUUUGUAAAUUUAACUAUUUAAAAGUAUUUGAAUUACAUAAAAUUUUGACAAAAAAAUUUUCAUAGUAUAUAAAACAAUAAAAAAUCUUUGAUCUAAAGUUUUAGACAUUUAGUGCCAUAUCAUUAUAUUUUGUAAGAUUUUUCUUCUAAUCCCUUUCGUUCACUAAAUCACUAGAUAAAUGAUAUCAAAAAAUCGCAAAAUUUAUUUUCUAAUUAUUUUAAAUACUUUAAAUCAAGUCUAACGGAGCCGGUCGUCGAUUUGAAAGUCCCAGCAUCGAAAACGACUUAAUAGUAUGGAGACCUCCGUACUUCUAAAAGCACACAAGCUAGACUCAUAAAUUUUUACUCUUUGGAUUUUAGGUCAACUCAAAUUUAAAGAGAACUAUAUUUUAUGAAUUUCAAUUAUUAAAUUAAGAUACUAAUUUUCUUAUUUUCUUUUAAUUUUUCACCCGGUAGUAAGGCUUACAAUCUAAUUUGUUGUUCCCGAGCAAGAGCAAGCUCGUGUUUGGCUCGUUAAUAAACAAGCCGAACAUGAGUUGAAUUUCUCAACUCGAUAUUUUAACAAGGCAGUUUGCGUUCGACGCGUUUAAUAAAUAAAUAAACACGAGUCAGUGCCCGCUAACUUGUGUUCGACUUAUUUAAUAAAUAAGCAAACAUGAGCCGGCUCCAGCAAACUCAUGUUUGGAUGGUCCCAACAUAAUUUUCUAGUAGAAUAAGAAAGAAAUAUUUUAGUGAAUACUGUGAGUGGAAAUAUAUUUAAUGUAUUUUUAAAAAAAAUACGUCACACUAUUUAACUAAACAUAAUAAAUAAAUUAUUAUGUUCUAAACAGGAUGAAUAACCAUGGUGUUUAUUUAAAGGGAUAAUUAUCUAUAUACCCGUCAUACGUUUGAAAAUAUCCGAUUUAUCCCUAUUUUUUUUUUCCUUUCUAAAAUACCCCUCAUAUGUUCCACCGUUAUUGCAAAAUAUCUCCGCUGUUAUCUCCUGAUAAGUUAACUUGUGUUAAAUGUGAGUUAAAUAUCUACCACAGUUUAAAAAAAUUAAAAUGCCAAUUUUGCCCUUAACUUAAAGAAAAAUAAGAAAUAUUGGUGACGGUAGAGGGGUAUAUUGGAAAAUACCAAAAGUCAAAAUACUUUUUGUGUCCCUGACUUUAAGGGCAAAUAAGAAAGUCAGUGAUGGUGGAAGCCUAUAUUUGAAAGGGCAAAAUAAUAAUUUUACAGAGAUAAUAGAGUUAAUUAACAAAUUUUAACUCUAUGAGUAUAUUAGAAAUAGGUUGGAACGUAGAAAAGGUAUUUUUAAUAUUAGCCUUCUAAGAGGGAUAAAUCGGAAAGUCGAAAACUUUUCAGGAGUAUAUAAGUAAUUGCUCCUAGGGGUGGCAAUCCAGCUCGCUGAUCGCGAGCCAGCUCGUGUUCGGCUCAAAAUGAGCUUGGGAUCAGCUCGCUUGUUUAGUAAACGAGCCGAACACGAGCUUGAUUUUUCAGCUCAUUUAAUAAACGAGCCGAACACGAGCUGGGGUCAGCUCGCUCGCGUUCGGCUCUAUAACAGCUCGAAUACAUAUAUUUUAUAUUNUCCACCGUUAUUGCAAAAUACCCCCGUUGUUAUCUCCUGUUAAGUUAACUUGGGUUAAAUAUGAGUUAAAUAUCUACCACAGUUAAAAAAAAUUAAAAUACUAAUUUUGCCCUUAACUUAAAGGCAAAUAAGAAAUGUUGGUGACGGUAGAAGGGUAUAUUGGAAAAUACCAAAAGUCAAAAUACUUUUUGUGUCCCUGACUUUAAGGGCAAAUAAGAAAGUCAGUAAUGGUGGAAGGCUAUAUUUGAAAGGACAAAAUAAUAAUUUUACAGAGAUAAUAGAGUUAAUUAACAGAUUUUAACUCUAUGAGUAAAUUAGAAAUAGGUUGGAACGUAAAAAUGGUAUUUUCAAUAUUAGCCUUCUAAGAGGGAUAAAUCGAAAAGUUGAAAACUUUUCAGGAGUAUAUAAGCAAUUGCUCCUAGGGGUGGCAAUCCAGCUCGCUAAUCGCGAGCCAGCUCAUGUUCGGCUCAAAAUGAGCUUGGGAUCGGCUCGCUCGUUUAGUAAACGAGCCGAACACGAGCUUGAUUUUUCAGCUCAUUUAAUAAACGAGCAGAACACGAGCUGGGGUCAACUCGCUCGUGUUCGGCUCGAUAACAGCUCGAAUACAUAUAUUUUAUAUUUAUAUAAUUUAUUUAAUUUAUAUUUUUAUAUAUAAAUAAAUAAUUAUAUAUAAUAUAUAUUUUUAUUAUUUAAAUUUUAGCAAAAUAAAAAUAUAAAUGCGAGCUUAAUUCUAAAAAGACUCAUUUAUAUGUAAAGUUUCAACUAGUAGAUAAAGUCUAAUGGAUAAGAUUUUAUAAAUUUAUUUUUUAGGGGCAAUUUCAUGGAUACCCUUCUCAAAGUCUAAAAUAUCAUAGAUGCCCCUCUAAAAUUUAAAAUAUCGCCUAUACCCCUGUAAAUACAGAAUAUUAUCAUCAAUACCCUUACUGUUAGUUAAGUUAGUUUUACCAUAGUUAUUAAAGGGUUAAAGAUGGGUUAACUUUUAAAAUGACUCAUUUACCCUCAAGGUUCUUUUAAGAAAAAAUGUAUGGAGAUCCCCUCAACUUAUGCCAUUUUGAAACUGCUCCCUCAACUUUAUUUUUUUAGUUGAUAUCCAUUUUAGUGUAUGAAAAAAAUGAGAAUUUUUUAGUUUUUUUUUUGAUAAUUUCACCAAAUCUAGUCGCUCUAUUUAUAUUUUAUCGAAUAAAUAAUUAUAUAUAAAAAUUUAAAUGAAAAUAAUGUUAAAAAAUUAUCUGAUCUUUCUUUAAUUUUGAAAGUUAAAAUUUUUUUUAAUCAAAAUUAUUCUCGAUAAUUUUAUCUGCAUUAAAUGCAUUAAAAAACUGAAACAUAAUAUAUUUUAGCUUUCGAACAAAAACUCUAUUUUUGUUUCAAUCGACAGAAUAAUUCAUGCAUAUAGUUAUGUGAUUUACUUUUGCUUAAAUAGGAAAAAAAUAAAAUCUAUAAUUUAUUUCAAAAUUACUAUUACUAAUUAGGAAUAUAAAUUGAUAAAGAUACGCAAUUUUAUCUAAACUCGAUUUAAAAUGAGGUUAAGGCUUAAUCAAAUGUUUUUUUACUGAAUUAGCGAAUAAGUUGUUAUAGAUUAUCAAAAAAUAAAAUCCAUCGUAUGUAAAUUCAGUUAUGCGUUUGCUUCUAUAUUUAAACUGAACUUGAACCGAAACCCGAACUAAAAACAAAACACCAAAUUAGAUAAAAACAUACUAUAUAUAAAAUAUAAUUUUAUAUUAUUUUUUAUAUUAUUAUAUUAAUGAUUUAAUUUAUAUGAUAUAUAUUAAUACUCAAUUUAGAUUUACAAAAUUAUCUUAAAUACUAUUUAGUAUUUUUAUUAUUAAGUAUUAAUAAGAGAUAAAGGGUAAAAAAUGGUAUUUGAAAUUUAAACUCCGGUUUCAAAUAGGUCCUAACGGAUCUAAACUAAUAGAGGGCAUUUAUGAUAUUUUUACAUAUUUGGAGGGUAUGGUGAUAUUAUCAAUUUUAAAGGGUAUGAUGAAUUAAUAGUUUCUAGAAGGCAUCUAUGAAUUAUUCCUAUUUUUUAAUAUAUUAUUAAUUAAAUAUUUUUUUUAAUUUAUUGUUGUUGGCCAGACCAUGAGCCAAUAACGAGCAAACCCGAGCUAAAUUUUUUGGUCGAUACUAAUGAAGCCAACUCGUAUUCGGCUCGUUUCAAAUAAGAGCCGAACACGAGCCGACCCAGCUCGCUCGUGUUCGGCUUGUUUACACCCUAAUUGCUCCUUAUUUAAAAUAUUUUACAUAACGCUCCUGUAUGUUACUUUUGAUUAGGAUCAUUUGUAAAUAUUUUUUUUUUGAGAAGCUAAAUGCAAAAAAGAGACUACUUGUUCAACUUGGAUUGGAGAACAUAAUGCAUGGGGACCCCCUCAACUGUAAAAUAUUUCAAAAUAGCCCCUUCCACUAGUUUCUAUUGAGAUUUGACGCUCGUUCACGGUCCAUUUGGACAGAUCUAUAAAAAAAUAUUCUAUUUAUUUUUUAAAUAAUAUUAUAUUAUGCAUAUUGUAGCAUAUUUAUUAAGAUAUAAUUUUUAUAGUUUUACUUAAAAACAAAAAAUUAUAAUUUUAUAUGUUUACAUUUCAUUUUUUUUGUUUUUUUUUUUGAGCAAGUAUACUUAGUUAAGUCUAAAAUUAUAUUAAAUUUAGGUAAAUAUGUAUAAAUAAUCCUCGCAAAAUGCAAUUUCUUUUGAAAUAGGCUCCAAAACUUUUUUUUUUUUUAGUGGGAUUGGCAUCCACUUCAACUUUUUAAUUUCUGCAAUUGAGAUCAAAGUCAUUAGUAAUUUUAUUAAAUUUAAUAAUUUUCAAUUAAAUAUUUUUAAAAAUAAAAAUUUAUCAAUUAACUAGAGAAAAAAACUUAAAGUAUGAAAAUAAAAUUUAAGAAAGCAUUGAUCAAAAAAUCAAUUUUUUAAAUAAUUAAAAUAUACUAACUUAUAUAGUUCCACCAAAUAAUUAAAAAAUAUAUUUUCAUAUGUCUACAUCCUAAUUGUUUUUUUAUUUUAUUUUUUACUUUGUACUGUUCGGCGGUUCUUUGUAUGGAACGAUCUUCAAAUUUUUAUUUUAAAUUUUUUGUUUUGGAGCGAGUAUAUUUAAUUAAGUUAAGCUUAAAAUUAUAUUAUUAAAUAUAGGUAAAUAUAUUAUAAAGACCCCUCACCUAAACCCAAUUCUGAAAAGGUCUCCUCAACUUUAAUUUCCUUUUUUCUGGGAAUCGGGACCAAAAUCUUAAAUUUAAUAAUUUAAUUAACAACUAACGACUAUAUAUUAGCUAUUAAAUGAAAAAAUUAUUAAUUAACUAGGAAAAAAAAGUCUUUUUAUUUACUUUUUUCAUUUUUUUAUUUAUUUAACUAAAAUCCAUUUUUAAGUCUAAAGAAGUAAGAAAUGAGGAGGUCUGAUUGCUAAAAUGUUGGAAUUGAAAGGGGCUCCUUGCAAAAUGGCAAAGAAAGAAAGAGAGGGGCUUCUCACCGCUUUUUCCAAUCAUUUCAUUGCUCUUUCGUGUGAAAACAACAACAAACAUAUUAUAUAGUAACACGGAGAGAGAGCGUUACGAAAACGUUCCAUACCUUUCCGUUUGUCGCUCCCGUUUCCGUUUUCCGUUUCCGUUACCGGAGCUCGCGGAGGCGACGAGGAGGAGGAGGAGGAGGAGGAGGAGGAGGAGGAGUUCUAUGUGGGAAUCCUUCGUCUUCCUCCCGAAACCCUAAUCGUAAUUGCGUGAUCUCGAUAUGGAUCCGCGGGCGAAGGAGGCGGCGCCGCCCCCGUCCAUGGCGGAGGCGGGGGUGAUGCAGGGGGACUCGAAGCCCGGCGGCGGCAACGGGAAGAGCCGAGUGCUGCUGGGGAAGUACGAGGUGGGGAAGCUCCUGGGGCACGGGACGUUCGCGAAGGUGUACCACGCGCGGCACGCGGAGACGGGGGAGAGCGUGGCGAUCAAGGUGCUCGACAAGGAGCGGGUGAUGAAGGGGGGGAUGGUGGCGCACAUCAAGCGCGAGAUCGCGAUCCUGCGGCGGGUGCGGCACCCGAACGUGGUGCGGCUCUUCGAGGUGAUGGCGACGAAGACGAAGAUCUACUUCGUGAUGGAGUACGUGCGCGGCGGCGAGCUCUUCGCGAAGGUGGCGAAGGGGCGGCUGCGGGAGGACACGGCGCGGCGCUACUUCCAGCAGCUGGUGGGCGCCGUGGGGUUCUGCCACGCGCGCGGCGUCUUCCACCGCGACCUCAAGCCGGAGAACCUGCUCGUCGACGAGCACGGCGACCUCAAGGUCUCCGACUUCGGCCUCAGCGCCGUCUCCGACCAGCUCCGCCACGACGGCCUCCUCCACACCUUCUGCGGCACCCCGGCCUACGUCGCGCCCGAGGUGCUCGCCCGCCGCGGCUACGACGGCGCCAAGGCCGACCUCUGGUCCUGCGGCGUCAUCCUCUUCGUCCUCAUGGCCGGCUACCUCCCCUUCCACGACCAGAACGUCAUGGCCAUGUACCGCAAGAUCUACCGCGGCGAGUUCCGCUGCCCCCGCUGGUUCUCCCCCGACCUCGCCCGCCUCCUCGCCCGCCUCCUCGACACCAACCCCGACACCCGCAUCACCGUCCCCCAGAUCCUCGACAACCGCUGGUUCAAGAAGGGCUUCCGCCCCGUCCGCUUCUACAUCGAGGACGACCGCUUCCUCCCCCUCGAAGCCCUCAGCGACGGCGAACCGCCCCCGCCCCCCUCCUCCGCCGACGCCGGCGCCGACGCCGACGACGAAGACGACGCCGACGCCGCCGGNCCGACCGCCCCGCCCCCUUGGGCUAGCCCGGCGGUGGCGGCGGCUCCGCCGCCGGCGCCUCCGACACCGCGAGCGGCCCGUCCCGCCGCCCCGUCCUCCGCUGCCUCCUCAGCCUAAGCAAGGGUCAACGCCUUCGACAUCAUCUCCUUCUCCCGGGGGUUCGACCUCUCGGGGCUCUUCGAGGAGAGAGGGGAGGAGGCGCGGUUCGUCUCCAGGGAGCCCGUCGAGAGCAUCAUAUCGAAAUUGGAGGAGAUCGCCAAGGUCGUGAGCUUCGCCGUGCGGAAGAAGGACUGCCGGGUGAGCCUGGAGGGGACCAGGGAGGGGGAGAAGGGCCCGCUGACGAUCGCGGUGGAGAUAUUCGAGCUCACGCCGUCGCUCGUCGUGGUGGAGGUGAAGAAGAAGGCCGGGGAUGGGGACGAAUACGAGGAGUUCUGCAACAGAGAGCUGAAGCCGGGGCUGAGGAGCCUCAUGUACGAGCCGGCGUCGCCGAUUCUGAACAUUUCUUCUGAUACUGAGUAGAAAAGGUAUGAAAGAAAUUUGCAUGUGUUGUUCUAUUCCACCAAAAAAAAAAAAAAAAAAAAAAAAAAUCUAAUUCGGUUGCUUUAAUUCCUAAAAGAAAGUUUUGUAUGUGAUCUGCUUGCUGUAAUUCCGGUAGUUUCUAGCAUCUAUGUAUAUUGAGAAUUAGGGCAACGUUGUAACUCAUUUAUUAUAAAAUGAUAUUUGGAUUGCAGAGUAAUCACUCCGGAAGUGUAUCUAUUGUUGUUUGUGGAACCGAUUGGAAUGCGUGAUACACUACUCUUCUUGUUAUCGAAUGAUUAUGCAGUUUGUGGAAACAUGUAAUUACAAUGUGUUUUUGAGAACAUAAUAAUUUAAUUCUGUGGAAUGUCUGCAUUGUGUCAAAAAAUGGAGUUCGCUGCGUUAUGCUUGUUUAGGUAAAUCACAGAACACUUUCUGAAGAUGACUUUUGCUUGGACCAUUCAGGAAUCUGGAAACGACAAACGAUAUCAAAAAGAGAUUUAACAUCUCUUUUAUUUUUCCCCCUCAAUUCGGAAAGCUUGAGUUGACAGGAAUAGAGCAGCUAGCUAGUUUAUCAUUCUUACUUGCUGAAACUUUAUUUGUUUGUUAUUCUACUCUAUUAGGUCAUUUCUUGUGUGUCGAAUCUGCAUGUGCUGCAUUUGUCUAAUUGUCCUUUGCAAUGUUAGCAAUAAACAUCUACAUGGCACAUAGACCCACUUCAGAAACUUUAAGAAUCUCAACUUCGCAGUCUGAUUUUAGAGUUAUAUCUCCCUAUAAUCGACCUCCAAAUUGCUUAACUGCAUUUUUUUCCCCUUAUUUCUGUUCCCAUUCCUUUACAGGUAAUCAAGCUCUUUCAGAAUGCCCUGACAAUUGGUGCUGCAGUUGCAUCCAUUUAAAAAGCAAUGAAUUUUCAUGCUUCUCUUCAAAAAAAAAGAAAAAAGAAAAAAAAAGCGCUCAAUGAAGUUUUAGCUGAAAACGUAGAUAUGCACAUAGGAUCACUCAAUCCCUAAUUUGUGUUGAUGCAGUAACCAGUAGAUUGGAAAACUUUCUUGGUAGGAUAUCGAUGUAUAACUAACUUACUUUUUUUAUUUUCUGUCUGAAGGGUUAAAACUUGGUUUUGUUUAAAUUGUAAUGUCGACCUUAUCUUGUCGUAUGUGUGUGAUGAAUAUACAUAUUGAAAAUAAAGUAAUUUCAGAAUAAAGGAAUAUACUCAGUUGAAGGUGUUUAAAGCUUUCCUUUGACAGACGUGGACCAUGUGGUAUAAAAUGAGAAGAUGAUUGGGCAUAAACAUUUCAAAUCAAGAAUAUAGGAACUUUGGCUGUGUUGAAUGGUGAUGUCACAGGUCUCAUAUUGCCUGGAUGGCCCAAAUUAACCCACAUAGGGGCCUCAGUGGAAUGCUUACACCUCUAAGUUGACACCUGGACCUAAACUUUCUUGAAAUUCAGAUAUUUCAAAUUACGUGAUUUUAUUUACUGUACUAUUGAAGGGACUGUUGGGCCCAAUUAUUGCUUCUUUUGUCGAAGUAUUAUUUUAAGUAGAGCUGUUCAGAUAGUUUCAUGAACAUUUUGAAUAGAAAUCCCUGAUAGCUUCCUCUUUAAGCUUAGAAGUUGACACUUAGUUUGGAACUUCUACUUUAGGAAAUCCAAAGAUCUGUUUGCAGCUUUGUAGACAAUUCUGCUUUUCAAAUGAAGUUGUUCCAACUUACAAAAAGGUGCUUUACUUUUAUAGUAAUAUAACUGAGGAAUUUUAGUUACUUGAACAUGUCUUCCAGGAAAUAACAUGGUGUAACUACUUAAAUUAACUGCAGUCAAGAAUCUUUUAUGUGAUAACUAUCUGAAAUAUAUAUUAUAAUAGUGGUGGUUUCUACCUUUUGAAUCAUAUUGUAGCCAAGUUUGUUGUAAUUAUGAUUUUAUAGUUGUAGAUGCCUAGAUGGUAGUGUUGUGGAGCGACCAGACGGGACUGCAUGCUUGCCAGGGGUUUAGGCGGCGUCACAUGACAACAUGUCUCAAAACUGUGGUGAUAUGAUAAAUGAAGAUUAUUGUGGAGGGCAUGACGACAAACUACAGAAAAGCCAACUAUGCUUAUGAAGAAUCUGAUUGAUCAUUGGAGAUUAAAUACACCGAGGUUUACAAGCAUUAUAAAAAUAAUUGUUCUGAUGCAUUUUCAGUAGUUCUGCGGGCCUUUUAAAAAGUCAUGAUCAAAUUUUCCUAUGAUGAUUACUUUAACAAACAGGACAUAUUUAUAUAAUGAAGGACAUUCUUUGAAAUCAACUAUUAGAUGAAGGACAUUCUUUGAAAUCAACUAUUAGAUGGUUAGUGCUUUGACUUAAAGAAUCCUAAAUAGCUUAUCCCUUUAGCAUAUAUGUUAAGAUGAAUACACUUGAUUGAGAAUUGAGUGCAAACUUCGGAAAUCAGGCCAUUUAUGUAGAAUUUCUGGGGCUUCUUUUUGUACUUUUAAUAUAGCUUGUGACCUAGAGUGAGGUUCUUAGUUUCUAUCCUUGGCAGUGAGGGUUCAGACACAGCUUCUCAUUCAUAGAUUCCUCCGUGUCAUUUAGUAAAACUCUAUCGGUGUACUAUAGAAGGCCAAAUUCAGCAAAUGUGCGGUGAUGCUAACAUUGUCAUUGCAGAUGAUUGAGAUUUGAGAUGAUGCAUUUAAGCCCGGCUUUUUGUUUAGGAACAUUGUGGGUCAGGUUAGUGGGUAUUGACUCGAAGCAUGUGAAGAAGCAGCUUUGUUGAACAGAGGCAUAUAUUUUGCUUUGUGAUGUACAUGGCUAGUAACGAUAACCUUUUCUAUUGAAUUGUCUUGCUAUUCAUGAGCAUCAGAUUAUGCUUAUCUAACUGUCACACGAAAGAGUUUUGGAAUAAAAUUGCAUGCACCAUCUUGGAUCUUUAAAUGUUGAAAAUCUGUAGGUUUGAAGGGGUUAAAAAGAUGUGAAAUUCUGUUUUCUUCAAUUAGCUGAAUAUGACUAACAAUAAAUAGCUUUAUUUCUAUUUCUUUCUUAUGGUGUUUCAACAUUCAAACUCGGCGAUUUUGAUUCUUACAUUAGGUCCUUUAUAUAAUGAACUGUUAAACUCUUUUGUUUAGAACAACAUCUAAAUUCUACACAUUUAGAUCUUGAAGAUAAGUUGUAAGAUGCAUGGCCUUAAGCCUCAAAGUUGGGAUUGAUAUACAAGGAUUAAUGUGGAGCUUGGUAGGAUGUACUUCCAAAGAAGCAUCCUACGACAUUUAGCUGUCAUUUCUGUUUAUAAUAGUGCCAUAAUGAUGCUUAGGAAAAUAUUAAGGAGCAUUAGCUAGAAGGUCAGAUUUUUAUGCAGUAGUGCAUCAUUGAUUCAUAGCUGUAGAGAUUAUUUGCUUUAUAGUUUUCUUUCUGAAGUUAAUGAUUAUGAGGAACAUCAGAUGUGAGCUGAGAAACAUUCUUGAUUGUCUCAUCAAGACGGAGCUAUCUGUCUUUAAUGUUCUGAAGCUUGUUAGAAAGAAGGAUGUGGAUUAGAAAUGUGCUGUGCUGUGUUUAUUUGAAGUAAUUUAGUUCCUAAAAGCAUACUAGGUUGCGAAUUUCGUGAGAAGCAUUAGAAGGCAAAUUUACAAAAGUGGAUAUUUAUACAGUGAUAGGAGGAAACUCCAGCGUACUAGCAACUAGCAACUAUCUUGCUUUAGAGAACUGGCUCAAGAAUGUCGUCGACAAGCAUUAGAACAUAAAUGUUAGAACUCAUACCCCUUAACUGCUAUCAGGAAAAUUUGACUUCCUGUGCAAUUUAAAUAGGCAUCGCGGCCUAUUAUAAUCAUGAUCUUUGAGAAGAUGAGUUUAAAUUUGAAGCUUAAAGCAGACUAUUAGAAGUUUAAAGCAAAACAUAAGUUGGGUAUGGAUAAUUACAAAACUGUGGUAGUUUGAUUUCUAAGCUGAGGAGUAUGAGCUUGUUAUAUGUAAGCCAAUUGAGUGCACCAAGCUGGUAAGUUUCUGAAACUCAUUCUUCUCUUUAUCCUCAUUAAUGAUCUAGAGGUCAGCAUGCCUUUUCAUUGAACACUUGAGAAUGAUUUUUCAUAUCUGAUGCUUGAUUGAGUUGCACACAUCAUCUGAACAUGAACUCGACUUGGUUUCAUUUAGCUUGUGAAGUGUUUCUUGAAUCGUUGAUACAACUAAAACUUGGAGAAAUGUAAGAGAUGUCAUAUUAUUAUCAUCAUUAAUUCAGUAGUAAUUUUCUAUUUGUUGUUUGCUUUAUAUAGAAAUAGUAGUAAUAAAUGCUAUGUGAAGUAUCCUCUUAGGUGUUCUACGUGCCCAACAUUUAUAAUGCUUUGAAUUUGGUCCUUGUGUGCCAGCUAAUAUAAAUUGUAUGAAAUAUCUUUCCUGAGUGCUAUAAUCAUCCGUUUUUGUUAGGUACAUUGCGCAUUGCUUGAUUUAUUUUGAGUUGAAAUGGGUGGACCUUUCCUGAGCUAUGUUGCUUUUUGAAACAUGUUUCUAAACUUGAAUACUUUGGAUCUCCGUGCCUAAUCUUAUAAUAUGCUUGACUUAGUACGUCUCGAUCACAAUUUGAUAAGUGUUUCCACUUCGUUAAACGAUUAUUUCUAUAAUCUGUUAGAUUAUUUCUCUAUUUGAUGUAAUACUUUCUGCAGUUUUUGAUGAGAACUGUUAAAUUCUGCCAGAAUUUGAUGAAAUAUUUUCAGAAUUUUUCAAUAUGUAUGAUUAGAUGGUAAGUUAAAGAUUUCAGAGUUCAGGUCAACACUGUUCAGGUUGGUAUGCAUUUGUUUUGUCCUACUCACUUAUACUGGUUGAAGAUGCAUGCCAAAUUUAGCAGUCAAUAGAUCUCUCAUUUUUAUGGCUUUGUAUAACAUCUACAUUCUCCUAAUUUGAUUGAUUUUUCGAUCCUUUUUACUGAUUUCUCAGUGGUGUUGCUGCAAUUAAGUUGUAAAAUAGUUUAAUUAGACAAUUUUGAAGUGAAAGCUCUACUUUUUCUUGUACCUCUUUUGCUCUAAAAAUUUGUAAAUGCUUGUUAGAUAUUGCCGGUUGGGUCUUUCGGUAUUCGAAUCUCAGAUGUGUCCAUAUCAAUGGAAGGGGUGACUCAUUAUUUCUAUGAAUCAUUUCUUCGGACAGAAGAAGAUUCUGUAAACACUUACUCGAAAUCUCACUUAUCAGAGUCUGUUGUGGAAGAAUUUUCUGAGGAAUUAGUCAUGAUAUAUCUGAUCCAUGCAUAAUAUCAUGAAAAAUAGAUACAAAUUUUUGACAAGUGGAUAAUCCAACCAAUCUUGCUUGUACAAUGGAAAGAGCCAGCGACUUAUCUCUCCAUCGAAUCAAUUGCUUUUGAACCUUGGAAUCUCUUUUUACAAUUCCCAUUAUGGUGAAAGUACCAGACCUUUUUGUUUACCGAAUGUUUCACUGAAGAUGACUGUUGUUAAAAGUAGAAGCAAAAGUGGGUUUCACAAUAGAAAGGCCAAUUGUGUGUCACAGGAGUUCGGUGUUGCCUCGUAUGUAGGAACAUGUAAGGAUAAGAUAGAUCGAUCAUGUUCGGGAUGAGAGUUUAUGCUUUUGAACCUUGGAAUCUCAUUUUACAAUUCCCAUUGUGGUGCAAGUAACAAACCUUUUUGUUUACGGAAUGUUUCACCGGAGAUCAUUGUUGCUAAAAGUAGAAACAAAAACAGACUAUUUUCACAAUAGAAAAGCCAAUUAUGUCACGGGAGUUCAGUAUUGCCUCCUAUGUAGGAACAUGUUAUGUGGGCAUGAUCAGAACUUUUGGUCAAACGAGUCUGAAGUUAUCUUUCAUCGAAAGGUUCGCUGAUUGAUCUUCUCAAGAUCGUCGUGAUCGACAAUGCAACUGAUACAUUUUUACUCUCGCAAAACUUGGCUUAAGAGCCAAGAAUAAUUGUGACCAACACAAACAUUCCUUCAUGUUGUUUGUUGAUUUGUGGGUGAAUCUUUACAUGAAGAUUCAUUUACAUCCUAAAAUGUCUUGGUAAAAUUAAACUGCAUCCAAUGGCAUAGAACUUGAAUAGCUCGGUUGUAUCAAAUAUGUCCAAAAAUUUAAAAUAAACAAUUGAAUUAUUAUACAAAAACUUACGCAGGAACUGGUUGGUGUAGCAUUUAGACUCGAAUUGAACUUACUACUAAGUUUCAAUUUAAGAACUAGAGCUAAAACUAAACAAGCCAUAUCUAUCUCUUUUUAGCUAGUGAUACUAAUGUUACAAUUAUUUGGACAACUUAUUUAUGUUAUGUGAUUUUAUUUACUAAAUACGACCAACAUCAUCCAUUAUCUUAUUUUCUUUAAAUUUUGCAUCCAAUUUUGUAAUCAUUUUAAAAGUUUGAACUUAUUUGAGACAUAGUGAAAUGUAGGUUUAAUAUUGAUGCAAUUAUUUUAGGAUAAACUUUAAUUUGUCCUCCUGUGGAUUAGUGCAUUUUCACUUUGUUACAUUGUGGUUCAAAAAGAUGUAUUUAACUAUUUCUUUGCUUUAUUUUGUUUCACCAUAAAAUACUACAUUUAUAUAAGAUACUAAAGUGCUAUUUAUUCAAUAAUCGCAGGAUAAUAAACUAUAACAUAUUUAUCGUUCUAUAAUCUUUAUUUUACCAUUAUAUGAUUUGGCAAAAAAUAUCGCUUCACCAUUUGUUUAACAGUUGAUCUUAUCUUGAAAUAAAAAUAAAAUAAUACAGCAGUUAGUUGCAGUUCUCUGAACUACGGAAUGAUUAAAUAAAAACGAGGUAAAUCGCACAGCAUUAGAUUGAAAUUUACCUAUUAUUUUAUGAUGGAGAUGUGCCAAAGUUUUUUUUUUUUAUAAUUUAACAAAAACAAAUGUUUGAACCAAGGAUGUUUUGACUUGGGCAGAUAUUAUAAACAGUGGGUCCAGCAUAAAUAAAGGCUACAAGUUUUGAAUUGGAGAAAUUUAGAAAUUAGGGGAGGGAAGGUGACAUCACUGAGAUUAAUGUUUGUGGAAAAACUUUAAUUUAUUCACACAUCAUUAAGUGACUUUAGAGACACUACAAAUGUGGAAACUAAGCCAACUAAAAUAUAUAUUAUUUUAGUCUUAUUUAAUUGAAGUAUAUAGGGAGCUCCCUUAUAGGGUUAUAGCACAAUUGUUAAUUACAUUCACUUUUGAAAUGUGAUUUGAAUCCCGCACUAGAUACCGAGGAAAACGAAAUAUUUGUUGUUUAAAAUUUGGGUAAACUUCAUAUACCAUUCCUGUGGUUUCGCACUUUCUCACUUUAGUGCCAUGUGGUUUAAAGUGUAUCAAGUUAGUGCCCUGUAAUUUCAAUUUUAUCUUUUCGUUAGCUUUUUCUUUAAUAUUUUGUUAAAUUAUAUUAAAAAAAACUUCAGAUACUCCACCUAGGUUUAUCGAGUAUUCACUUUAGUAUCCGUUAGUUUUAAUUUUUCCUCAAGGAUAAUGCAUGGAAAAAACAGCAUGCCGUAAUAAAAUCAAUUUCUUAUUUUAUUAAUUUAUUAUUUUAUUUAAUUUUGAUUUUAUUAAUUUAUUUAAUUUGAAAUGAAAGUCAAAGUUAAAGUAGAACUUUGAGUUUAUCCUUACCGGAUCGUUACAAUUCCAAAAGAUUGUUUUGAUUUUAGGAAGGGGACAAAUAUAGGGAUGCAAACGGGGCGGAUCCGGGGGCAGGAGAGUUCCCCCACCUCCCGUUCCAUUUCUUAUCUGGGCGGGGCGGAUUCGGGGCGGGUUACUUUUCAUUUUAUUUUUGGCUCCCACUUACCGUUCCAUUCGGGGCGGAUCGGGGCGGGAGCGGAUUUUUAACGGAUCGGGGUAGAUUGAAGGAAGAAAAGAGUCUCCCGCCUCCCGCUCCAUUUACUUGGCGGAUCGGGGCGGAUUCGGGGCGGAUUAUACUUUUCUAUAUUUUUUGUUCCCACUUACCACCCCAUUCGGGACGGAUCGGGGCGGAGCUCCACCAACCCGGAUCCAUUUGCAUCCCUAGACAAAUACUUGGGUCUAGUGAAUAAAUGGAUAGAGCUCUAUGGCUCCAAUUCUGGUUACAAUUCCAAAAGUCGCAUCUUAACCAACUGUAUGGGAUUUGUAUAAUAUGUUGUUAUUUACAAAACCAAAGAUAAUAUCUUUUUAUUGCAAUUUUACACUAUAUAUAAUGCAUCUUGUGUGCUAUGUGCUAUUAGAAAUGAAGCCUUAUAAUAAAAAUGAAAAAAAAUGUUGGAGUAAGUAGUCAAGAGAAUGAAGCAAAAUUUUCUUAUUUAUAUACUUAAUUUGGGUGGUGAAGUGAAACAAACACUUCACCAAGUUGAAAGAAUAAGAAUGAUCAUAAUAAUAAUAAUAACAUAAUAACAUUGGAUUUCAUCAAAGUUACAUUAAUAAGUAUUACUACACCCAUCCUUAUAUUUAUUUUAGCAAGAAAACUGCAAGUAGUAGAAUGGUUUAAUCAGAUUAGCUGACAUCUCAUUUUUCUUGGAUUGGUUGGUCUGACCUGCUGGACCAGAUCUUCCCCACUAAUUUCACGCGUUUUCCUUUUUUUUUUCUUUUUUUUUUUUCCUAUUUUAAAGAAAUAAUUGUAUAUAUAUAUAGAGAGAGAGCAGCACUGUUGUGCUCUCAGGAGCACGGAAGCCUUCGUGCUCCUGAGCCGUUUUCAAUGAUGAAAUUUUCGAAUCGACGAUCGGCUUCGUUAGACUUGAUCUAGCGUAUUUGAAGUUUCUAGAAAAUAAUUUUUGCGAUUUUUUGAUAUCAUUUACCUAGUGAUCGAAAGUGUUCAAAAUCAAUAAUUUUUAAUGGUUGAUAUCUGUCGUUUUCAAGUUUAACGGUGUAGAAAUAUUCAAAUCAGAUAAAAUUUUGAUACAAAAUUCUUUAUACUAUUUAUAACAAUAUCAAUAUUUCUGAUAGAAAAUUUUAGUGCUAUAUUACCACUUUUAUAGGAUUUUUAUUUUCAGCCGUUAAAAAUUAUUGAUUUUGAAUCCCUUUGAUUGCUAGGUAAAUGAUAUCAAAAAAUCGCAAAAAUUAUUUUCUAGAAACUUCAAAUACGCUAGAUCAAGUCUAACGGAGCCGAUCGUCGAUUCGAAAAUUUCAUUAUCGAAAACGGCUCAGGAGCACGGAGGCCUCCGUGCUCCUGAGAGCACAGCAGUCUCUCUCUCUCUCUCUCUCUCUCUCUCUCUCUCUAUAUAUAUAUGAUAUAUAUAUAUAUAUAUAAAAACAUACUAUUACGUGGAGCAGGGCUCUGUGCUCUUAGGAGCACGGAGCCCUCCAGUGCUCCUGAGCUGUUUUCGAUGAUGGCGACUCUCAAAUCGACGAUCUGAUUCCGUUAGCACUUGAUUAGCGUAUUGAAGUUUCAAAACUAAUUUCUUGCAAUUAUUCGAUAUCAUUUACCUACAAUCGAAAGAUUCAAAAUCAAUAAUUUUUAACGCUUGAAAUAAAAAUCCUAUAAAAUGUGAUCAUAAUACUAAAAUUUUCGAUCAUAAAAUUGAUCUUGUUGUAGACAGAUAAAGAAUUUGCAUUCAAAAAUUUAUCAUAAUUUGAAUACUUCUAUCCACCGUUAAAUCUUGAAAGCAUGAACGUAAUAACAAAACACGAUUAGAAAAUACCAUCUAUAAAAAACGGAUAUUCACCCAUUAAAAAUUAUGAUUGAAUCCUUUUCGAUCACUAGAAAAUGAAUUGAAAAAUUGCCAUAAAUUAUUUUCUAGCAGACUUCAAAAUUACCCUAGAUCAUGUCUAACGAGCCGAAUCGCCGAAUUUGGAUGUCCAUCAUCGAAAACCGCUCAGGACACGAAGGGCCCGUGCUCUCUGAGAGGCACAGCAGCCCUACUCUAUAUUAAGUGAGCUACUCUGCUCUGAAGCACGAAUACUUCCAUACUUCAGGCUCGUUUUCGAUGUUGUGAUUUUCGAAUCGACGAUCGUUCCGUUAAACCUGAUCUAAAGUAUUUGAAUACCUAGAAAUAAUAUUUGCGAAUUUUUCGAUAAUUAUUUGCCUAGGAACGAAGGGGCUCAAAAUCAACCGCUGAAAAUAAAAAUCUUACAAAAGUGAUAAGAUACAUUAAAAUUUUAGAUCAAGGUAUUGAAUAUUUGUUUUAUAAGAAUAAAAAAUUUUUGUACUUCAAAUUCAAUGUGAUUUGGAUAUUUCUACACGCGUUAAACUGCAAACGCUCACCACGGCCAUUAAAAUUAUUGAUUUUGGGAGCCAUAGCUUCGUCACUAAGCCAAGAUGUAAUCGAAAAAUUAUAAAAUUUAUUUUCUAGGUACUUCAAAUACUUCUAAGAUCAAUGCUUAACGGAGGCCGGAUCGGAUGCAUUGAAGCACAACAUAGACAACGACCUAAUUUCAGAAGCUCAGUAGCUCCGUAACUUUCAGAAGCAUAUCCACCCUCCACUCUAUAUAUAUAUAUAUAUAUUAUAUAUAUAUAGAAUAGAGAGAAGAGAGAGAGAGAGAGAGAGGCUGGUAACUAUCGGUAAACGGAGGCCCCGUGCUACAAUUGUUUUUUAAAAUGAUCGCGGCUUCCAAAUCGACGAUCGGCUCAUUAAAACUUGAUGUCUACACAUAUUAAAAGUAUUGAAACUAAGUUUCAUAAAUUUUUGCGGCACCUCAUUUACCUAUCAAACGAGUAUCUAAAAUAACGGCGUGAAAAUAAAAAUCUCGAUAAAAAUCGAUAUAAAAGACCUUGAAAUUUAAGAUCAUGAGGUACUGAUCUACUCAUAAAUAGUGAAAUAUGAAUUUCUUCUAAAAGAUUUUAUAGAUUUUGGAUGUUUUUACAUCGUUAAAUUCACAAUGGCAUCCAUCCACAUCUACCAUUGAUGAGAGGUACUCAAUUUUGAGAACGAGCUGAAAAGUAAAAAUCUCAUAUAAAAAUGAUGGAUAAAAAAUUGAAUUUAAUAUCAGACGGUACUGAUCUUAAACUCUAAAUAGUGAAAAGAAUUUCCCGCUAAAAAUUAUAAUUUGGAUUCGUUUACAUGUUAAUCAGCAAAUGCAUCAUCAUCAUCUAACCAUUCAAAUUAUCAAUUUGAGACUCUUUUUAUCACUAGGGCCAAUGAUGUCGAAAAUUAUUAAAUUAGUUUCCAAGAUACUUUUCAUAGUUGUAGAUCAAGUCUAAAACGGAGCCGGACGCCGAUUUGAAAAGUCAGCAUCAUUGAAACAACUUGUAGCACGGUAGCCUCCGUGCUAACCGAUAGUAUACCAGCCUAGCUCACUAUAUAUAUAUAUAUACUAGUUAUUUUAUAAUGAUAUAUAUAAUAUAAUAUAUAUAUAAGAGUUGAGCUAAGAAUACUCUCGAUAGUAAAACGGGCUAUUUUACUACGAGUUGUUUUCAAUAGAUAGAGCUUCCAAAUUGAGAUCAGCUCCGUUGAACAAUGAAUCUAAUAACCAGUUAAAGUGUUUAGAAAUCAUUUCAAAUCUUUUCGAGCAUCAUUUGCCUAAUGAUCAAAGGGUUCAAAAUUUAUAAUUUUAAUGUGGAAGAAGAAUACGUAUUCUCGUUUAAACGGUGUAAAAAAUAUCCCAAAUCAAUUGAAUUUUUUUAGAAAAUAUUUAAACUAUUUAAACAAAGAUUCUAUACUCUUGAUCUUGUUACAAACUCCUAUCAAUCAUUUUUUAAACUAAUAUUCAUUUCCACCAUUCAUUUCUGUUCACUACCAUGGAUAAAAAAACACAUCGAAAAGUGCGUGAAAUUUGAUUUCUAGUACUUUAAAUGUAUUAAGAUCUCGAUAUUUAACGGAGCCAUCAUCAAUUGAAGCUCUAUCAUCCGAAACAACUUCGAUAGUGACAAAAAUUGCUCCCAUUUACUAUCGAGAGUAUUCUAGCUCAACUAUAUAUAUAUAGUAUAUAUGAUAAUAUAUAUAUCUAUAUAUACUUAAAGAGUCCGGCUACUAUACCUUUUAUGAGUAUGAGAACCUAUUGUACCUAAUAAGUUUUGGCCGUUAGAUCUGCCCGCCCUUCNNNNNNNNNNNNNNNNNNNNNNNNNNNNNNNNNNNNNNNNNNNNNNNNNNNNNNNNNNNNNNNNNNNNNNNNNNNNNNNNNNNNNNNNNNNNNNNNNNNNNNNNNNNNNNNNNNNNNNNNNNNNNNNNNNNNNNNNNNNNNNNNNNNNNNNNNNNNNNNNNNNNNNNNNNNNNNNNNNNNNNNNNNNNNNNNNNNNNNNNNNNNNNNNNNNNNNNNNNNNNNNNNNNNNNNNNNNNNNNNNNNNNNNNNNNNNNNNNNNNNNNNNNNNNNNNNNNNNNNNNNNNNNNNNNNNNNNNNNNNNNNNNNNNNNNNNNNNNNNNNNNNNNNNNNNNNNNNNNNNNNNNNNNNNNNNNNNNNNNNNNNNNNNNNNNNNNNNNNNNNNNNNNNNNNNNNNNNNNNNNNNNNNNNNNNNNNNNNNNNNNNNNNNNNNNNNNNNNNNNNNNNNNNNNNNNNNNNNNNNNNNNNNNNNNNNNNNNNNNNNNNNNNNNNNNNNNNNNNNNNNNNNNNNNNNNNNNNNNNNNNNNNNNNNNNNNNNNNNNNNNNNNNNNNNNNNNNNNNNNNNNNNNNNNNNNNNNNNNNNNNNNNNNNNNNNNNNNNNNNNNNNNNNNNNNNNNNNNNNNNNNNNNNNNNNNNNNNNNNNNNNNNNNNNNNNNNNNNNNNNNNNNNNNNNNNNNNNNNNNNNNNNNNNNNNNNNNNNNNNNNNNNNNNNNNNNNNNNNNNNNNNNNNNNNNNNNNNNNNNNNNNNNNNNNNNNNNNNNNNNNNNNNNNNNNNNNNNNNNNNNNNNNNNNNNNNNNNNNNNNNNNNNNNNNNNNNNNNNNNNNNNNNNNNNNNNNNNNNNNNNNNNNNNNNNNNNNNNNNNNNNNNNNNNNNNNNNNNNNNNNNNNNNNNNNNNNNNNNNNNNNNNNNNNNNNNNNNNNNNNNNNNNNNNNNNNNNNNNNNNNNNNNNNNNNNNNNNNNNNNNNNNNNNNNNNNNNNNNNNNNNNNNNNNNNNNNNNNNNNNNNNNNNNNNNNNNNNNNNNNNNNNNNNNNNNNNNNNNNNNNNNNNNNNNNNNNNNNNNNNNNNNNNNNNNNNNNNNNNNNNNNNNNNNNNNNNNNNNNNNNNNNNNNNNNNNNNNNNNNNNNNNNNNNNNNNNNNNNNNNNNNNNNNNNNNNNNNNNNNNNNNNNNNNNNNNNNNNNNNNNNNNNNNNNNNNNNNNNNNNNNNNNNNNNNNNNNNNNNNNNNNNNNNNNNNNNNNNNNNNNNNNNNNNNNNNNNNNNNNNNNNNNNNNNNNNNNNNNNNNNNNNNNNNNNNNNNNNNNNNNNNNNNNNNNNNNNNNNNNNNNNNNNNNNNNNNNNNNNNNNNNNNNNNNNNNNNNNNNNNNNNNNNNNNNNNNNNNNNNNNNNNNNNNNNNNNNNNNNNNNNNNNNNNNNNNNNNNNNNNNNNNNNNNNNNNNNNNNNNNNNNNNNNNNNNNNNNNNNNNNNNNNNNNNNNNNNNNNNNNNNNNNNNNNNNNNNNNNNNNNNNNNNNNNNNNNNNNNNNNNNNNNNNNNNNNNNNNNNNNNNNNNNNNNNNNNNNNNNNNNNNNNNNNNNNNNNNNNNNNNNNNNNNNNNNNNNNNNNNNNNNNNNNNNNNNNNNNNNNNNNNNNNNNNNNNNNNNNNNNNNNNNNNNNNNNNNNNNNNNNNNNNNNNNNNNNNNNNNNNNNNNNNNNNNNNNNNNNNNNNNNNNNNNNNNNNNNNNNNNNNNNNNNNNNNNNNNNNNNNNNNNNNNNNNNNNNNNNNNNNNNNNNNNNNNNNNNNNNNNNNNNNNNNNNNNNNNNNNNNNNNNNNNNNNNNNNNNNNNNNNNNNNNNNNNNNNNNNNNNNNNNNNNNNNNNNNNNNNNNNNNNNNNNNNNNNNNNNNNNNNNNNNNNNNNNNNNNNNNNNNNNNNNNNNNNNNNNNNNNNNNNNNNNNNNNNNNNNNNNNNNNNNNNNNNNNNNNNNNNNNNNNNNNNNNNNNNNNNNNNNNNNNNNNNNNNNNNNNNNNNNNNNNNNNNNNNNNNNNNNNNNNNNNNNNNNNNNNNNNNNNNNNNNNNNNNNNNNNNNNNNNNNNNNNNNNNNNNNNNNNNNNNNNNNNNNNNNNNNNNNNNNNNNNNNNNNNNNNNNNNNNNNNNNNNNNNNNNNNNNNNNNNNNNNNNNNNNNNNNNNNNNNNNNNNNNNNNNNNNNNNNNNNNNNNNNNNNNNNNAUAUUUAUUCGGAUUAAAUUUAUUUUUUCAACUUUUUAAUUAUAAUAUGAGUUUAAACUUAGAAAUUAAAUUUUAAAUUUUAAAUUUUAAUUUGAACUUGAAUUAAAAAUUAAAAUUUAAUCAAGUAUUUCGAAUCUAACUUAUGAAUUUAAAUUUAAAUUAAAUUUUAAUUUACAUAAAAUUUUAUUCAAAUUUUAUUUAAAACUUAAAUUAAAUUUAUGAAUUCAAAUUAAAAUUUAAAUUGUAAUUUUAAGUUUGAAUUUGAAUAAAUCGAAAUUUAGUUUUAUAUUUUGAAUUAUCUACUCAACUUCAAAGUUUAAUUUUUUUAAAGAAAUACAUUUAAAAUUUUAAUAUUAUUUCAAAAUUUUGAUGUAAAUUUUUAAUAUUUAAAUUUUAAUUUGAAUUUAAAUUAAUAUAUUAUAAAGAUAAAGUUAGCAUAUUAAUCUGAUUACGUUUUUUAUAUUUACCUGAACCAAACACCAACAAUGGGAAUGAUUUAUUCCGAUUCCGAUUUAGGUGAUGAACCAAACAGAAUUAGAUAAUAAAUCAUUCCGAUUUCGAUUCCAGCUUAUUUUGAUUCCGAUUCGGAUUUCGAUUUCGAUUCCGACUUCGAACCAAACACGCCCUUAGUGGGAAAUGAGCCCAAAAUUAUAUAUUUAACACAACUCAUCAUAUUUUUAUCCUAACUAUUUUGUCUUUAUUGUGAUAGUAGUGGCGCCAAAUAGGAAUGAUAAGGUCAAUAUCUAUUGCUUUUUUUUUUAUGACUGAAUUAAGAUUGUUGGAUCUACUUUGAUUCCUUGGAGAAUAUCUUUAAUUACUAAUUUUAUGAAAAUGAAGAUGCGAAUAAGGAUGAAGUAGCCUUUUUAAAUAAAUAUAAUACAAUAUAUUUAUAAAGUUUAAAAGUUAAUUUGCAGAAACAUAUAUAUAAUAUUUUUGAAAUUUGGAAAAGUAAAUACGCAAUAUUCUAACUUUUAAGGCCCCAUUUGGUUCAAAAUAAAGCGGAGAUAACGGAAGUUAACUUCACAGUUCUGUCAAAUACGACAAUUUUGGCUGAGAUAAAAUAUUCCAGCCAAAUUUAACUAUUGUUAUUCUAAUGUUUAAUUCCAAGAUUUAUUAAGCUUAUAAAUUGAAUUAAGGUAAAUUAUAUAGACAUAAUAUGUAACAUAUUAUAAUAAAUUAAAAGAUUAAAAUACAGAAAAUCAUAUGUAAAUAUCUCUUUUUUUCAUUUUUCCUUCCAAACUUUUAAAAAUUUGUAUUUUGUCAUCUUAAAAUUUUUGAAAUAUUUGCAGGAGGCUACGACUUUAAUGGAGAGAGCAAAAUGACCAAAUUAUCUUUUCUUAUUAUAUAAGAAAAAAUAAUUUUUUAAUAUAUUUUUGUUAUUUUUAAAAAAAUCGGUAUAAAUUAUAAAAAUGAACAGCAUAAUAAUAAAACCUGAUAGAGGAGGGAGCUAAAUACAUCAACUUAAAAUUUUGAGAGAAAAAACUAUAAAUUUUUAAAAAUUAGAAAGAAAAAAUUUAAAAAAUAUAUAUUUAUAAAAUUUUUUUUUAUAGAUUUUAGCCUAAAGAAAAAAAGAUGAAACAUCUGAAAACUCAGCAGACAGAGANUCUUUAUACUCAUAAAUUUUUAUCCGUUGGAUCUACUCUUUUGACCAUUUGCAUCCGUUAGAACAUAAUAUUCACCCAACCAUUCACUCAACCUUAGGGAAUCAUUAUUAUUCUAACCAGAAACCACCAUCAACCUAACCAUACAUCCUUUCAUUCAACGAUAAAAAACUUAUGAGUACAAAGGGGCCUAUAUUCAUAAAAAUAUAGUAGCCUUAGCCCUCACGAGUCCGGCUACUAUACUCUUGAUAUUGUAAAUUUUUUUCUCUAAAAUUACUUACAUGUUCGUAAAGACUCAAAAUUUACAAAAUUAUUUCUCAAUGAGUUCGAACUUACUGUCCAAAAAAUCAAUCUAAUAGAAAAAUGACCUAGAAAUAUAUAUUAACACCUAAUGAUAAAUAUAAAAGACACACGAAAUUGAUAGAUGAGAUAGAAGAUGAGGAUUUAAUCCAUUAUAUAAUUAGUAGGAAACGGGGCUUAAAAAUAUAUAUUAACAUCUCAACUCACGCAGGUGAUGAAUAUGAAAAGCAAGUGGAAUUGAUAGAUGACAUAGAAGAUGAAAAUUUAACUCAUUAUACAAUUAUGAAAAUUUGAACGUCAAAUGUGAGAAUUGAACCCAUAAUCUUACAAAAGUGAAAAAGUUUAGAAUUAGCUCUGAUACCAUAUUUUGAACUUACAAUCUCACAGAAUGAAGGAGUUUAGAAUUGCCUUUGAUAUCAUAUUAUGAACCGACGAUCUUACGGAAUAAAGAAGUUUAGAUUUGGCUCUGAUACCAUGUUAUCCAGAAGAUUAAUUUAGGGCGUGUUUGGUUCGCUUCUUUUUCAUCCUGGAAUCGGAAUCGGAAUAGGCGAAUCCGUUUGUGGGUGUUUGGUACGUGGGAGUCUUAUUCCGAUUCCAAUUCCCGAGUGGAAUGGGAAUCACCCAAUCACCUCUUUUUUCAAUCCGGCCUAAGUGGCCGGAUUGAAAGUUGAAUCCGGACGAAAUGAAUAUUUAUUCGGAUUAAAUUUAUUUUUUCAACUUUUUAAUUAUAAUAUGAGUUUAAACUUAGAAAUUAAAUUUUAAAUUUUAAAUUUUAAUUUGAACUUGAAUUAAAAAUUAAAAUUUAAUCAAGUAUUUCGAAUCUAACUUAUGAAUUUAAAUUUAAAUAAAUUAUUAAUAAAAUUUUAAAUCAAAUUUAUUAAAACUUAAAUUAAAUUUUGAAUUCAAAUUAAAUUUAAUCUUAUUUUAAGUUUGAUUUGAAUAAAUCGAAAUUAGUUUUAUAUUUUUGAAAUUAUCUACAACUCAAAGUUUUUAAUUUUAAGAAAUACCCCAUUAAAUUUUAAUAAUUUCAAAAUUUUGAUUGUAAAUUUUUAAUAUGUUAAAUUUUAAUUGAUUUUAAAUAAUAUAUAUUAAAUGAAAAGUAGUCGAUAUUAUAUUGAAUUACGUUUUUUAUAUUUACCUGAACAAACACGACAAUCAAUGGGUAAUGAUUAAUUCGAUUCCGAUUUAGGUGAUGAACCAAACGAAUUAAUAAUAAAUUCGAUUCGAUUCCAGCUUAUUUGAUCCGAUUCGAUUUAGAUUAUGAUUCGAUCCUUCGAACCCAAACACCCCUUAUGGAAAUGACCUCAAAUAUAUAUUUAACACAACUCAUCAUAUUUUUAUCCUAACUAUUUUGUCUUUAUUGUGAUAGUAGUGGCGCCAAAUAGGAAUGAUAAGGUCAAUAUCUAUUGCUUUUUUUUUUAUGACUGAAUUAAGAUUGUUGGAUCUACUUUGAUUCCUUGGAGAAUAUCUUUAAUUACUAAUUUUAUGAAAAUGAAGAUGCGAAUAAGGAUGAAGUAGACUUUUUAAAUAAAUAUAAUACAAUAUAUUUAUAAAGUUUAAAAGUUAAUUUGCAGAAACAUAUAUAUAAUAUUUUUGAAAUUUGGAAAAGUAAAUACGCAAUAUUCUAACUUUUAAGGCCCCAUUUGGUUCAAAAUAAAGCGGAGAUAACGGAAGUUAACUUCACAGUUCUGUCAAAUACGACAAUUUUGGCUCAGAUAAAAUAUUCCAGCCAAAUUUAACUAUUGUUAUUCUAAUGUUUAAUUCCAAGAUUUAUUAAGCUUAUAAAUUGAAUUAAGGUAAAUUAUAUAGACAUAAUAUGUAACAUAUUAUAAUAAAUUAAAAGAUUAAAAUACAGAAAACCAUAUGUAAAUAUCUCUUUUUUCAUUUUUCCUUCCAGACUUUCAAAAAUUUGUAUUUUGUCAUCUUAAAAUUUUUGAAAUAUUUGCAGGAGGCUACGACUUUAAUGGAGAGAGCAAAAUGACCAAAUUAUCUUUUCUUAUUAUAUAAGAAAAAAUAAUUUUUUAAUAUAUUUUUGUUAUUUUUAAAAAAAUCGGUAUAAAUUAUAAAAAUGAACAGCAUAAUAAUAAAACCUGAUAGAGGAGGGAGCUAAAUACAUCAACUUAAAAUUUUGAGAGAAAAAACUAUAAAUUUUUAAAAAUUAGAAAGAAAAAAUUUAAAAAAUAUAUAUUUAAAAUUUUUUUUUUAUAGAUUUUAGCCUAAAGAAAAAAAGAUGAAACAUCUGAAAACUCAGCAGACAGAGAUGGUAGCUGGGAUAGGAGGGAUGGGGGAAGCCCAGAAAACUUACAUUCCUGUCCCCAUUUGCUUCCCCAAACUACUUUUUUUUUUUUUAUAAAAAAUAUUAACAAAUAAAAAAAUGUACCAUUUCAAUUUAAAUUUGAAAUUGUUUCACCUUUUUUUUUAUUUUUUUAGAUAUUAAUUCAAUAUAAUUUAAUAUAUUGGUGGAGUGACUUUUUCUUAUUGUUAUAACUGAUUAGCUUGCGAUAUAUAUAACUAACUGAGGAAAAAUAUUUAAUUAAAAAUAGAAAUAAAAAGAAGUAUAUUUUAAGAUUUUUUUUGGGUAAACUUCAAAUUGCCCCGUGAUUUAGCUUAUUUUUAUUUUUUUCAUUUUGUGAUUGAAUCUAUUUAACCAAAAAAUGCUAUAUGAAAUAGGACGAAAAAAUAAAAAUUUUAAGCGUGGCAAAAGUAAAAUAUGUGCCGAACCCUAUGAUAGCAAAGUGUACCUUCCUUUUUAAAUCAUAGGGUGAAAAAGUGAAAAUAAGCCGCGGUAAAGUAAAAUUUUUUUAAAAUAACUGGGUGGCACAGAAAAUAUAAGCAAAACUAUGAGGAGGCAUUUGAAGUUUACUUUUUUUCAAAAUUAAUUUCUUCAAAUAUCUCAUAUUUUCUAGGGUUUACUAAUAAGAUUGGAUUCUAAAGUAAUGGAUAUAAAUAAAUAAGCAGAAGUUUUUUUUUUUCAAUUACUAAACAAACACACCUUAUAUAAGCAUUUCAAACGAUCCAUCUAUUUACUUUAACACUCUUUCGUGCAAAACUAUAUUUCAAUCCGUUCUUACAUUAAAAGCAAAAAUUUGAAGCAUAAAAUUGAAUCAAUAACUGAUAAAAAAUAUUUGGUAUGAAUGUACAAAUAUACGGAAUACGGAAAGAAGGUUAUAUUAUACGUAUUUAAGUAAGAUGUCGGUUCAAUAGCAUUCAAUCCAAAUUUCAAAGCACUGCUAGUACCGUACGAUAAUAAAGAAAAGUUGAAUCGCAUGUAUUUAAUGCAAGUCUUUUUUUUUCAUAGGAUGUAGAAAAAAAUUUAUUUAUAAGAGAAAAGAAUUAACGCCUCGUCUGCUAUUAUUAUUAAUUUUUUUUUAAAUAAAUAAAAUGAUAUAAAAAAUGAUGGCGGAUUGGUUGUCAUCCUUGUAUCAAAGAUAUUUUAACAGUUUUAUUUUUUUGCUUUUAAAUUUUUUUAAUAAAUUUUUAUUUAUUUUUUAGUCAGAAUACAUUACAAGCUAACCAAACAAUAGCAGAAAAUCAAUAAAUAAAUAAAAGUGAAUAAGGGCUAAAAUAAAAUACUUCAAAAAAUUGGAGUAAACAUUCAAUUUGCGAGUUCAAGGACCACAGUUACAAAAAUGAAACGGCUUAGGCCCUGUUUGGAUGCAUAGUUAAAAAACUCCAUGGAAUUUUUAUUCUAUGGUUUUGGUCUAAAUAAAAUACGGAAUCCUGUAACUACAAAAAAAUUCCACAGCUUCAUUUUUAAGCUGUUUGGAUACAUAUCAUACAAUUCCGCAGUAUUUAUAACAAUUAAAUUUUUAAAAUUUUAAAAUUCAAAAUUCAAAACUCAAAAUUCAAAAUUCAAAAUUCAAAAUUUAAAAAUAAAAUUUUAAAAAUUAAAAAUAAAAAUUCAAAAUAUAAAAUUAAAAUUUAAAAUUUAAAAUUUAAAAAGUAAAUUAGAUUUUAUGUUUUAAAUUUGAAAUUUGAAAUUUGGAAUUUGAAAUUUCAAAUUUGAAAUUUGAAACUUUAAAAUUUAAAACUUAAAGUAUACCAUUUAAACUUUAAAUUUUGAAAUUUAAAAACAUCUAGUAUAUAAAAUUUUAAAUUUCAAUUUAAUAAUUUAUAAUAUUUACUAUAUAGUAAAUUUAAUUUAAAUUAAGUUUUAAAUGUAAUUUUGAAGGAUUGUAAAUUCAAAUUAAAAAUAAAUUAAAAUUUGAAUGUUGAAAGUAUUGGUGAAAUGUUGAUAAUAUUUGAGUUUUGGAAUUUGAAAUUUGAAAUUUGAACUUUUGAAAUUAAAUUUGAAAUUUUGGAAAGUGAAAUUGAGUUGAAAUUUUGAUAAUUUUAGAAUUUGUGAAAUUGAAGAUUUGAAAUUUGAAUUUUGAAUUUGAAUUUUGAAUAUUGUGAAUUUGAAAUUUGAAGAUUUGAAAUUUGAAGAUUUGAAAUUUCGGUCGAAAUGAAUAUUUAAAGUUGAAGGUGAAGUUUGAAAGGUUGAAGAUUUGAAAUUAAAUGAAAUUGAAUUUGAACUUUUUGAAUUUGAAAUUGAACUUUGAAUUUAAAAUUGAAAUUUGAAAUUUGAAAUUUGAAAUUUGAAGUUUUUGAAAUUUGAAAUUUAAAAUUUAAAAUUUGAAGUUUUUGAAAUUUGAAAUUUGAAAUUUAAAAUUUGAAAUUUAAAAUCAAAAUUAAAUUUGAAUUUUAAAAUUUUAAAAUUUGAAAUCUAAAAUUUUAUGUUGAAAUUUAAAAUUUAAAAAUUGAUACAUCUUUGGGAGCCCAAAAUGGUGGAAUUUUUUUCCUUUGGUUAAAGUGGAUUGUAAGUUUACUCCAUUUUUUGGAGUAUAGUAUAACUAUACUCCAAAAAUUACGUCAUUUUUUUUUCUUCCAAACGCUUCAUAGGAUUAUUUUCCUACCAGCGUAGCAUAGUUUAACUAUGCUACGUUUUUAGAGGUAUCCAAACGGGGCCUUAGGGAGUAAAAUGCAAUUUGCUCAGAACAAGUAAAAUACUAUUUUUAUUUUUGAAAAAGAGAAAUUAAACGAAAGGAAAAACAAGGGAGAGAGAGAGAGAGCGAGCUCCUUCCCACGGAUUUUUAUUAUUAUUAUAUUAUAAGCUUAUUUAGCGUUGGGAAAUGAGUGAGUUAGAAGAGAGAGAGAGAGAGAGAGAGAGAGAGAGAGGAGGGGGGGAUUGCGAGAUCGGGGCGAUGUCCCGUCGCAUGGCGAUCCUCUCGCGGCGGAGCUCGUCGUCGUGGCCCUUCUCCUCCUUCUCCGGCGGCCUCUCCGGCGAGCCCAGGAUCUCUCCGGCGGAGGCGGAGGCGGAGGCGGUGGCGGAGGAGGCGGCGGAGGACGAGGGGCGGUGGUCGCGGAUGAUCCCGGAGCUGUUGGCGGAGAUCGUGAGGAGGGUGGAGGCGGGCGCCGAGCGGUGGCCGGCGCGCAAGGACGUGGUCUCGUGCGCCUGCGUGUGUCGUCGGUGGCGCGAGGUCGCCAAGGGCGUCGUCCGCCCCCCGGCGGAGUGCGGGAAGAUCACUUUCCCUUCCUCUCUCAAGCAGGUGAGAGAUGAAUCUCCCUCUCUCUCUCUCUCUCUCUCUCUCUCUCUCUCUCUCUCAACCAUUUCAGGGUUUUGGGUGUGGAUCUGGUCGAAACGUUGUGGAUAAUCUUGAGUAUUGUUUUUAAGAAGAGGAUAGUUUCGAUGAUGUUGCUGCUCUUCGUAAAUUUAGGUUUUUAGCGAGUCCAUUGGUGAAAAUUAGGGUAAUUUUGAUGGGGGUUUUGAUUCUUGUGAUGUUGAUUGCAUGUGAAUGUUGUUUGUUUGUCGAAACAGCCGGGGCCGAGGGAUUUCCCUAUACAAUGCUUUAUCAAGAGGAACAAGAGGAACUCGACGUUCUAUCUGUAUCUCGGCUUGACGCAGUGUAAGUUUUGAUAAUUGAUAUGUGACCUCCUUGUUAAUUUCUUGCUAGAUUUUUAGUCGUUGUGGCAAAUUAAGCUGCAGAUAAGGUAAUUUCAUUUUGAUCAGUCAAAUUUUCUUAUACGUAUUCAAUUUAGUGGGACAUGAGAAGUAUUCAUGUAGUGUUAAUUUGCAGUGAGCUGUUGUAGGGUUCUUUAUCAUCAGCUACAUUUGCGAUCUGCUUGAUUUAACUUUUUACUUCUGGUCUAGUUGAACAGCAUGUAGACCUGGAAAACUCGUACUCAAGCACAACUUACAUUAAGUUCUUUCACAUAUUUGUACUGUAUUUCGGGAUUGGCAACUUUCCCUACACUCUUUACUAUGAUAUUUCAAGAGGUUUUGCCUCAGCUAUCUUAUCCUAAAAUAGAAAAGUGCAUCACUUUAUUGCAUACAUGUUUCAAGGUUAUUGGAUAAAUGUGGGGAUGACGAGGUGGAAUGUGAUAAGGGGUUUGAUCCAACGUGUGCAACGGAGAUAUCAAAUAUUGUAUCAUGGGAAACGACAGAAAUAUGAAAUUUAUAUGUGGAAGUCCCUGUUCUGUUAAAUGGCUUGGCAAAAGUCGAUCUAUUGAUGUUUUGUCGUUUCCUAACUGGUCUGAGUUGGUCUGACUGCCCAAUCAGCCAUCCAGCUUUCCAGACCACCAUCCACGACAACAAUUGCUAUACUUUCAAUAUCUUCACUUUGGCUGUUCACUUCAUAUUCGCUUUUGCGACUUUUGAGGCGUUUAGGUACUAUAUCCUCUGGUUUCGCACAGCCUGUUUUCAAACAUGCAAAUUGACAAUCCAAUAAUAGGGUAGACCAAUUGUUUCCUUGUCUAAUGAGAAAUGAAGGAUAACACAAGUAGACAAUCUCGAGUGUUCUUUUUUGGGGUUUUGGGUGUAGGACAGCACAAAUAGACAAUCUUGAGUUUUUUUUUUUUUUUUCCUUUUCUGUUGUAAACUUUCAUAUCCUUCCCUUUUUCUUUAGCAGGUUGCUUUGAUUGAUGAUCUCCUUGAUUUUGUUUAUUUACUUUAUUGCACCAGAAACCCUCAUUAUUUUCUUUAUUUGUGCAAAUAGAUUUUAAUUACUAAUAAUUAAACAUCUGCUACUGCCUUUUUUGAUUAAAGAGUUCUUUAUGUCCUUCUGAUGAAACAUAUAUAACAAAGUGAUAUUGUACAUCUAUCAACUUUGCAAAGAGCAUUUAGUAUAGAGAAACUCUCGGAGCGUACAUAGAUUGUAAUAGAAAGGUAGAGCAAAUUCAAUUGGAUUUUUUGAUGGCCAAUCAAAUCUCAGUGUGACUGUGAUACUCCAUACUGAAGUGACUCAAGGUGGGGAUUCAUUUGAUCUGUUGUAUAGAAAGGAGCUUGUCUUCUGUAUGUUUCUUAUCAUUUUUGACACUAGAAAUAUUGAUUUGGAUAUCUGCCUUAAUAGCGGAAUAAAAUAUAAAAAUCUGAAACCUAACUGGCAUUAUCGUAAUUGCGUGCUAAAUUGCUAAUGUAGUUAAGAUGUGUUAAAUAUUGCGCAAAUCCAAGCUUGUGAAUAUUGGUUUGUUCCAUACUUGUGUAUGUUCGCACAUUUAACUGAGGAAAAUAUGAGGCAUCUAUCUAUUGAGUCUGUUAUAUUUCAGAUCCUCUAUUUCGUCUACUCCCUAUUUAGUUUUCAAACAAGGAAACCAACUGAAAGGAUGACUUCAAGCUAUUCAAAAGGCAAUUUGGAGGAUUCUUUUUGCGUUACUAUCAACUUGAAUCAGAGGAUUUCAGCCUGUGCACUCUUUUUGUUUUGAACCUGAGUUAUGAAAUUCUACACAAUUGGCAGCAUUUAAUUCCCUAUGUGAUUCUUGGAAGCUGUAUCUCUCGACAUCAUGUUAUUCGUGAUACUGGAAAGUAUCAAUUAUCAAGUAUUAUUCCUGUUUGAUUUGUUACUGAGUUUUCUCCUGCAGCUCAAAAGUUUAAUUUGUAUGAUACUGUUUUCUUGCAUCUGUUUCUAUCUGACACUUACUCCAGCAAUCUGCCUUCUAUUCAUCAUCCAUUCAUUCCUGGAUUUUCUUCUUUGUCUUGGCUGUGGUGUUCGUCAGCACCUACAGUUGUUUAAUUUGUGUUGCAUUUUUACUUUUGCAGCAUUCAUUGACAAAGGGAAGUUUCUACUGGCAGCUCGAAGGUCUAGACAUGGCGCUCAUACAGAGUAUAUUAUCUCUCUUGAUGCUGAUGACCUGUCCCAAGGAAGCAGUGCAUAUAUGGGAAAACUGAGGUCAGGGGAAGAUAUUCAGUUUUUCCAAUUAGACAUUAUUGUCAUUAAACUCUUCAACAUUUAUAUGUUCUUUUGGAAAUUCCAGUUGUUGGUUUUCUUUUUUCUUUAUAGCUUGCUAAAAUGGAUGUAUAUUGCAAUCUACGUUUUAAUACAUUAAGGCCUAGUUGGCCGUAAGCAGACUGAUGCUAGUUUGAGGAUAGGACAAAUCUGUUUGGUCCAAAUUGAAUUAAGAACCUGGUAUGAUCUGUCACAAUACUCUUUAACUCUUAGAGAGGUAGUAUUGAAACUUGGUGUUGACCAAUAUUAGCAUGACCAGACAGUUUGAUAAGAAGGGUUUAUACUGCACCAUCGUAUUUAAAUCUACUUCUAUAAUUCUAUAUUCCUUUUUUGUAAUCUUCUGUUUCCAUUUUCUCUUGGAAAGAAUUUGGAAAGCAAUAACUUAACUUUUCCAAUUAUUACAUGGUUUUGACAAAUGUUUUAUCGAUUGUUAAGUACUCUCUGUGAAGCGACAUUGAUGCACAUUAUACAAAAUGUACGGAUCUUGUUUUCUAAGUUUAGAGUUUUGUUGCACAAAUUGUUCCACAGCAACAUUAAUUGAAUUUUUUUUGUUUGUAAUUAUUGAUUGCCCAAUGGGGCAAUAAUCUAGUUUCUCAUCAUCGUUUAAGUUACCUAGAUCUCACUGCCCUGAAAAGGUGAUACUACUCUUUAAUUUAUUAUCUUUUAACAUGGUAGGUUAAAAUUCAUAAAAUGCACUAUAUUUAUUAAAACUCAUAAAAUUUUACUGGGAGAUGUAAUUAACUGAUGAUUUUGAGACAUCACCAAAGGUUUCAAUAUUAGUUUUAGAAACAUUUCAGUUUAGUCAGUAGGAUGAUAACUAUAAGCUUGCUAUCUUUAGCAUAAUUUUUCCUUAAGAAUUACUGUACUCUACUGGAAUUUCUCGCAGACUUCCAUUAAUCUCGACAAUGACAUCCCUUGCAGAUCUGAUUUCUUGGGUACAAAGUUCGCAAUAUACGACACUCAGCCCCCCCAUAAUGAUUUUAAGGCAUCAUUAUGCAGCAGCCAAUCCAGCCGCUGGUUUGGGAGCAAGCGGAUCAGUCCCCAGCUCCCUCCUGGCGGCUACUUUGAAGUCGGCCAGGUCUCGUACAAACUCAACCUUCUUAAAUCCCGAGGACCAAGAAGAAUGCAUUGCGCUCUGGAGUGUGCUUCCUCUCAAGAAACCCUAGAAGAAGGAGAAGAAGAAGAUCCUUUCAAAUCGAAGUCGUUAAACUUUGCAGGUCCCACCGUGCUGAGGAACAAGGCGCCUAGGUGGCACGAGCACCUGCAGUGCUGGUGCCUUAACUUCCACGGCCGCGUUACAGUCGCAUCCGUGAAGAAUUUCCAGUUGGUGGCAGCGGUGGGGGAUGAGGAGACGGUGCUGCUGCAGUUUGGGAAGGUCGGGGAUGAUACGUUCACCAUGGAUUACCGGCAUCCGCUCUCGGCCUUUCAAGCAUUCGCGAUCUGCCUCACUAGCUUCGGUACAAAGCUUGCUUGUGAAUAGUAAUUGCUCGCUCAGUCUUUGUUGGGGUUACAGAUAUUAACGGCGCUACUCUUACUAGAGACAGGAGAUACAUAAUAAGAUUCUAGUCAAAUUCCAUCAAUGAAUGGUCAUUAGAAUCGGCGUAUAUCUUUCUGUCGAUAGUAAAGUCUACUUUGUUAAUAUCAACACACUCCCCCUUUUGGAUAUUUAUAUUUCUUUCUGUUGUUGUGGCAUCUUCUUGUGCAAAGGAUUUGUAGGUGAUUCUCAUUUUCCUUUUUUUUUUUCCUUUCUCCCUCCUUUUAACUGAACAAGAUGCAGCUUACUGUAUAAUUAAUGUAGCAAUUUGAUUGUGUAAUCAAAGUUCUUCGCUUCGAAAGCAAUAUUAUAUUCUGCUUUUGUCGUCGGCCUCUAGAAAUUGAAGUAAUUAAAAAGGCGACGUCGAAAAGUUAUGGCUAUUUAAAGAAAAAUCAUAGUAACAUGGGGGCUUUUAGAUCGGAAACCUUGGUUUCAUUGCUUUUACAUUGUAGAUGUUACUAAUCCAAGGAUGUGAAUGAUUAGAUGAUGAUCUUGGGAGAAAAUUGGUGUGGAGUGUUGCAUUUUUUGGGAGUCAAUGCUCUCUUUUGCCGAUUCGGCAAGCCAAAUUGGUUCCUCGCUGAAUCAGCAAGGAGCGCUCGAUCUGGGGGCUCCCUUGAUCGAAGAGUUUUUGCUGAUCUGGCGAAGCAUAAAUUUUUAGUUUUCCUUUUUGAUUAGCCAUUGUCAUUGUGAGAGAAAUGAUUCGAAAGUAGCUAGCUAAGAAGAUGAGAGGUUUAAGGGUCAAAUGAGUGUUGCUUUUGGGGGUAGUUUUACAGGUGAGCUUUAACGAGUUGAGCUGGAAUGCUGUCGGUAGCAAAUGGGCUAUGUUGUCAUUCAUUUAUUUUCGAUGAUGGAACUUUCGAAUCAACGAUUGACACCGUUGAACAUGAUGUAUAUCACUUGAAAUAUUUGAAAACUAAAUUUCAAAUCUUUUCGACAUCACUGAUCUAAUGAUCAAAGGGUUUCAAAAUUUAUAAUUUUAAUGGUAGAUAUGAGGCGUUUUCUCGUUUAACAGUGUAAAAUUAUCCAAAUCAAUUGAAUUUUAGUUAGAAAAUUUUUUAUACUAUUUAGAACAAGAUCUAUACUCUCGAUCUUGGUUACAAAAUUUCUAUCAUCACUUUUUAGAGAAUAUUUAUUUUCAGCCGUUCAUUUUUACGUCCACUCGAUGGACAAGAGAAUAAUAUCGGAAAAGUAUGAAAUUUGAUUUCUAAAUACUUCAAGUGGUAUAGAUUAUGUUUAAUGGUGUCGAUCAUCAAUUUGGAGGUUCCAUCAUCGAAAAUAAAUUAGUGACAACGGAGCUUGUUUACUACUGAUAGUGUUUCAGCUCAACUAGAGCUUUAACAACUGUAGUAAUGAGAAGAAAAAUCAAACGACGAGAGAGUGAGAGUGAGAGAAUGCGAAUAUCUUUUAUUUGAGUAAGCCAUCAGUUCCACCCUAAGAUCCUCCUCGGCUAAUGCCCAAGGCUAAAUCACUUCACAUUUUAAACGCGCAUGCCCGGGAUCCAAAACCCAAACCCAACCUGUUGGAUUCAACGACCUGGGAUACAAAUCAUCUGCUUAAUCAACUACACUAGCAGUGAUGGUGACCGGUGAGAGAGAGACUCCGUGUACUUACGUAGGCCAAGCUAACGCCAAAAAAAACAAAAGAAAAAAGAUGCAUACUACCGUGAGAUGAGGCGCAUUUGACCCUCCCUUAAAGGUGGAUGAAGAAGAUGAGGGCAACUAGAUGAUGGUCCUAGACAAUACGUCACGCCACUCUUUUAUUUUUUAUUAGUUAAAUCGCAACUUCAAAAGGCUAGAAAAAAACAAUGUGAAGCUCAAAACAAUGGCUAGUAUUGCUUGCAGUAUUAUUCGAAGAACCACUAAUAAAUAUAAGUCACAAUUUCCCAAUGUAGAAGAAAGUUAGAAACUUUGAAUUAGAGUUUCUCGUUUUCCAACUUUUUGCCUCAGCAGAAAUGCACGGUGGACAAGAAAAGCCAAAGAAAAGCUCAAAAGAGUAUAGAAAGACAUGCCCGCCUCCUCGAGCAAAUUGUGAUUGUUCUGAAAUUGUUGGAAGAUAAAUGAAGAAACCGGUGACAAGGGGAAAAUAAAAUCAUACAGAUUGCUAAAUCAGAUUGGUGAAAUCAAAGACGAGCAAGAUUAUAAAGUGGAUCACAUCAUUAGAUUAAGCCCAAAGAUUUGUGUUAAGUCAGACACAACUCUUGGAACAAGACUUUCUCACACAUGCAUUAACAUGAACUGCACAAAAACAAACAGAGGUGACGCGGGAUGCGCGAAACUUUCUUAUUCCAGAUUUCAGACGAAGAAAGGGUUCUUGCAAGAGUUCGGUAUCACUUUUUGCCUCGCAGCUUCACGCCGAGAACCCUCUCCAGUUUGGAAAUUAACUGCUGGUUCGGAAUGGCUUUGCCGGAUUCGUACUCCUGAAUGAUUUGUGGCUUCUCAUUGAUCAUCUGUUACACCAAACACGAAAACAAAAAUGCGCCGAAAAAAAAGGGAUAAGAAUGUAAUCUCUCAGGAGAAAACAAGUACACAUUAACUGAAAGAGGUGAUGAUACCUGUGCAAGUUGAGCCUGGGUUAACUUCUUGUCCAGUCGAGCUUGCAUGAUGUUCCUCUUUAGGUCGGUCGACACUCGUUCAUCUAAUACACUCGAAGCAAGACUAGAGUUAAAUGUCAACAAUUAUUGGGUGAAAACAAAAAAAACCUGAUUUGAAGACAUGUCUGCAUCCGAGAACUCCUCAAUAAACGGGAAAAUUAUGAGAAUAAAUUAGAAACUACUGAGACUACAAGAUCAUUCAUUCAGAAAAUUAUAGAGAGUUAGAGACCGAUCAGAUUCACUGAAAUGGCUGCAGGGUAGUUAUUAGGCAUCUAUUUUUUUAACCGUCUUUACUUCGAAAAGGCUACAAUUAAUGCUCAAGGAAAGCAAGAAGUAACAUAGUAUCAGACAGAAGGGUGAAAUAAGCCUAUCACAUACAAAAUAAUAGAGAGGAAAAGGAAAAGUACAAUUUAUUAAAGUUAAUUAAAAGCAGGUAAUUUUCAGCAAAAUGGAAACUCUACAUCAUGGAUAUAUAGACUCACACCAACUGUCUAAUAAUAAUAAUUCUGGAUGAAGACAACGAAAAAAAUAUUGGAGCCCAUUUGUUUAAUUUUGGCUACAUGGCCUUUUCUAAGUUUUGUUUGUGGUUUGGUCCCAAAUAUUUCAAAGGGCAAAACCACCUUUAUCACCUUCUAUUCAAGUCCUUUUAAUCCUGCUUUUCUCAUUCUAUAGUUACAACUCAAAUUACAUUGCUUCCACUAACCAGUACCUUAAUUUCUUUCAGAAAUAUCUAAACCAUGAAAUUUUCUAGAUAGUCGAAAAGUUCUUUGUAUUAGUCCAUGGUUACCUUUUUUCUUACCCAUGUCAAUCCCUGAUUUUCAAUGCUGUGUAAGUGAGCUUACUACACACAGGAAAUAGAGAAAUCUAACUGAAACAUGAAUACAGAUUUUCAAAAUUUUUUGGAAAACAAACACUGCAGCUCUCGGCAGUUCUGGAACCAAUACAAAAAUAGAUAUGCUUCAGUCUUCAGAAGCUUGUUUUAAAUACUAACCAUUACUAACAGUGCAAAAAUGCAGUAAAUCAAAACAAAGUUGGUCAGAAAAUGUAGUUGCAAGUAGUCAAUAUCAGAGUGCCUAAUGGAUCAAAAGGUUCCUUUUCUUAGGGCACGAUGGAACUUCCCUUCCUUCACUUCUCCUUCUUCCCAUCGAGAUAGAAUAGGAGCAAGAUAGUGGCAGGAUGUCGAAGACUGAAUUUCCUUUUUUGCCUCUCGAGUGAUAAUAUUGUUUAGUUCAAAGUUCAAAACUGCAUCUAAGUAAAUAUUAAAUGAACUAGCACUUUGAAAUUCAGAAAUCCUUAGGAUGAAAUAACAUAUAGAUAGUCAAAAACCAUAGCCGACUAUAUUAAAAAGAGCCUAAAAAAUAAUAUCACUCACGAGAAAGAUUCUCUGUUUCCUCAUCAAGCUUCCUUGUGUUUAAAGAUGUGCUGCUAGAAGCAGCUUUGUUUGUACCAGCGUUAGCUGCAAAAACAAAGAAGAAAAGUAAUUUAUAUAUGACUUCAGCAGAUCAAACUUAAUCCCAUAUCAUAUACACAGACAUGACAUGCCAAACAAGAAAGCUCAGCAUAAUCAUUUUAUCCGAAAACAGAGUUGCAGCGAAAAAUAAAAAUAAAAAGCCUGGCACAGUAACAUAUAACAACGCAUUGUACAUCUCACUAAAACAUUAGUUAUAAUACAGGAAAGAAGACUGGCAAACAAUAGGAAUCAACACAAAAAAAUUGCCUUAAAUUUAAUGCACGUAGAACUCAUUGGCUAGAUGUUAUCCCACCAUACCUCAGAAGCAACGAUUCUCCUUCUUGUCUGUUGAACAUUAGUAAUUCAAAAACAUAAAAAACAAACAGAUCCCCAUUCUAUAUUCGCUGUCAUCAAUGUCAUACACUUAGAAUACCUCUCAUAAGCCUAAGUGUAUUACGUCUUUCACUAUUGUCGGUCUCGGUUACUUAGAUUUCGUAACAUUAAAGGUUUUCACAAAUAUCUCUACCCGUAUGUAGAAAAAGAAAACCAAGAAGACCCCAAAGGCAUCCAAUACUAUUUACACACUUCCUAAAUCAACCAAAUAGCAUAAACAGCACUCUUUCCGACAUACCUUACUUAAACCGAGCAUCCAUAUAAAGUAUCUUUCGUAAGCAUGAAUUCAAAAUUACAAGAACAAAUUGAAAACAACCUACAACCUAGUUUAAGUAACAACUCUUGUUCAAGUUAAAGAACCAAGAAUUCAUCUAAGAUUCAGCAAUAAUGAGAAAAUUAGCAUUUACCACAAAACUUUUUUGGCAUUAUAGCACCGACACACUAAUAAAGUCGAUCGGCAUAGCAUGCUAGCCUUAGUAAUUGCCUAUGCUAUUUGAUGUGCAUGGUACCAACUUUGCAAUCUCACGACCUACACAACACCAUCAUUAGUACGUCUUCAAAAAUUAGAGAUCCAAGUUAACUCGGCCGUCAAUGAUUGCGAACUUGCUAUACAUAUAUCAUUUGCAACACCAGCUCUGCAACGUACUCGUUAGACCCUGUUUGGAGGGAUGACUAUCUUGUUUAGUAUAUCCUCUUAAUUUAUUCAAAAAAUUUGUACAUUUGUGCGAUGAGAAGUGUGAUCAAAUGUUUAAAAUAGAAUAGCAUAUUCACCCUUCAAAGUUUCAAGUCAUUUUUUUUUAAAUAAGAUAAAUCAUCUCGUAGGUGAAAUAUAUUAUCCUACCAAAUCAUUAAUAGUAAAACCUUUCAAGAAGUAAAAAUAUCAAAUUUUCUACUUACAAUCAUACUACAAAAUUCUUAUACCUUAUUCAGACAUCCAAACAGGGCCUUAAAAAAUAGCGGUCAUUUCACAUAGUAUCAGAGCAUGAGGUCGUGAGAUCAAAUCUCUCCAAGCUCUCUAGUCUCGUUUAUGCUUCGUUUGGAAGCAGAGAGAAGGAGAGAAAAGAAAAGAAAAUAACAAAAAAUAAGAGAAAAGACAGAACUUUCUCUUCCUUCUCUCCACUUCAGGAGAGAAAACAAACAAGAUGUUAUUGAAGGUCAUUUUCUCUCAGUUUCUCUCAUUUUCGCUCCUCAAGUUUCAAUUUAAACACGAGAGAAAAUAAUUUCACACAACUACGGAUCGUAGCAUCGUAACCAUUAUAGAGAAUAACGAUUAUUUCACACAGCUAACACAAAUUACUCAUACAAAUCUAAAACGAUAUUGCUAAAAAAAAGAUAAUAUAAGAACCCUAUCAUCGAUGCGAUUGCGAUCCUUCCACGAAGGUAGGGUUUGGCCAAAAGUUAGAGAGAGAGAGAGGGAGAAGAGACGAAGGGGUCGUACACUUCUUCAUGGUCUCGAUCUCGGCGCCGCUGCGGCGGGCGGCGUUGACGGCCUUCUCGUCCUUCUUCGCGGCGGCGGUGGGCGCCUUCUUCCGGACCACCACCGGCUCCCAGUCCUGCGUGAAUGGGCCGACUCCCGCCAUGGUAGAGCGAGAGAGAGAGCUUCUCGAGAACGGAGCUAGGGUUAGGGUUAGGGUUUCGAGGGGAGGAAGAGGAGCAAGACACGGAGGAGAGAGAGAGAUAGAGAGAGAGAGAGAGAGAGAAGGGUCGAGCCACCUAAAAUUAAAUGGAUAAGAAAAAAAUCGGGUGCUAUAAUUAAGAGUUAAAUGCAUUCGUGUCCCUAUAAAUAUAAUAAAUAAUAAAUAUAUAUUUUUAUAAAGUUUAAUUUUUGUAUAUUAUUUUUAUAAAAGCUCUAAUAUUUUUAAAUAUAUUUCUCUAAUUUAUUACCGUUGGAGAACUAUUUAUAUUUUUAAUUUUUUCCUCACAAAUACGUCUCUUCAAAAAUUACAACAGUAUAAUAUAUAAAAACUAAACUAAUCAGAAUUUAGUAUUUAACGUAUGAUUAACUACAUUUUUCUAACGAAUUUUAAUAGCAGAACAUGUUUAAAAAUAUUAAAAUUUUUACAAAAACAAUAUAUAAAAAUAAAAUUUUAUAAAAAUAUAUUUAUAAUUCGCUAUGUUUAAAAAGAUCUGAAUGCAAUUAACUUUUUAAUUAAUCAGAAGGAGUGGGCGGAAGAGAAUAUCGGCUCAAAUUUUUCUCCUUCUUCGGCUUCUUGGGAGGCACGCAUACAAAUCUUAUCAAAAGUGAAUGUUGGUUACAUCCUCUUUAUUUUUUUAUUAUUAUUAUUAUUAUUAUUAGUCAAAAUUUUUAAAUUUAUUUGUAAUAUUUAAAAUAUUUUUAAAAAUUCAAUCGUAUUAGUAAACCUAGAAAAAAAAAAUAUUUUUAAAACCAACAAGAAUAUUUUAGAUAUUUUUAAAAUUUUCAGACAUACUUUAGAUAUUAUUUUGAUUUUUUAUUAUAUUAUUUCGAAGGUGAAGAACGAUGGAGUAGUUUUCAACCAUAAUUGUUCAUUUUUGCCGUUUAAUUUUAUCAUAACAUUAUUUUCGAUUGAAAGUCAAAUUCUGCAAAACACCAUAAUUGGCUCCGACCCAUUCCGGACUGAAUUCAAUUACAAAAUAAUAAUAAUAAUAAUAAUAAUAAUAAUAAUAAUAAGUAAAACUAGAUGUACUUCAGUUCUACAACUAUACAACAAAUAGCGAAAAAAAGUAAUAUUUAUCUAAACUUUAGUUCAUUCGAAAGUCUACUUCAACCUGAGUUUCGUUGAACUAGAGUUUACAGAUAAAUUAUUUCUCAUCCACUAUUUAUUUUUAUAAGUGCGGAACUGAAUUUUUUUUCUAAUUUUAUCAUUUGUUAGCAAAAAGUUAAUUGCAUGAAAACUAAUAAAGUUUUGUACUUCAUAUGUUUGUUUUAUUAUAAAAAUUGUUGAAUCCAGCAUGUUAAUAUUGGAGAGGCAAAAACUUGUUCCUUAACGAUAAUUUUUUAUUACAUUUUUUCUCUCUUCUUCUCCGUAAUUGAUAUUGGGAAAAUAGGUGGCUUACGAUAUUUUGAAAAAUUUGAGUUCUGAUCAAAUACAUAUUACGAUAAACCAAGCAACGAUUGUGGGUAUUUUUAGUCAAAAUUUAUUUUAUCUCUCAUCACUUUCAGUAAUACAAACGCAAAUGCUUUGUAGAAUUUAAAAGUAGUGUACAUCUAUAUCGAAUUCAUAUAAUAAUUUAAACAACUAUUUCAAUUUUUUAGUAUUAAAAAAUAAAAAAUGUGAUAAAAAUCUAUACUGACUUUUGAGUUUACAGGUAGCAUUACGUUUUUAAUUUUAGUAUUGAAAGAUAUAAACUUUUUCUAGGAAAAAGAUAUAUAAAGAGCCCUUUUGCUAAUACGCGCCUGAACUUUAAGUAUUAGCAAUUUAAUUUCUUUGUCUCUCUCUUCAAUUAAAAUUAUUAAUUAUACAACUAUUUUGGCUGCGUGUCUUGCAUUUGGUCUUAUAAAACUUCAAAAGAAUAAGAAAAUUAUUUUGCCUAUUUUAACAUAUAAAGAAAGUAACAAAAAAUCGAAUGUUGGUUCACCUAUUUUUCAUUCUUACGCUUGAUUAUCAAAAUUGAAAGAGAAAUUAAGCAUUUUUAUAUUUCAAAGUCUUAUAUGUUUUUAUGCAUGAUAUCGAUAAAAGUUAUUGUCACACCCCAAGAAUCCCACAUCGGAUAAGAAUGGGGAUGUGAUUGAGUAUAUAAGAGAUUUAGACACUAGUAAAAAAAAAUUGGGCUUAAGCAUUUUGGGCUGAUGGUUGGGCCCAACGAGUUAUUGUUACUAGUGUGCUGGGUCCUUACAUUUUGUAUCAGAGGCAAUCACCAGGCAAGAAUGUGUGGCGAGUCUCGACUGAGCCAGAGUCUAAAAGAUAAGAUGAUAGGCUAUGCCAGAAUCUAUAUGACAAGGUGACCGGUUAUGCCAGGGUCUCAAUGACAAGGCUAGCGAGACGAGUCUCACAUCCCUUGGUAAUCUUGGGUUGUGAAGUCUGUCACACCCCAAUAAUCCCAAUAAUCCCACUAGGAUCCCAAGUGCCCGAAUCAAUCAAAAGUUUAAUGGACAUAGGAUCCCAAAAUCAAUCGAAAGUUUAAUGGGAAAGUCCUCUAUCCUAAAAUUAGCAGAAAGACGGAUAUUCCUUGCUCAUUAUCAGACCUAGAAAUGAGACAUUGGAAGAAUCUUUUUGGACUAGAUGAUCCUAUUUGGUCAAAUACCUAGCGACAAACUCCUAUGGAAAUGGGGAUGUGAUUGGGUAUAUAAGAAAUUUAGACACUCUUAAAAAAAAAAAAAAAAAAAAAACUGGACUUAAGUAUUUUGGGAUUUGAGACGGUGGUUGGGCCCAACGAGUUAUUGUUGCUAGUGGGCUGGAUUGUUACAAUUGUUGCAUGCUUAAUAACUUUGAUAGAGAAAAGGGGUCAAUUAAAGCAGUUGAUGAAAUUUAGGGAGCCAAACCAAAUUACCAAAGUUAAUCACUCAUGAUCUGUAGUUAGGCCACAAAAAAUCCUCCUAGAAUUACAUUAAUGGGUUAUUUGAUUACAUACAGAUCUAAAUUCAGUAUUUAAUUUACUGCAUUUGAAUUUAGCUACUGCAAUUGAAACUGUAUGAGUAGGCUCAAUUAUAGCCAGCUAAAACUGUGCCUAAAUUAGCUACAGAUUCAACUACAGUAACUAGAUAGAGUAACUUUAAACAAAGUUGAGCUCAGCUCCCUAACAACCAUCUGAAUAGAACAUAUAUUUAUUUCUGUUUAGAGGAUAAUCUCAACAUCCUAUAUAAAAGUUAUAAAACUCUGUAAAUAUAUUUCUCAACAGAAGAAAAAUAGUUAAAGUAUUUAUUUCAGUAUAGCCUACAGUUGAGGAGGUCUACAUGCAUUUUUUAACAAAAAGAAAAAAAAGAAGAAAAAAAAAGAAAAGACCAAGUACUGUAGUCAAUUAAUCUUGAGUAAAUUAAUUAAGCUCAUAAUUAUGUAUUAGCAGUAGUUUGUCACAUAGUUAAGAAUUUUGCUCACAAAGCCUGUGUGGCGCUCGCUUCCUCAAUGAAGAUGGGUAAGUUUUGCUUUCUGUUUGCUAGUCCAGACCUUCGCAUCCUACGACUAAGUGCAACAAAGAAAAAAAAGCAACAAAAUUUUUGCGAAAAAAACUAAGUACUCUAUUACUUAGAAAAUGUGGAUUACAAGCACGUACAAUUCUCUCUAUCUCUUUGGCCUCAACUAUUCUCCUAUUUAUAGCCCUCCAGGAUAUAGAGAAAACUGCCAACAUUAAUGCAAAGUGAACUUAAUAAGGGUUGCUCAUAACCUUUUGUGUUUCCACUGGACCCAUUUCUUGAGGCAUUAUUAAUAGCUGCAGUUUCAAAAUGCUCCAUCUCCCAUAAGAGCUUUGCUUCCUAAACAAUGCCUCUUCCGUUGCCCACUUAGCGAAAUUGGGCCAGGGACUUGAACUUGGCUGAAACUUUUUCUAAGUCCCUGACAAACUGCUAGCUUUAGUAAUCUCAGCCUCGAGAGCUUCCAUUUGCAGCUCCAACUCCCUCAGCCUCCUGUUCAUGCUCUCGAGUCUCUUCCUUGAAGCCUCAUCUGCAGUGUUUCAUUGCUCUUAGUUUUAGAUUAUCUGUUUAUCAGACUUCAUUAAGAGGUUGUUUGGUUUCUUAGAAAAGCACGAAGAAAAAAAUUUCUGAGAAAAAUGUUUUUCAUGAAAAACUGCUUUUCCAGUUUUUCAUCCGUUUGGUUUCAAGAAAAACUACUUGUUUGGAAAGCUUUUUUUCAAAUUUCAUGGCAAGUUAGUGUUUUCCUUUCCUGAUAUUUUUUUUUAGAAAAAUGAGAAGGAUGAUUUUUCAUUAAAUCUGAAAAAAAACUUUCUAAAAAAAUAGUUUUGUCUUGAAACCAAAUCGGCGAAAAAUUGAAAAAGGGAUUUUCCAUAAAAUAUUUUUUUUCUUGAAUAUUUUUUUUUUCCAUACUGAUUUGAAGAACCAAACAGUCUGUUUGGUGAAAUAAGAUUCUAAAUUCUGAGAACAAAACUUCAGUUUUACAACUUCUAUAUUUGCGAAAGAGAAAAACUAUCAGAAAAAAGAAAACAAGUAAAAUGCAUGAAAGUUACCCCGACAAUAAACCCACUUUGAUCCAACCGCUUAACCUUAAAAAACAUGAUUCCUUUAGUUUGUAUUAUGUCCUUUUAAUGACAAAUUUUGAGUUCACCGCUUGCUCUAAUAAAAAUAUAGCCACAUGAAUUACGUGCGAUACUCUAAUUGACCUGCGAAUAAUGCUAUCUGUACACUCCAUUUGGGGUACACAUAUUACACUUUUCAAAUGCGAGAGUCAAAACUUUUUCUUUUUAGGAAAAAUUUCAAAAACCCCCCUGUGGUUUCGUAGUUUCUCACUUUGCCCCCCCUGUGGUUUAAAAUGUAUCAAUUUGCCUCCCUGUGGUUUCUUUUUUCUCUUUUUCUUAUCAAUUUCAUUAUUUUUUUUCUUAAAUCAGUGAUAAAGUUAAAAUUAAAGGGUACUAAAAUGAAUAUUUAAUAAAUCUAGAUGGGUAUCUGAAGUUUUUUGUAUAUAAUUUAAUGAAAUAUUAACGAAAAAGCUACCGAAAAGAUAAAAACGAAACCACAUGGGGGCAAUUUGAUACAUUUUAAACCACAGGGGGGCAAAGUGAGAAACUACGAAACCACAGGAGGGUUUUUUUGAAGUUUUCCUUUUUAUAAUACUAAAAUCUAAUAGUUCUUAAACAUAAAGUUGGAGGGUAUAAAAUAUACAUUUCUUUUUGGGAUACACACCUGUCAUUUUUCGUAACCUGCUUAAAAUAUAAGUCAUCCAAAAUCUGAAGUAACAAAAUUAUCAAGUGAUCAAAAACUUCUAAAACUUUGACAAUCAGAUCAAAAUAGUCAUAAUUUGAGGUAUCCAUAUAGUGUCUACCAUUUUUUUCUUAGCUCUCUACAAUACUUUUUCCCAUAGAAAUAUAUUGAGUAACACUGCAACUCACAGCAAGGCCAAUAAAGAGAGCAUUUAUAUGUAUAGAUAUGGGACUUUUGCUUUAUAUAUCUCUCACACUACUGAUCAAAAUUUUUAAAUUUAAAUUAAAAUUACUAAAAUACCCUUCUAAAUUUCGAGUCCUAUUAGUAAAUCCUAGAAAUUUGAGAAUAUUUGAAAAAAAAAAAUUUAAAAAAUAAAUAAGGGUACGUUAAUCAACCAAACAUAUUUUAGAUAUUUUUAAAAUUUUUGAAUGGCACAUUAGAUAUUAUUCCAUAUAUAUAUAUAUAUAUAUAUGCACUAGACCAGUGAUGCUACUGGUACACCCCAAUAUAAGAUGUACAUCUUACACCCACUUUAUCCAAUGAUUAUUAAUUAUCUACUUGUGACUUGUCCCCUCAAUUUUUUUUUAAUUUUUAUUAAAAAUUAUUUAGAUUUUUGUGAAUUCUAAAAUGAGAGUGUAAUAACCUAAACCCCCUUUGGGACUAGACAAGAAGAAUUUCUCUUACCAGACUGGGAAAUGAAGUCGGAGAUGGUUUCACUGUAGCCGCCGACUUCUGCAGUUGCAACGGCUCCCUGAUGAGCUGUAUUACUACUGUCUUCUCCAUCACCCUUCCUCAGUACAACUUCUCUCUUUCUCCCCAACAUACCUGCAGCUGCAAGACGACGAUGACGACGACGACGACGACGAUGAUUCUUUUCUUUCUUAAUUCCCUUUCUCCUUCCACUUCUGCAACUUGAGCUACUGUGUAUCUACUUAUGCAAAUUAGUUGUAAUGUUUUGGUUAGUUAUUGUUAUUAUUAUUAUAUGUAUAGGGGUUAUUUUUUUGUGUUGGAGGAGGGGAUAGCAUUUUUAUGAGCAGAAGAGGAGGUAGUGUUCAAAAAGUUUGGGUCGUGGUCAAGUUCAACCUGGCGACUUUGACCGGAUUUAAAAAAAAAAAAAAGAAUAGCCGCCAUGGAAGUAGCAGUAUGAUGAUGAUGACGACGACGACGAAGAAGAAGAAGAAGACGACGACGACGACCAAAUGGGCUCAGAUUCCCUUUUUUAAUUCCGAUGGUUUCAUAUUUUUUUAUUUUAAUAUUCUAUAAUUUAAAAUACAAUAAUUUAGUAUCUGUGGUUUUAUUUUUCUCUUUUUAUUAUCUUUCCCGCUAUUUUUUUUUUGUUAAAUAAGUAACAAAGUUAAAACUAAAAGGUACUAAAGUGAAUAUUCGAGAAAUCUAAGUGAGAUAUUUAAAGUUUUUUUGUAUAUAAUUUAACUAAAUGUUAACGGAGGAGCUGACGAAAAAAAUGAAAUCAUAAAUCACUAAAUUGAUACACUUUAAAUCACAUGGAUAGUAUUUAGAGUUUACCUUCUUUUUUUUUUUUUUGUAUUAAGCUCACUCUCUUGGUGAGAUCACCUGUUGUGGGAUCUCGUUAAUGUUGUUGAGAACAUAAUUUAAGGAAUGAUAUCUAAUAUAAUAUAAUAUACCUUUUAGAAAUUCAAAACUAUCUAAUAUAUUCCUGACUGACCAAAAUGUCAUUAUCGAUUUUCAAAAAUCUCUUCAAAUAUCUCCAAACUUUUUAAGGGUUUACUAAUGGAAUUUAGGGUUGAACUAAAAAUCGAGUAGUAGUGGGGAAUAAAGGAGCUGAAGCCUCUUUUUUUUUUUUUNUUUCUUUUGAGAGAGAAAGGUAGCAUGUUACUCGCUUCGUUUAUUUUUUAAAAAAUAAAUUUAGUUGAAAAUAUGAAGCAACUAGGGCAUCGAAUUUAGAACCUCAAGUAUCAACUAUCAAGUACUUUGCCACUUGUACUAGGGACAGUCGGUUAAAGCCUCUAACAUUAGAGGGGCGUUUCUUUAUAUACCCUUUAUUACUAUUAAAGAUUUUUAAAUUUGCCUUCCAAUACUCAAAAUAUCCUUCUAAAGUUCCAUCUCAUUAGUAAACUCUAAAGAGAAAAAAAAUUAUUUGAGGAAAUUUUUUUAAAUCAACAAGGAUGCUUUACUAGCCCAAGAAUAAAUAAAAUAUUUUAAAAUUUUGAAGAGUAUAUUAGAUAUUAUAUUUAUUUUUAUUUUACUCUUCUCAAUAUCAAAAACGUAUGCACGCCACUUUUUCUAAAAAUAAUAAUAAUAAAUACAAAUCUUUGAAUGGUCGGAGUAAUAAGAAAAAAUCUGAAAUGGGAUACGUCGAUACUGACCCAUCACACUCUGACUUUACACAGAAAAUGUAUGUGUAAUAGUAGUGUAGAGCUAUCCAAAUCGUAGAGAAUUUGAUUUUUUUUUAUUUUUUUGAUAUUUGGAUCAAGAAUUAUACUCCAAGAAUUGAAUAGUAUCCUAGAGUUGAGUGAUCCUCACAGGAUAAUAAUAUUAAUUCAAAGAUUAAAAAUAAUUAAAAAAACUGUUCUAAGAGUCAAAAAGUCAGAAACAUCAGAUUUUCUAUUCUUUCGAUGGUAUAGUAACUCUACUCGUAAUAGUACGUGGAAAAUUGGAAAAUAAGCUACUGUCCAGUAACUGAACAAAAAUGAAAUAAUUCAAUCGAGAAAGACUUAUUAAAAUAUGGGCUUUUUAAUAAGUAUUAAGGCUUUAUUUAGGAUUACAAAAAAAUUACAUUAAAUAUGGUAAAAAAGUACCAUGAUUUUUUUUUUUUAUUUUGGUGUAUAAUAACAAACUGUGCAUAUCAUAAUGAGUCGAUUACGAUAUAUUUUCUAUGGUCUUUUGGAAAAUAGAAAAGUAUAUUUUUAUAUACUUACUCUCAAGCCUUGGAAAAAAAAAAAAAAAAAAAGAAUUAGGACACCGAAGCUCUUGAAAUUUGGCUGGAUUAUACUUGUCCCUCGUGAAGUUGAAAACAUUGGAAAGUUAUACCUACAUAUAUAUAUAUUACAUAGAAGUAAAUAAUAAGUUAUAGGUAUAUAAAUUAAAUAUGAUGUGAUAUUAUAUAUUUUUCACUUUGUCAUUAUCAGCUAUUUGAGCCCAAAUUUUCUCAGUAAUUAGCAUUUUUAUGAGAAAAAUAAAGAACUCGAAUAUAUCUAAAUAUAUACAUCUCCGCAUUCAAAAAAAAGAAACAAGUAAACAUAAGCUUUUAAAUGGCAAGUGACUAAAAAGGCUUUCAGAAUGUGAUUGAUAAUACGACAAUGAACAAAGUGUCGCAUUACUAGCAUGUCAGUAACACAUCAAUACUCAAUCAGUAAAUUUAAUUUCAACAAUCUAAAAAUUUUGGGUCAAAAAAAUAUAUAUAACAAGGCAUACCCGGCUCAUAAUUUGAGGAUCAAAAACAUAAUUUAGUACAUAUAAUAAUUUUAGGCAAUGGUUUCUCAUUCCUGUAACAUGCAUUGCAGGAGGAAAAUAAAAAAAAAAAGGGGUAAAAACUUCAAUAUCCACCCCUCGGUUUCGCAUUUUUUCACUUUAGUACCCUGUAGUUUAAAUGCAUCAAUUUAGUACUCUGUGGUUUCAUUUUUUUCUUUUCGUCGGCUUCUCUGUUAAUAUUUCGUUAAAUUAAAUACAAAAAACUUCAAAUACCCUACAUACGUUUAUCGAAUAUUUACUUUAGUAUCCUUUAGUUUUAGCUUUAUCGCUCAUUUUUUUUUCCUCCAUUAAUAUUUCGUUAAAUUAUAUACAAAAAACUUCAGAUAUCCUACCUAGGUUUAUCGAAUAUUCAUUUUAGUACUCUUUAGUUUUAACUUCGUCACCGAUUUAACGAAAUAAAUUCAUGAAAUGAAUAAUAAAAAGAGAAAAAUGAAACCACAUGGUACUAACUUGAUAUACUUUAAACUACAUGGUACUAAAGUGAGAAAGUGCGAAACCACAUGGGCUAACUUGAUACACUUUAAACCACAUAAUACUAAAGUGAGAAAGUGUGAAACCAUAGGGGGUAUUUGAAGUUUAUCCUAAAAAAAAAAAAAAGCUAGGAUUUAAUAAAGCUUUAAAGCUUAUUAUAGUAAUCACGAAACUAUGAGUGAAAUCAAGAGGAUAAGUACUCAAUUGGAUUUGCCAAAAAACAACAGAGAAAAAUCACGAGAAUACAUAGGGAACCAAUUAAAACGCAGUAGAAACAAUGACAACAAAGUUGAUGGUCACAAGAACUGCACCAUGAUUCAACAAAGCGACCAGUUACCAUUCAAAGGAGGAAAAAAAAAAUGUAUGCCGCAGAGACACUGCCAAAACUUACCAGCAAAAAUAGACUACUACUUGUAGCCAGAGAGAGAGAGAGAGAGUUAAGUGAAUCAAUGGCGUCGACACGCAACUUCAACAUCACGAUGUGGAAGAUAAUCUGAAGAAGACACGUGAGUUUUAUUAUAAAACUAUGAAUUGUACUAUAUUAAUACAUAUUAUUUAUAUUUAGAUAUUUUCUUUUCACCAUUCUUUACCAUUCCAUGAAAUUAACCAAACACAAUUUCAGUUAUUCCUGAGAAUAGCAGCAUUACAAACCAAAUAUAAUUUUACUUCUAUUCCUGAUUAUUUAGAAAUAGUAAGCUAUUCUAAAUAUAAAAAAAUUUAUCCCGCUGUUCGUUAUCCCCUAGCUCCGAAAGCGGGAAUCCUAGAAUGUGAAAAACAUCUUAUACAGCAAUGUCAAAUCUCCCUAUCCUCUAUGUCACUUUUCCUCGGUUAGUCAGUCUGUUUACUCUCCCAUGCAGCAAAACAUCUACUUUACAUUGUUCUAUUUGUCUGUUCUGUACUGUCUGUCACCUAAACUAUUCACUAUAUACUCCUGAGGUAAGGAACUUGGCAGAGUUUUCUAUAAUAGAGAUAUCAAUAAUGUACUAACUGAAUUUCCUGAGAAACAACAAGUAAGAUUGUUUGUGUCUCAAGACCAUCUUGCUUCCAAGCAUGCAGAAUUGAUGGACCUAACCCAGAUGUCACCACAUAUCCAUCAAAUCCCAUUAUGCUAUUACAAUAUGAGUUAUUAUUUUACCACCAUAUCAUUAGGAUUGUCCAGUGGAUGCUGCUGCUUUUUCCUGCGUAUUGGUAGCAUAAAACUUUCAAUAUCCUUUAUCAACUGAGUCUUCCUCGCGUAACCAAAUGUAUUAGACAGAAAUGACUUAUUGUUUUAGAUCGAUGGCUCGGAGAAACCUGCAAACUGGGUGUCUACAUAACUGAGGAAGUAGCAUAGGCUAAUAUGCUAUUAAGCGCCAUCUAUCUAAUUCGGCAUAUUUUUGAAGAAUGUAUCUCUUCUAACAGCUUAUGUUGCCAUCCUCAAACUCUCAAAACAUAGCAUGAUAAUGAUGAGUAAUUUUACCAUAUGAGAAUAUUGUUAGAAUAAGAUGAUAAAGGAUGGAUAAAGAAAGAGUGAAGAGGGAGAGAGGGAGAAAAGGAAGCUAGUUAUUUGGAUCCCACGGUGAUAUAGAAAAAACUAAUUAUGUCCUGCAAUUAGAUAAAAUAGUGAUGACUAAUUACCAGAUGAAGAUAGUGCAUACAAGGUGUUAAAGUACGAUUACGAGGAGAAGGAAAGAUGUAAAGGAUAAGAGAGCGACAACGAUGGAAGAGAGGGAUAACAAUGCAAAAGAUUACGUCCCGUAAAGAUGUAGGACAAACCAGAGAUGUCCAACAAAUUAGAAUUAAGAAAAAUAGAAUAUCUGCAGAACAUACCAUGUAAAUCAGAAAAAAAAAAGAAAUUACAUAAAUAAAAACACCCCAGCCAAUUCAAAAGGUGACUGAAAUCUUUGUCAAGUCAGCUUUGCAAUAGAAGUGGCAAUCUUCAUGCAAGUAAACAUAUGAACAGUAAACCUAAAACAGUCAGCCAACAGCACAGAACUACAAAGAUGUUGGAGGCGUCCAACGUUAUUUACUACGAAUUGUAGCAAGACAUGAAACCACCGAGAAGGACAAAUGUUUCAACAUGGUAUUUUAUUUGCAGUUGCAACUGACUACUCUUUACGAUAAAAACAUCAAAACUGCAUCAUAUAAUUUAAAUACACUAAUAACACAAAUGUGUAGUAUCAGAUUUUAACAAUCAUUGAUAUUUGCAUCAAACUUAUUGUUACUGAAUGACUAUAUUUCGAACAACAUACAGCUUAGAAGGUGUAAUAUCAUUGGCACGAGGAAUUGGCAAUGCCAACAGGAUAUAGACAAUGGUUCCCACCUACCAACUGCAGUCUCGCAAUAAUAGGGGAAACCACAUAAAAGGGACAAUAAGAGGAAACAAAAUUAUCAUUACCUAUACAUUCUUUUUCUUUUUGCUGGGUAUCACAAACUGGAUGAACUAUAAUCUGAUCGCUCACUUGUUAACAUGUCAAAACUCGGAGUUCGGGGAUGUAGGCUUUGCAAGCACCUAAAGAAAAGACAAAAAUGGAAAUUAUGAACCUAUAAUGAGAUGCAUGAAAACAAAUCAUAAGUACAUUCAAGUGAAAAUUCUAGUACUUCUGCAAAGCGUGUUUGGCGGUGCUGUGGUUUUGGUGGCUGAUUAGUCAUUGCACGCAAAGCUUGUUUCUUUUGUUGGACUUGAAUACCAAAAACUGACUGUGCAGGUGGUUUCUUUGAUGAAACAGAAGGUAAGGUGCGAGAAAGCCAGGACUCCGAAGGUGAUUUGGGCAACGGAAGCGGAAGAACGGAUUGCACGGGUUUAAAGUUCUUUUUGAUGAGAUCUUCUCCUUUAGACUGGAAUGGACCAUCACUAAUUUUAUUGCACUUAAAAGUUUCACGGCCAUUUAUCUCUCCAGGGUCUGACACUGCCAAGGUAGUCGGUAAGCCACGUUCAUCCCUGUUACGAGCUUCUAUAAUAGAACUUUCUUUUAUCUUUCGACUUACUUCCUCAAUCUCAAAAUCCUUCUCCCCUGAUUCUAUCCUCACCUUUGGAUCUGCAUCAGGCACAUCCACAGAGUCAACCUCAACACCUUUCUCUGCUGCAGGGCUCAUCGAGCCUGAGCCUGACCCCUGCUGACUGCUAUUCUGUGGUGUCGUAUCCCAACAGUCCUCACCAUCUUUCUCGCCUAAAUCAGAGCAAUCGCCCUUACUACUCUUCCGGUCUCGAUUUGGGACUCCAAGCAAACCUUUCCCCUCAUGAAAUGGUGAUUCACGAGCCUCAUUCCGUAAGGGCGAACCUUCUCCAGUUGACCUAUGAAAUGGAGAAGACCCAUCUGCUGUUUGGGAAUCACUCCAGUAAGUAAGCUGGUUUGAAUCAUUAGUCAAUUUACUCCUUCCAUCCUCACCUCGAGAUAGAUACUUCUGCCCCAAUUUGUGCUUAUAAACAGCUUCCCAUGAAUGCUAUGCAUAUGGAACAAAGCAACAAAGUUUGAAUCAAUAACAAUAAUUCAAAAGAAGAAAAGCUAAAAACAUGCAAACCUUACCAAAACUAUAGUACAUUUGGAAAUGGUUACUUGAGCUCUUAACAUUUUGAAUUUCCUUCCUAAGACUACAUUAAGCAUCUCUGUCAUAACCAGUGAUUGUUUUAAGGCCUCGUUUGGAUGUCAGAAAAAAUUAUCCACUUAUCAUUUAUUCAGUACAAAGAUUUUCUUUGUAAGGGGAAGGUAGGAAGUUAACUUUUGCUCCUUGAAAGGCCUUGGCAUCUAUGAUUUGGUAGGAAUGCAUAUUUCACCUAUGAGCUGAUUUAUCUUUAUUCUGAAAAUGACUCAAAUGCUGAAUAUGCUAUUCCAUUCUAGACAUUUGACCACACUCCUGACUUCCAAUCAUAAUAAAAAAUACUCAUACCGGAUAGGGUAUCACUGGAUAACUUAUUCCGACAUCCAAACAUGGCCUUAGUUUUUUCUAUGGCAUGGUAUGUGACUAAUAUAAUCUAAUGAAAUUUUCUGUCACUUGAUAGAAUACUCUAUUUUUUUGACAGAAACAGCUAAAAGUUCCAUCAAAAUUUGACGGAGUUUCCUCUAAUAAGAAAUCAUGGAACUUCAGGCAGUUAAAUCAAAAGUGUUAUAAGGUUAAUGAAUUCAUUUCAGAAUGUGCCAUAGUUCAAGGUCCUGAAAAAGGGUAGAAGCUUCCAAUUACCUCAUCUCCAGCUUGGCUGAGAGUAGCAUUAUGUGAGCUCCUGAUCAAUGGGCCGGCGCUCCUUCUAGCAUGUGGUGGGGGCGGCGGUCGGCCACGGACCUUCAAUGCGGGAACUGGAUUUAGAAGACAAAGCGAGCUCUUCAGACAGAAUUUCGGAAGAAACCCACAACCGCUGGAAGGAAAAUGCCGCGCAUCAUAAUCGUCAUCUUCCUCCUCUUCCUCAUCAUUCUCAUAGCUCUCCUCUCCUUCUGGCGGCAAUGGUGGCCGCGAAUACUGCAAGUUACUAUUAUAAUUAGGCGUAUGCUGGAAGGGAAGGGGAACCGGCGGCCUCCGCCGGUGAUCUCUGGUCACAACCCUCUCCGGCUGCUUAGGGUUAGCUGCUUUACGAAAAGUGUACUGCGGAGAUCCCGACGCCACGGCUUGGGCGGCGGGCAGGAACCUCCCCAUCAUGAAAUCGCGCGCCAGCAGGUCCUUCGCAAAGCUCUCGCGAGGAGGAUCGGAAGAAGAGUGGGGCAUGCCACUCAGGCCGCUCAUGCUGCAGUUCAUGAAGAAGGACUCUGUUCGCGAUAACGUGUCGCGCGCAUCCGAGAACACAUCAUCGUCAUCGUCAUCAUCACCACCACUAUCACCAUCACCAUCACCAUCUUUCUUACUAUCGGCAUGAAGAGUGCAAUUGUUUGACUCAAUUCUCGGCUGUUCCGGUGGCGGCGGUGGUUGAUCAGUCAUUUCGUCGAACACCUUGUGCGCGCUACUCUCCGCCGGCUCGGGCGAAGCCGUCACCGCCUCAGCAUCGGGAGGCAGCGUCGGAGGCGUGGGGGUGGCCGCGCGGCGGGCGCGGCCGCUGCCGCCGCGCCGGGCCCGUCCUUGGGCUGGCCCGGGCGCUGCUCCCACACGAAGGGGACGACGCCGGGGUUCCGCACCGGCCCCGAUUUCAACUCCGACAUGUACGUCGGAAGCGGCGAUCUCCGCACGCCGUUCGAAGCCGCCGCCGCCGCCGCCGCCGCCAACUCAGCCGCCGCGGGUGGCGGCGCCGCCGCGCCGCUGCCGGAGAAGCGGCGGACGGAGAGGAGCGGGGCGUCGAAAUCGAGGCGCUUGUCCUCCAUCAGGCUCCCCAGCAUCGUCCCCGUCGGAUUCCGAACCCUAGAUCGAACCCAGAUCAACCAAAUCAAGCAAAUCGAAUGCGAAAAAACAAGGUGGAAUCAACGAUAUCUCCCGUGAGAUCGGGUAAAGAUGCAGCAAACGAUCGGCUUUUGAUCGAUUUUGGUGAUGCGAUCGGGGUUAGUGGGGAUUGUUUAGGAACGAAGCGAGCUUCGUCGUUCUCUCUCUAGGAAUUUAGAGAGAGAGAGAGAGAGAGAGAGAGAGAGAGGAGAGUGGAGGGAUCUAUACGUCGGAGGUGUGAGAGUGAGUGCCCGACUGUUACACCAAAUGAGCAUCUUUUUUCUGUGUACCCGUGAUAUAUCACUGUUACACGUAGACUUCUAUCCCCAUGUAGCGUCAAAGUAGGGGAGACAAUUCCGCUCGUGCUCAUAUUCGACUCGAAACGAGUUCGAGAUCGAAUUAUUUAUUUAGUAAACGUGCUAAACACGAGUUGAAUUUUUUAGCUCAUUUUAUAAAUAAGCCGAAUACGAGUUGGAGUCAGUUCGCUCGUACUUGACUCGAUAACAGCUCAAACACACAUAUUUUAUAUAUUUAUAUAAUUUACUUAAUUUAUAUUUAUAUAUAAAUAAAUAAUUAUAUAUAACAUAUAUUUUUAUUAUUUAAUUUUUAGUAAAAUAAAAAUAUAAAUGGGAGCUCAAUUAUAAAAAAAAAUUUAUUUAUAUAUAAAUAUAAAUUAAGUAAAUUAUAUAAAUAUAANAGUAAACAAGCCGAACAUGAGUUGAAUUUUUCAGUUCAUUUAAUAAACGAGCCGAAUACGAUCUCAAUAAUAACUCGAAUACAUAUAUUUUAUAUUUAUAUAUAUAAAUAACAUAUAUUUUUAUUAUUUAAUUUUUAGUAAAAUAAAAAUAUAAAUGGGAGCUCAAUUAUAAAAAAAAAUUUAUUUAUAUAUAAAGUUUUAACUAUUAGAUCAAAAUCUAAUGGAUAAAAUUUUAUAAAUUUUAUAUAUAUAUAUAUCCAAUUUAAUUUUUUUAAUUUAUUUUUUUAACUUUUUGUUCGUUGGUCAGCUUGUGAGUUAGCUCGUGUCGAGCCGAAAUGAAUUUUUUGGCUCGAUACUUUAACGAGCCAGCUCGUGUUUAACUCGUUUAUUAAACGGGCCAAGCACGAGCUGACCCAGCUCGUUCGUGUUCAGCUCAUUAACACCCCUACGUCAAAGUGCAAAUUUCACCACUAGUUCCUAUGCUUUCAGCGAUUUAGUAUUUGACCUUAUACAUCUGGAAUUUAUUUGAAUGACGAAAUAAACUAUCCAAUAAUAAUUUAUUCUACAUAACCGACCGUCCCUAGAGCAAGUGGCAAAGAACUUGGUGGUUGGUAUUCAAGACCCAAGUUUGAAUCUUAGUUGAUUCACAUUUUCAGCUAAGUUUAUUUCUAAAUAAAAUAAACGAAGCAGGUAGCGUGCUACCUAUCUCUAAAAAAAAAACAUAGUAUACUCUUACUAGCCAAAUAAUUUAUUUUAUUUUAAAAAAUAAUUUAAUGAACCAAUCAGAUACUUAUUUAAUAAAAAAAAUUUUAUAUAGGAUUUGGCACAUACAAACAGGAUCUUUAAGUUUGCCAUUUAAAACUCUAAAAUUUGAAAUUAUUUAAAUAGCUCGUAUUCAUAUUUCUUAUUAGGCUAAAAUAUAGGAAAAAGACAUUUGUUUUUUACUCUUUUUUCUUGGGCUUUUAAAAAUUUAUAUUUUAUUUUCUGAAAAUUUUAAGUGAAUGCAUUUAGCUCCUUAAUGUUAUUAACGUUCUAUCACUAUUAUGUCUAUUUCUUAAAAUUUAUAACUGAAUAUACCGAAAAUAUCCUUAAAAUAAGUGAAAUUAUAUUAAAAAUAAUUUUUUCUUAGAACAAGUAAGGACAGUUUAGUUGUUUCAUUUUCUCUGUUAACAUCGUAGCUUUCUGAAAUAUUUCUAAAAUAUAAGAAUAAAAAUUUUUCGCAUUUUAGCGUUAUUAAGAUAAAAUAUUAUCUAUAUCCACCACAUCGCUAUAUUUAUAUGGCAUAUUUUCAUCAAACACUGAUAUUAGAUCUUAUAUUUUAAUUUUAUCAAUUAGGUGCCUAUAGUUUUGCAAUUCUAAAAAAUGCCCAACGGAAAAUGUCGACCUUGAAAAGUUUUAGCACCAAAAUAAAAGUUACCUGUGCUAGCAGUGCUAGGCGUGGCAAUCCAGCCUGUUAUUUGCGAGCCAGCUCGUGUUCGGCUCAAAAUGAGCUCGAAAUCAAACUGCUUAUUUAGUAAACAAGCCGAACAUGAGUUGAAUUUUUCAGUUCAUUUAAUAAACGAGCCGAAUACGAUCUCAAUAAUAACUCGAAUACAUAUAUUUUAUAUUUAUAUAUAUAAAUAAUAUAAAUUUUUAUUAUUUGAUUUUUAGUCCAAUCUAAAUAUAAAGUCCAACUCAAUUAUAAAAAGGUUCAUUUAUGUGUAAAGUUUGAAGGAAAAACUCCAAAAACCCUCCCGUGGUUUCGUAGUUUCUCACUUUGCCCCCCUGUGGUUUAAAAUGUAUCAAUUUGCCCCCAUGUGAUUUCUUUUUUCCCUUUUUCUUAUCAAUUUUAUUAUUUUUUUUUCUUAAAUCAGUGAUAAAGUUAAAAUUAAAGGGUACUAAAGUAAAUAUUUGAUAAAUCUAGAUGAGUAUCUGAAGUUUUUUAUAUAUAAUUUAAUAAAAUAUUAACGAAAAAGAUACCGAAAAGAUAAAAACGAAACCACAGAGGGGCAGUUUGAUAUAUUUUAAAUCAUAGGGGGGCAAAGUGAAAAACUACGAAACCACAGGGGGGGGUUUUUUAAGUUUUCCCAAGUUUUAACCAUUAGAUCAAAGUCCAAUCGGUAAGAUCUCAAAAAUUUAUAUCCUAUAUAUAUCAUUUCUAACCUUUUAACUUAUUGUCCGUGAGUCAGCUCGUGUUCAGCUCGUUAAUAAGCGAGCCGAACAAAAGCUGAAUUUUCAACUCAAUACUUUCAUCAGCCAGCUCGAGGUCGGCUUGCUUAUGAAACGAACUGAAAACGAGCCGAACUCAACUCGCUCGUGUUUAGCUCGUUGACACCCCUAAGUAGUGCUCUUAAUAAAAUAAUAGCUAUAAAAAAAAAUAGAAAGAAAAUAAAAUAAGCUUAUGGAUGAGGUGUCUGAAAGUGGGCUUCUACCUGAAACUUUUUAUGUUUUCAGUGGACUGUUGACCUUGACUGCUAAAAAAUGGAAUCCUACCUAACUGAAUUUCUAGGCCACUAAUCCUACAAAAUUUUAUAAAUAUAAAAUAUCUGUAUUCAAAAUGUUUACUGUAAAAUUAGAUUUAAGCGGUGAAUAAUUUAUCGUUUUCAGAAAGCAAUACUUGUACUAAACUUAUAUAUUUUCUACAUUCGAGCCCUAAAAAUUGUAUAACAUUAAAUAAAAAAUAAUUUAAAAACGGUGAUCAUUUACCGUACAAGACUAAUUUUAAAUAAUUUUUUAAAUAACUAUUUUUAUAAUUUAAUAUUUUUUAAGUUUAUUAAUGGAAAAAAAAACCAACCUAACACCGAUGGACAAGAUUACUAUAUUAGUAGGGGUGAAAACAUAUCGGAUAUGAACGGAUAUUUGAUGAAACCAUAUCCAACUCCCUUUUUUUCUUUUUUUGAAAUGAAUUCACAUACAAAAUAUGUCUGGAAAGUUAAAUUUUUAUUACUAUAUUCACUAAAAAUAGACUCGGAUACAAUCGAAUAUUUCUUUAGAUUCAAAUAUAGAUUGGAAAUGUAUUUAGAUAUUAUUUGAAUGGUAAUAUACAUGACUAAUAUGCACAUAUAAAUAUGAACUAAAAUUACCAACAAUGCAACUAAAGUUUCAUAUUUAUAUCCAAAUUUCUAUAUAUCUAUAUUUAAUUGAAUAAAAUAUAUGAUUUGACAAGCACAAAUGCUAUUUUUAUAUAAAACUUAUAAUAAAAUAAACAAAGCGCACAAAGAAUUAUUUUAUUUUUCUACAAUAUAUUUUAUAUUUUCACAAAAAGCAAUCAAACAACUCCUUAUUUCACCAUAAGUUCUAUUAAACCACCUUUUAUCUCCCAAAAAAAAACAAUAUUUACUCCUUAUCUCCCCACAUAUCAAUCAAAUAAUUUAAAUAGUUAUUUUAUUUUUACAUAUCUAAAAAAUUGAAAACACAAUAUUAAAGCAGGAGAAUGAGAUAUUUGGAUCAAGGGUUUAGAAAAAUAUAAUAUUGUAAUAUAAUUUAAUAUUAUAAAAUAUAAUACUAUUAAAAGAUUCGGAUAUUCAUAUUUAUAUCCAUUUUUUCGUAUAUUUGAAUAAUUUUUAUUUUCUAGAACCAUGCAUAUAUGUGUCCAUAUCCCAUAGAAUCCCGAUAUUUUCUAUCCAAAUAUUAAUAAUAUUAAAUUAGAUAUAAAUGCAACAGUUAUAAUUACGUAUAUUUUGUUUAGUUAAAUAGAAUAGAAAGUGCAGCACUUUUAAGUAUUUUGUUUGAUUAUAUAUGUUGACAAGUGCAUUUAUAGAAUUUUAUUAUUUUAUAGAUAGAAUGAUGAGUUAAAUUCAAAUGCGUAAAAUCAAACGAUAUAUUUGAAUUUGUAUGCAAUUACAACUAUAGUAUAGUUACAAUUAUAUACAAUCAAAGAGGACCUUAAUUAAAAAGAUGGUCAAUGAAUGAUGAUGUUGUAAGAUGUAUGCUCAAAUUUAAUGGGUAAACAAUUAAUGGGCGACAAAAAAAGGGAAGUUAAACUUACCUUCAAAGGUUAAAACAAACACCCUUUUUGAUUAAAAAAAAAAAAAAAAAGUAAGCUCAAUUUAGAGAAUCUGCUUCAACCACACUCAUCAACCACUGAGAAUGGAUAAAGUAGAUCUUAAAAAAUAAUAAUAAUGGUAUUAUUAACUGGUUGACCAUAAUUAUUUUAGUUUUUAUUUACCAUUAAUUUAAGUUUUUAAUAUUUAUAAAAUUAGCAAAUUUCUAAUCUUAUUGACUAUAAUUAUUAAGUAAAAAUAUGAAAUAUAUAUAUUGUAAUCAAUUAAUUGCUAAAAAUAAAUCUAGUAGUAAUCCUAGCACUCCUAACACUCCUCUUCUAAUCCUACAUUGUAAAUAAAAAAAAAAAGAAAAAUAGGCUAUCAGGUACCACAACAACCUUUGUCUUUAGAUAUAAAUCCUUUUUCUUUUGUUUAUUGAUGUGAAGAAGAUUUUGGAUCCUAACCAAUUUGUCUAAUAUAUAUAUAUAUAUAUUCCUAAUAAGGUCCUAUUUGUAUUGCGAUUCAUUUAAUAAUAGCAGGCAAAACAGAAUUGGGGCAAAAACGACAAAAAAAAAUAUAUAUCAUACUAGCUAAUUACGAUAAACAGAUCAUAAUAUUACAUACAAAAAUGAAAAUAAUAUUUUUUGUCGUUUUUUCUCGUCACACGUAACGUAAUUUCUCUCGUAAUCACAAACAAAGCCUAAAUCAGUUAGAUUUGGACAAUCUCCAUGGAACAAAUCAAGAAUUAAGCUAACUUAGGUGAGAGAGAAAGCCAAUGUGGUGUUUUGUGUGGUCACCACAAUUGUUACCUAAUGCUAUUAAAGAGCUAGCUACCAUGCAAUGCAUUUAUGCAUUUUGUUUCCCAACCAAAGGAGAGAAGAACAAGAUUGGCACUAUCCUGAAGCCUGUGUGGCAAGUUGAAAUUUAGCAAUCAAAUGGUUCAUGUGUUGGCAAUCUGAUACGCGCUUUAAUACUAAAUUUUGAGAAUUCGCAAUUCACUUUGAUGCCAACUGCUAUAAAUUCGGUACUCGGUCUAGUAUCUGUCGUUGAGAUUGUGCAACGAAAUUAUGAAAUCAAAUUUUUAUCAUAAAUAUGUUUCUUCAGCAAAAGCUAGGGGUGUAAACGCACGAAACAGCUGGCUCGUUAACAGAUAUCGAGCCGAAAAAUUUAGCUCGUGUUCGGCUCGUUAUUAACGAGCCGAACACAGAUGGCUACGAGCUGGCCAGCGAAUAAUAAAUUUUAAAAAAUAUUAGAUUAAAUAUAUAUAAAAAAUUAAUUUAUAAAAUCUAUCUAUUAGACUUUGAUCUAACAGUGCAAACUUUAUAUAUAAAUGAGUUUUUUAUAAUUAAGCUCGAGUAUAUAUUUUAUUUUGCUAAAAUUUAAAUAAUAAAUAUAUAUUAUAUAUAAUUAUUUAUUAUAUAUAAAAAUAUAAAUUAAUAUAAAUUAUAUAAAAUAUUAAAUAUAUGUUAUCGAGCUGUUAUCGAGCCGACACGAGCAGAGCUGACCCAGCCUCGUGUUCGGCCUUUUAUUAAACGAGCUAAAAAUCCAGCUCGUGUUUCGCUUUACUAAACGAGUGAGCCGAUCUCGAGUCUCAUUUCGAGCCGAACACGAUGCUGCUCUGCGAACAGCGAGCUGAUUGCAUCCCUAGCAAAAGCUGAUCAAAAGAAGAAUUAUAUAUAUAUAUUUUAAUAUAAAAUAGCUUCAAUCUAAACUAUCUUUCUGAAUCACUUUCAUCCUUCUAUCUUCUUCUAUAAAUUCUAGAAGACUUAUCUUUUUUUCCGCCAUGCAUGCGUAGCCAACUCUCUCUCAAAUUUGGACCACCACCGGUUAGCCAUACACCACCCAAGUACAUCAAUAGCUAUUCAAAUCCAACUAGGAUUCAACUAUAGAUUUAUCCAAAUCCUGACAAUGUACAUGUACAAUAGUCGGAUAAAUAAAAAAUAAAAAAAUAAAAAGAACUAGUAUUCAAAUGCCUCUGAUAUAAUCCUCUGCGACAUUAACUCUGAACGAGCGAUGCAUAGUUGUUGAAAAUUGAUGGAUCGUUCGCCAUGCGCUACCAAUACUGAUGUACGAAAACAGAAAAAUCGAACGGUGAGAGAAUAAAUACAGAAAGAAGGUACCAAAAUUUACACCUACGUGCACAGCGAGAGUAAGAAUAACAAACUCACGCCUUAUAUCUUCUCCGAAUCAAAACCAAGAAUCUUAUGAGGAAUCUCAUCUUUCUGUUGUUUUAUCAGAAAACUCAUCAUCAUAAAUAAGAAGACUAAAUUAGAGAAAUAUAUAAACCUCCGACCAAAUUCUAAAUGCCGUUGCUUUGAAGGAUCAGAACCGCUCAGACAACUAGUUAAGAACCACCACUUCGCUGCCGACCUCGAACAUGACGCCGCAUGAAAGUUGUCGAACCUCACGAGAUGCCUCUCUCUCUCUCUCUCUGCUUCACGAGGUUUGUGUUGGGCCGUAUGCUAAUUAAUUAGCUAGAUUUAAUUUCCUAAACUAAUCCAAUUCCAAGUCAACUCGAAUUAGGAGAGAGCCCAAGCCCGAGUCUAAUUAAAAAAUUAAUCUCAAAGCUCUACCUGGACCAAACAAAAAAAAAAGGGGCACAACUUAAACACGUAAGCGCGCGCACUAAUCUUGAGAUAUUUUUAAUUUUUUUAGGGCUUAAGAAUUUUGAAAUUGUACACUGUCACGGCCUGUUAAUAGAGAAGGCGAGAUCGGUACACAUUUCACGUGUCGCUUGUCAGACUCGCUCUCGCGGGAAAAAUUCUAAAAUGCACCACUUAUAUUACUGAUGUGGCACCUUUAAUGAAUUAAGAAGUUUUUCUAAAAUUUAUCGAUCCCAUCAUAAUUUUUUUAAAAAUAUUUUUAUUAUUUUUUAAAAAAUAAGAGAUAUGGUUUAAUUAAACUUUCUAUCAUAAUUUCUAUCAGUUUCCAUAUAUAUAUAUAUAUAUAUAUUCAAGCAUGAAUCAAAUAAGAGGUAAAUUAAACUUUUUGGUCCUCAAACUAUGAGGCGUGUAACACUUUAGUCCUCUAAUUUUAAAUAGUUGUAAUUUUUGAUUCGAACUAUAAGGCAGUGACACUUGUAAACCUCAAACUUUCUGAAUUGCUGCAAUCAAGUUUUACAACCGAAUUUUUUUUAAUACGAAUUAGUAAAUUAAUUACUAACAUAGAAGAGGCGCAAGAUUUUAAUUAUUGCUACAAUUCAGAAAUUUUGAGAACUAAAUUGUCACAUAUCUUCUAGUCCUGAGCCAAAAUAUGUUAUGAAUUAAAGUUUGAAAAUUAAUGUAUCACAUGCCUCAUGGUUCAGGUCAAUAAUUGCAAUAAUUAAAAUUCGGGGGCUAAAGUGUCACAAUGCUCGUAGUUUGAGGACGAAAAAUGUAAUUUACCCAUCAAACAAAUCUAUUUAUUCUACAUGCAUGUGGAAAUUCUGAGAAUGGUAAAGCUAGAAUGCUUCUAAAAAUAAACAAGGUUGUUUACUUUCGUGUUGUUUCCGCUAGGGAAUAUCCGACCAAACGAUCAAUAGUUUAAAUAUGAUCUUGGCUAUCUGAAUUUUCUAUAAAUUUUAUAAAUAUUUUUAAUAUCAUUUGUCAUGUGAUCAAGUGAUCUCAAAUUCAUCUAAGCCACUAAAAAUAGUCAAUUUUAAGACUAUUUGAAUAUUAAGAUAAAUAAUAUAGAAAAAUCAUGAAAUGUAGAAAAUUUAAAUAAUCUAGAUCAAAUUUAAUGAUGCCAAUCACCAUUUCGAAUGUCUCAUUUUUGAAAACGAUGCAAAACGAAUUAACUAAUGCUACAUGUACAUUUCUAGAUACCCAUCAUAAGGCCCAAAUUUUGGCUCGACUUAUUAUUAUUAUUAUUAUAUCACUUUGUCAAUAUCCGUGUUUUCAUUUUUUUCUCCUAACUUUUAAAAACAUAUAUUUUGCUCCCUUAAAAAUUGAGAAAUGUUCACUAUGAGUCUAUGACCCCCAGCGUUAAAAAUCUGUUAGGGUGCUGUUUAUGUCAUAUUAUUAUAUAUUUUUUAUACACAAAAUACUUUCGAAAUUCUCGUCUUAUAUGCGCCUCCUCACCGACGUCUUCAGCUGCGCUACCUCGCCCUCCUCCGCCACCUCGUCCUUGCGCACCCUCUAUCCGUGCCCACACACACACCCACGCCCUCGCCCUCCUCCGUCGCCUUGCCUUAGCCUACCUCUCCUUCCAUGCCCAUCCCGAUCUUCUUCCUACAAUUGCCGAAAUAGAGGGGUGACGAGUUUGCUGGAGGAGCGGGGGAGCAGGCGAAAAAAAUGGAGUCGGAGUUGGGGUCAAGGGAAGGGAGAAAGACAGAGAAGGAGAGGCUGCGAAUGAGCAAGAUUGGGGAGGAGACGAAGAGGAUGAGAGAUAAUUUGGUCAUUUGGUUAUCACAGUUAAGACCGUACUCUUCUGUGAAUAUUUUUUAUUUUUUAAGGAGGCAUAAUGUAGAUUUAUAAAUGAGAUAAGUGAAAAAUCAAAUUUUGCCCAGGGAUUUGCUGUAAUUUAGCCCUUUUUUUUUCUAUGAAGACCUAAAAGAUUUUUGUAAAUCCUAAAACUGAGAGCAUAUAAGAUUUACACCUAUAUAUAAGUAUACCGGCUAUAUUUUCCAAAAGAAAUGUCUAGUGUACUUCUCAAAGUAUUCUAACUUUAAUGUUGUGAGCAUGGCUAUUAUUGAGAGAGUUAUUUGCAAGAUUAACAACAACAGGAGUUUAUAAGAAAAUAUAUAAUAAUUUUUGGCCCGGCACGGCCCGGUCUGGCCCAUUCGUAAAGAGGCCCACCUAUUUAUAGGCCCAAACACUUUGCUGGUCUAAGCUUAGCACACAAUUGAAGUGCAAACAUUUUAUUAUUCAUGAUCACAACAAUAUUCUUUUUUUUGUUCUUUCUCUUGCUUUACAAGAUUAUGACUAAUUCAUUAUUUUCUUUUUGAGUAAUUGUUGCACGCAUAACUUUUUAUUGAAAAAUAAAACUUGAUUUUGUCAAAGUUCCUAAAAAUAUGAAUUAUUCUUUUCUAACUAGAUCGACUAGAGCACUCAAACUGUUCGUUGACGCAAAAGAAUUUUCUUUUUUCCACCAUCACCUAUCCUUAAAAACUAGUUAAGGAGCCUGCGCGAUGUGGCAGAAAAACAAUACAACAGUAAGUUAUUAAAUUAUUAGCAUCACUUUUUUCUAUUAUGCAUUAAUAUUUUUAAAUAUUAUUUAUCUCAGUAUUGAAUAAUUAAAAAUUAAAAAAUAAAUUAAAGAAUGAAAUGAAAGUAUAUUUUUUUUAUAAAAAUAUAUAAACUUAAUAAGUUAAAUGAAUAAAUCAGUUUAAAAUCAAAAUAAAAGCUCAUUACAGUAUUAAAAAAGAUAAAUAAUAUUUUUCUAUUAUCAUCAAGAUAGAAUUUAUAAAUAAAAAAUAUAAAAAAUUAAUUGGAGUGCAAGUACUAUUUUUACUAUUCUUGACGGCAACGUCUUUAUUGUGUCCUCGUUAACUUUUAUUGUUACACGUACAACUAAUAAAGAAUAUAAUUCAGAUUAAUAGUAUACGAAUUAACAAAAUAUUACUCACAUGAACUAAAUAAUAUAAUUUAACUGGAGAACAAAACUAAUAGCAUAAAAACAUCCAAGAAAAAAAAAUCAAAAAUUGAAUUCUCUCAUUUCAAGAUAGUAAUUUGUUACUUUUGAAAAAAAUAAAAAAAUAAUUAAAAUUAUCAAUCAAGCAUCAUGAGUCAAUAAUCACAAUUUGAAGAGUCUUAAUUCAUAUUUGAAUAUGUGAAUAACCCAAUAUACAAAACACGAUUACAUUGCUAAAGGUCUUAUCAUAAUUUUUAUUAAAAGUAAAAAAUUAAAUGCAUUAGAUGCAACUUGCUAAUGGCCUACUAUCUUGUAUCUACUCUUAUGUAGCAAACUAUCUGAGAUGAUUAAANGUCUUAAUUCAUAUUUGAAUAUGUGAAUAACCCAAUAUACAAAACACGAUUACAUUGCUAAAGGUCUUAUCAUAAUUUUUAUUAAAAGUAAAAAAAAAAAUGCAUUAGAUGCAACUUGCUAAUGGCCUACUAUCUUGUAUCUACUCUUAUGUAGCAAACUAUCUGAGAUGAUUAAAAAAUAAUAAAUCAACUUGAUAGAUCAAACCUAAUUGUUCUCAUUUGUCUAAAUUUAAAUAAAAUUUAAAUUACAUAUUUAAAUUGUACAUUAAAAUUUUAAUUCGAAUGCAAAUUCAAAUAUCAAAAUAAAAAUAAAAAAAUUAAGUUUGAAAUCAAAAAUUAAAAAAUUUAAGUUUGAAAUCAAAUUUUAGAUUCAAUUUAAAAUUCAAAUUUAAAAUUUGAAUUGAAUUCUAUUUUAAAUAUGUUAUCGAGUACUAUAUUUAUAUAGUCCGGCUGAAGUACUAUCGAUGCCACCAAGAAUUUGGUGCUAUCGAGUUUUCUACCGUUAGAUUUAACCCUUUGAUUAUUUUUACCCGUUAAAUUAUACUAUUCAACCAACCACUUACUCAACCCUAGGGGGUCCACAUCAUCCUAACCACAAAUUUCUCAAUCCAAGGGCUAAAAAAUCAAUAGCACCAAUAGCUUGGUGCUAUUGAUAGUAUUCCAGCUUAGUUAUAUAUAUAUAUAUAUAUAUAUAGGCUACUAUACUAUCUAUAGUACCGNCAAACUUGAUGGGUGAUUAGAAAGUUAGGAGCACAAGGGCUGCUGUCCUCCUAAUAGCAUAGUAGUCCUACUUAUAUAUAUAUAUAUAUAUAUAUAUAUAGGCUAAUGCUACUAUCCUAUUAAUAGGAUAGGAGCACUUGUCCUAUCAAGUUGUUCUUGACGAUCGAGAUUCCGAAUCGAUGAUCAGAGCCGUUGAAGUUGAUCUAGAGUAUUUGAAAUAUCUAGAAACUAAAUUUCAUAAAUUUUGAUAAUGGUUUACAUGGUGAUCAAAGUGUCGUAAAAUCGAUAAUUUUUGACGGCCUAUAUGAGCCGUUUGCUUGUUUAACGGUGUAGAGCAAUCCAAAUUGCUUGAAUUUUUGAUAGAAAAUUCUUUAUACUAUUUAGAUAAUGUUUGAUAACUCUGAUUACGAACUGAGAAAGUCUAACUAACCUCUAUUUUAAAAAGGUUAUUCAUUUAUGACUGUUCAUUUUUCAACUCUUAAGAUAAACUUGAUAAUGAUUUUAAAAUAAUACAAAAUUUGGUUUCUAAACCUUUCUAAUUGUGUAGAUCAACUUCAACGGUGCCGAUUAUCAAUUUGAAGUUCCGAUCAUUCAAAUCAACUUGAUAGGACAAGAGUCCCAAUCCUAUUAAUAGGAUAGUAGCCGGACUAUAUAUAUAUAGAGUUGGACUGGGUUACUAUUAGUAGCAAAAUUCUAUUGUUGCUACCAGUUUUUUAGCCUUUGGAUCAACUCUUUUCAUUAUUUCUAACCGUUGGAUUAAAUACUAUAACCCAGUGGGGACCACUCAAUUCUAACCGACUAAUAUCAUCUUGGCCCUACAAUUUUUCAUCCAAGGAUUAAAACCUUGAUAGCAAAAAGAAUAUUUUACUAUUAAUAGUAUUCCAGCAUAAUUCUAUAUAUAUAUAUAUAUAUAUAAUUAAAGAGGGAGAGAGAGGUCUACUAAACUCUCUCUCUUAGGCGGUCCACGAGAAGAUGAAGCCCACCUCGUGGACGCGUGCAAAAAUGCUAGUGAACCCCACCAUUUUUGGUGGGCCCCACUGCGGAGAGGCAUUGUUGGUUCCCAAUUCAUAAAUUUAUAAAUAAAUUGCAUUGUUCUUUUUUUUUCUUUUUCUAUAAGGUGAAGCUCCCCCUUUUCUUCUUCUUCUUCUUAAUCUUCUCCUUUAAUUUUCUUCCGGCUUUUUCAAAUUUCUUUGGUACUCCGGCCAAGAAAAAAAAAUUGAGUGAGAAAAUUUCCAACUACGCUUCCUUGGGAGCCCGCAAUCCGCAUAUUAUUUAUGCUUCUAUCAAAGAAUGAUAAUCCUUCUCUUUAGGUAGCGUUUGGUUCGGGUAUAAGUAAGAACUAGCUAUUACAGGGAUAGGUACAAGUAUGGGGAUAAAAAAAAUAGCGUUUGGAUAAAAAUUAGGUUGUUGCCGGGGAUAAGAAAAAUAGCGUUUCAAUAAAUAAUAUGGAAUAAGAAAAAUAGUUGAUAAUUAUAUAUAGAAAAUAGAGGUGUUGGUGGGGAUAGUAAUACUGGUUAUUUUAGGUAUCUGAAAAUUACUAUUCUCGGAUAAAAAAUUUGCGUUUGGGUAUAAAGGGGAUAAGUGGUUAUCCCUCUCCUUAUCCCCAAUCCAAACACUGCCUUACGUUUUUAAAAAAUCUAAAAUUUUGGUAUUAAAAAAUACCUGCAAACAUAGUGAAUGACAAAUAUAUCUCUACAAAAUUCAACUUUUAUAUCUUAUCCCCGCAAAAGUUCAGAUAUUUUCAAAUAUAUUUAUCAGGUUUGUUACUGUCAGAAAACUAUUUAUAUUUUUAAUUUUGCCAUCACAAAUAUGUCCCUCCAAAAGUCAUAACAGUGUAAUAUAAGCGGAGUAAAAAUGUCAAAAAUUAACCAGGAUUAAGUAUUUAACCUAUUAUUAACUAAAUUUUUCUAACGGAUUCUAACUGUAGGGAUAUAUUUGAAAAUAUAAAAAUUUUACAAAAAUAAUAUAUAAAAAUUAAAUUUUAUAAAAAUAUAUUUAUCAUUCAUUAUAUUUAUAAAAAUUUGUAUAAAAUUAACUUUAAAAUUAAGAGUAGGACUACUAUGCUAUUAGGAGCACAACAAUCUUUGUGCUCCUAACUUUCUAAUCAUCCAUCAAUUUUGAUGGAUGAUUCGGACGAGAUAGAGAAUAGAAAUUCAAAUAGAAGAAAAAUUAAGACACCCAAUUUCUUUCCAAUUUUUCUUCGCUUUUUCAUUUUAACCAUCCAUCAAAUUAAUAAAUAAUUAAAAAAUUAAAAGCAUAUAAAAAUUACUGUACUCAUACAGUAGUCCUGCUCCUAAAAUUAAUAUAUAGUCCUGCUCCUAAUGUUUUGGGACAGUCCCUCCCCGCUGAAAUUUUAUCCUGCCUGCUGCUGCAGCUGAAAUUUUAUGCCCGAGACGAGAUCUGCGGGAUCUGCUGGGGAUUGCUGGCGAUGAUGAUGGACGGCGAUGAUGGAGACGGCGAUGGGACGUCUGGAUGGGAUUGCCGGCGAGUGUGUGGACGGGCGUUGCGUGGCGGCGCGAUUCGCGGGAUUUCUGCCACAUCGUGCGGCACGAAGAGGGAGGGAGAGGGUAGAUAAAAUAGGUAUUAAGUGCUUCAAAUGAGGUUAAAAUACCAAAAAAAGGAAAAAAAAAAAAAAGAAAAUGCUUGUUUUGCUCUUUUUUUUUUUCUUUUUUUUUCUAUUUUUUUUUAAGGUACCUCUAAAAAUGUAUAUUUUAUUUUUUAAAAAAAUUUAAAAAUAUUUUUAGAAAAUUGUGAUAUUAAUAAAAAGAAUAAAAUGAUCAAAUUAUUUUUAUUAGUUGUUUCCACACGCUAUUCUUAUUUUAAAAAUUUUAAAUUUAAAAUUAAAAUGUAAAAAAAUUUAAAUUUAAAUUAAAAGUUUUAAAUUUUAUAAUUUUAAAUUCAAAAUGUAAACUUUAAAAUUUUAUAUUUUAAAUUUAAAAUUUAAAAUUUUAUGCGUUAAAAUUUAAAAUUAAAAUUUGAUACUUUAUAUUUUCAAAUUUAAAUUUGAUCUUGAAUUUAAAGUUUGAAAUUAAAAAUUAUUAAUUUUGAAUUUAAAGUUGAAAUUUAAAAUUUAUAAUUUUGAACUUAAAAUAUGAUUUUAAAUUUUAAAUUUUAAUUUAAAAAUAUAAGUAUAAAUUAAAAAUUCAAAAUUCAAUAUUAUGAGAGUGGUAAUAAUUAUUUUUAUUUAAAUUAUUUACUAUCCUAUUUAUUCUAUAUUUAUUUUUAUUCUCAGGAGAAUAAACUAAUUUUUAUCCACACGCCAAAAAUUGGUAUUUUAUACAUUGUUUCUGAAACAGGCAGUUCUUAUUUUAUCCGAAAUCAAAUGAUACAUAUGGUAAUAUAUGUAGUUUUUGAAAGUCAGAAAAGAUAAUUGAAAAGAUGAGUAUUAUCAAGAGUUUUCUAUAUUUUAGCCUUAAAAUAAUUAGGAGUACUAAGUUGAUCAUAAUUUCACGGGUGUGUAAAUAUAAAGAAAAAAAAAUGUACACUUAUCUAAACUAUAAGACCAUCUGGAUUUUGCUAUCCAAUAUUUCGAAAUUUUUAAAUUUAUUAUCCGAUUUUUUAAUUUGUUUAAUUUCAAUCAAUCAACGAUAGUUUUAAUUUUUAAAAUUUAAGUAAUUAAUAUACGAAUUUAUAAUGUCGAUAAUUGCAGUAAAAUAUUGAUUAAAUCUGUAAAGAUAAAUAAUCCAUUCAAAUUGUAAAUUCAAACACUCGUUCACUGAUUCAAAUCAAAAAUCGGAAAAACAUAUAAUACCAUCCUAUGGUUUCACACUUUUUCACUUUAGUGCCAUGUGGUUUAAAGUGUAUCAAUUUAGUGCCCUAUGGUCUUCAUUUUUAUCUUUUUUAUAAUCAAUUCCACUAAUUUUUUUUGUUAAAUUAGUGACAAAGUUAAAACUAAAGGUACUUAAAGUGAAUAUUCGAUAACCUAGGUGGAGUAUCUAAAGUUUUUUGUUGUAAUUUAACAAAUAUUAAUGGAUAAGCUUGAUGAAAAGAUAAAAAUAAAACCACAGGACUACUAACUUGAUAACACUUUAAACCACAUGUACUAAAAUGAGAAAAUACAAAACCGACAUGAAGGGUAUUUAAAGUUUACCCAUAAAAAAAACUGAAAUAUGGAUAGUCAAAUCAAAUGUUUAAUAGUUCAGAUAAGUCGUAUACAUUUUUACCUUAAAAAUAAUUAGCACGCAUAUAGAGUAUAUUUUUAGGGAUGUAUAUAUAUAUAAAUUGAGCUAGAAUACUUUUAGAAGCUAUCAAUCUGUUGGUGCUUCUAAGUUUUUAGCCCUUGGAUCUACUCCUUAAUUACUAAUACCCUUGAUUCAAACACUAUUCCAACUACACCACCUACCACCAGCUGCACUAUCAUCAUCAACCAUCUACAUUCUUCCAUCACAUGUAAAAACGUUAAAAAGCACCAACCCCGUGGUGCUUUCUGAAGUAUUCUAGCUCAACUAUUAUUAUAUAAUAUAUAUUAUAUAUAACUAUAUAUAUAUAUAUAUAUAUGAAAUAGGGAUUAAGGUAUUGGUGCAAUUUCAAGUAUAAUCUUCUAAAACUCCAAAAUAUCCAAAAUAUAAUAGAUGCUCUUUCUAGAUCUAAAAUAUCGUCAAUCUAUAUAUCUAUACCUUAUCUAUACCUCUAUAUCUUCUACACAUUAUUUUCUCUAAAUUUGUCACAUGGCAACGUUCGCUUUAUUGUUGGGUGUGGGCUCCACCCCGAACUUGCUCAAAUCCAUUUUUGUCUUUCUUUACUUGAACCAAACCGAAAUUUUAUCUUUCUUUGCUUGAACCAAUCCAAUUAUUAUUGAGUGUGGGUUCUCCCAAACCGGCUCAAGUCCUCCACAUAUUUUUUUCUUUUUUUUCUUGAACCUAACUGGGUUUUCCUUUUUUUUUUAUUAAACCGAACCGGAUCACACCUCUACAUUGGACCGAACUAUUCCUAUUCCACUUUUUUUGGCUAUUACCUUCAUUCAUCGGCAAGAUGAAUCUCACUCCUUAUCGUCACUUCUUCCAUCGCCGUUUCCUCUUCCUUUGUCGUCAUUUUCUACUUUUUUUCUAAUUAUCUACUCGUCGCAUCACACAGAUUACUACAUUAGUCUAUAUCUAUAUAUUAUAUAUAUCUAAAGUGGGUGGGAGAAGGUAUAGAGGGGGCACAUGGACACAUAUUAUAUUAGUUAAUUUAGUGCACCCGGUGCACCAUAAACCAUACUAAGUGGGUGGAGGAAGAUGGGAAGGGACACAAGUUGUGUCGGUUAAUUCAGUGCACCUGGUGCACUAUAAAAGGGUAAAUUGUAUUGUUACCUGAACUUUUGGCGAAGUUUCACUUUACCCCUCGAAUUCUAAAAUAGACAUCUGACACCCUAAACUCUAAUAUUUCAUUCACGUUACUCCUUCCAUCAGUUUUCCGUCAAGCUCCGUUAACCAGAAACUGACGGAAGGGGUAAAACGAAUGAAAUAUUAGAGUUUAGGGUGUUAGAUGCCUAUCUUAGGAGUUUAGGGGGUUAAGUGAAACUCGCCAAAAGUUCAGGAGGUAACAAUGCAAUUUAUCCCGACUAUAAAUUAUUUUUAUAUUAAAAAUUUUUAAUUGGCUGAAAUGAAGUACACAAAUUUUAUUUAAGUGUAUUUUCUAGAGCAAUACUUAUAAAGAUAAAAGAGACAAACAAGUACUACAGAAAAUUAACUGAAAAUUAAAAUAUCUAUAUCCGAGUGAGGUCGCCUAUUGUAAAGCAACCAUAUUAGUGAGUACGCCAGGAUAGUAGAGUGUUCGAGCAUCGUAGGUAAUUAGUAUCACUAUUUUUUUAUCUUUAAGCCACUCUAUUCAUUUCUUUCGCCUUUAUUUUAUUACAAUAAAAUAUAGAAUAAAUUAUGUUAUGAUUUAUUUUAGAAUAAAAAAUAUAUAUAAAUUCAAAAUCAAGUAUGAUCACUAACUUGAGGAUUAGUAAUAAAUUAUGUUAUGAUUUAUUUUAGAAUAAAAAAUAUAUAUAAAUUCAAAAUCAAGUAUGAUCACUAACUUGAGGAUUAGUAGUCAAUCCAUAAGUAAAAUAUUAUAAUAAAAUAAUUUAUAGUCAAGAGUCCUCAACGGGGUAAAUUGCACUACUACCUUUUGAACUUUUAGCGAGUUUCAUUUAACUCCCCAAACUCCUAAAAUAGACAUUUAACACCCUAAACUCUAAUAUUUCAUUAAUUUUACCCCUUCCGUCAGUUUCUUGUUAACGGAGCUUGAUGAAAAACUGACGGAAGGGAUAAUAUGAACGAAAUAUUAGAGUUUAGGGUGUUAGAUGUCUAUUUUAAGAGUUCGAGGGGUAAAGUAAAACUUCGCGAAAAGUUCAGGGGGUAACAAUACAAUUUACCUCACUAUAAAACAUAACCAAAUAUCAUAAACUUUAAUUAAUUAAUAAACAAAAAAAUUAUCUAUUAUCUAUUAUCUAUUAUCUAUUACUAUAUACUAAAGUGCGUGAGAUUCUUCUUUUAUUGACGUGUCCGGCUCAACUACUCAGUACACCCGAUGCAUCGUAGACCGUUGAUUAUCGACAUAUGUAUGGUCUAUGAAGGUCUAUGAAAAAAUCUUAGGUGCAUCUGAUUUAUUUCUAUCUAUUCUUUCUUCUACAUUAAAAAAGGGUUUGAGGAUGACACGUAUCCCCCAAAACCCUCACCUCCUCUCACUCCUUACCUAUAUAUAGAUAGGGUUUUAAAAUUUUAUAUUAUAAAAUUCUAAAUUUUGGAUAUCGAAAUUUUAAUUUAUUCCUAAAUUUUCAACUUUAAAAUUUUAAAUUUUAAAUCCUAAACUAUAUAGAAUUUUGAGGUAUUUUUCUAAAUUGCUUUAAUUCAUUGUCCACAAACUACUAAACCAAUGAGAAUACACAUUCAUUUUUUGUCAUUUAUCUAUUGUAAGUCCAAAUUUUAGAACAAAUUAAAUCUUUUCACGUUGGUGCUUAAUUGUGGUAAAUUUAAAAACUUCUUACAAAAUUAAAUACAUGUUCAUAAAUUCAAAAAAAAUUAUAAAGUCAGUCAAUUAAAAACCUACGAAUCAAAUAACUACUUUUUAUUUUAUCAUAAUAUUUUCAAUUCUCGAUAUUGCUUGCAUGGGUCAACAAAGUUACAAAAAUGAUCUGAAUAGAGUUAGAAGAAUAAGAAUUUAAAAAACACAAAAAGAUGAUAUGUAUUUUUUAAAACAAACUGGCGUAAAAAUAAACAUGUUACAAACUCUUCCUUUUUACUUCUGAAAAUUUUGAAAGUUUACGGAAUCUCAAGAAUCUAAAUUUAAACUAUAAAAUAUCUAGAGACAAAAUCUGUAACAAAAUUUUUUAUUUUGAAAUCAGAUAUUGAUACAAAAAACAAGGCCAUCGUACCCGCAACAAAGCGCGGGUACAUCGCUAGCAUUCUUUUAAAACACAAAAAUAAUUAUCCCAUUAAACAUAGAAAUCUAUCGCAAAUAUCCUCCUAAACUUCAAAAUCUUAGCCUAAACCCUAAACCCUGUUGUAUAUACAAGGACGGCAAUGAUAUUUUACACUUUGAGGGGUAUUUAUGAAGUUACCAGUUUGUAGAGGACAUUAAAUUAUAUGUGUGUGAGUUACAUAGUUCUUAGGCUUAGUUUGGUAUUAAGGCCUAUCUAACGCUAUUUGAUAAAAUGGAGUUGUGAAAAAAGCAUAUAGGGAUAUGCUUUUGCGUUCUCCAGUGGGAUCGCAGAAAAUAUAGCGUAACCGACUCAUCGUGAUAUGCGGAACGCAAUAUUACGUACGGAAACAAACAUGGUAUUUUUCCAACGUACUUUCUCACCGCACGUAACGCAAUCUCCCGGCAAUUCCGAACGAAGCCUUACACGAUGGGUAAAGUUUAGGGUUAAUUUCAUACAGAUCCCUGCAAACAUGGUGAAUAGCAGAUAUAUAUUCCUGCAAAAUUCAACUUUCAUAAGUUAUCUCUGCAAAAGUCCAAUGUAUUCAGAUAUAUCCCUACCGUUAAUACCCGUUAGAAAAAUCUAGUUAACCACACUUAGGGCGUGUUUGGUUCGAAGUCGGAGUCGGAAUCGGAAUCGGAAUCAAAAUAAGUUGGAAUCGGAAUUGGAAUGACUCAUUACCUAAUUCUGUUUGGUUCAUCACCUGAAUCGAAAUCGGAAUAAAUCAUUCCCAUUGUCGGUGUUUGGUUCAGAUGGAUAUAAAAACAUAAUCAAAUGAAUAUACUAACAUUAUCUUUAUAAUAUAUUAAUUUAAAUUUAAAUUAAAAUUAAAUAUUAAAAAUUUACAUCAAAAUUUUAAACUUAAUAGGUGAGUUGAAGUUUCAAAUUAAAAAAAAUUUUUUUUAUCUAAAUUUUAAAACUGUAAUAAAGNNNNNNCUUUGAAGUUGAGUGGAUAAUUCAAAAUAUGAAACUAAAUUUUGAUUUAUUCAAAUUCAAACUUAAAAUUAUAAUUUAAAUUUUAAUUUGAAUUCAUAAAUUUAAUUUAAGUUUGAAAAAAAAAUGAAUAAACUUUAUAUAAAUUAAAAUUUAAUUUAAAUUCAAAUUCAUAAGUUAGAUUCGAAAUACUUGAUUAAAUUUUAAUUUUUAAUUUAAGUUCAAAUUAAAAUUUAAAAUUAUAUAUUUAAUUUCUAAAUUUUAACUCAUAUUUUAAUUAAAAAAGUUGAAAAAAUAAAUUUAAUCCAAAUAAAUAUCUAUUCCGCCCGAAUUCAACUUUCAAUCCGGCCUUCUAGGCCGGAUUGAAAAAAUGGUGAUUGAGCGAUUCCCAUUCCACUCGAAAAUCGGAAUCGGAAUGGGACUCCCACGUACCAAACACCCACAAACGGAUUCACUCAUUCCCAUUCCGAUUCCAUGGUGAAAAAGAAGCGAACCAAACACGCCCUUAAAAUAUUUAACCAUGAUUAGUUAAUAAGGUAAAAUGAUAUUUUUACCUUUCUUCCUCUUCCCCUUCCUCUUCUUCUUCCUCUUCCUCUCCUGCUUCUUCUUCUUCCUCUUCCAUUUUGUAUCCUCAUUUUCCUCCUCUUUUUCUCCUCCUCCUUCUUCUUCGUCGUCUUCGUCGAUGAUCCGAUCGUCGUCGCCGUCGUGGUGCCCGCGUGGGCCGUCGUCACGGGCGCCUCCGACGUCAUCGACUGCGCCUUGGCCUUCCGCUUCUUCCUUGUCCUCGUUGGCCGCAAUCCCGACAAACUCCGCAAGGUGGCCGUCGCCGCCGUCCGCUCCCACAACAUGAAGAGGAAAAGGAAGAUGAAGAGGACAAGGGCAAAAUAGUCAUUUCACAACUCUACUGUUAAAAUAUUAACAGUUCUCUAACAUAUCUAAACCAGAGGGACAUAUCUGAAUACAUUAGGGUUUUUGCAGGAAUAACUUAUGAAAGUUGAAUUUUACAGGAGUAUAUCUGCUAUUCACCAUAUUUGCAGGGAUCUAUAUGAAAUUAAUCCUAAAAUUUAAAUCUAAGAGACCAAAAAUUAAGAUCUAAACUAUUAAAUAUGAUAAAAAAAUAAAAAGAAUGUCUGUAAAGUUUUAUAAAUAUUAAAAAUUAAUUUCUUAUAUAUCGAAUGAUGUGAAACGAAGAAUCCAAAAUUUUCUGGGAAGCAUAAUCAGCAUUAUAUUGAAAACUAAAGGUAUAGAUUUCGAAAAAUUUUAGGGAGUGAAAAAAUAUUACAGAUAUUUUAGAGUGCUUAGCUGGCCCGCUUAAACCCUAAGUCCUAAACUCUAAAUUGAAAUUUGAAUUUAAAUUUGAAUUCAAUGGAUUUUGAAAAUUCAUAUUCAAACUCGAGUCUGACCAAAAAUAUGAAACCGAAAUCCGAACUCAAACCCAAAAAUCCGAACCCGAAAUAAUUAUUUCUCAUUAUCGUAUUUCAAAAACAUAUUAUUUUUAAAAUCUCAAAAUUUUAAAUUACAAGCUAAAUAAAAUUUAACAUCAAAUAUUAUAAGGUAAAAACAAUUCGGUUUGGGUCGGGUUCAAGUUCGGGUCACGUCAGAAUAAAAUCCAUACUCGAAUUCAAAUCUAUCAAGUUUUCUUUUUCUAUGCCCAUCUGUUUAGUAUCGAGUAAACUCACUCCGAUCGAAUUCGGAUUCAAAAUAAAAUUUUUGGUAUUUGUACCAUUGACAUCCCUAAACAAACAUUUAAGUGCAAGUAAUAUUUCCACACCCAUUUGAUUAUGGUUAACCCUCUAACCAAAAUAUACUCUUCUAAAAGUUAAUUUCAUUAGUAAAUAGAUAUUUGAAGAAUUUUUUUAAAAUUAAUAAGAAUAUUUUGUCCUAUUUAAAUUAAAUAUUUUUAAAAUUUUGUACAAAAAAAAACUUAUUAUAUAUAUUUACUAAUGAAAUUAACUUUUAGUUGCUCAAAACAUCCAUAAUUUAACAAAUACUUAUUUAUUUUAUCUAUAAUUUUUUAAAUAAAAAAAUAAUAUUUAUAAAUCAUAAAUUUAUAAAUAAUUUGUGAAUAUCUGCAUAUACCAAUUAAGAUAGUGAAAUCUAGUCCUCGUAUAAGAGAAAACAAUGAUUAGUUUAGAUUUUUUUUUUUUUUGUGGUUUUCGAAAUAUUUUAUGUGGUGUGUGAAAUGUGCACGUAAACGACCGCUGCCGGUAACAAUCUUUCUUGUGUGCGCCUUUUCCUCGCUGUCUUCCCGCCCCCCUUAUUUAUUCGGCGCUCCUUCGCCCGCAGACGUACGCCAAAAAACGAAAAGCGACGACCGACCGCUGGUCCUCGCAGCACGCCCCCAUCACAAUCCAACGGCGGGCAGCUCACCUUUCUCUCUCCCCCCACCUGAUAGCGAGAUUAUCGAGGAUCACUCCCCCGCUUUUCCAACUCUACCCCUCCCACCUCUUUUUGUUUCACCAAGCAAAAAUAUUUUGUUUGGUUCGGAAAUAAAUAAAAAAUGACUAUUUCAAAAAUAGAUAUAUAAAUCAAAAAUAUAAAGAGGAUUAGAUAGGUAUAAAUUACAAGAUUUUUUUAUAAAUAUCAUUUUUUUAAUUUUUUCUCGCUAAUUUUUUUAAAAAUAUUCUUUCCCCUCUUAAUAUUUUAAAUUAGGAAAAAUUUCGAAUACCAUCCCUAUAGUUUCGCAUCUUUUAACUUUAGUAUCAUACUAUCAUGUGGUUUAAAGUGUGUCAAUUUAGUACUCGGUGGUUUCGCACUUUCUUACUUUAGUAUCAUAUGGUUUAAAAUGCAUCAAUGUAGUACCCUGUGGUUUUUUUUUUUUUCUUUUCGACAAAUUAUAUACAAAAUACUUCAAAUAUUCUACCUAAGUUUAUCGAAUAUUUACUUUAGUACCUUUAGUUUUAACUCUGUUACUGAUUUUAUUUUCCUCCAUUAAUAUUUCGUUAAAUUAUAUACAAAAAAACGUAAGAUACCCUAUCUAGGUUUAUCGAAUAUUUACUUUAGUACCUUUAGUUUUAACUCUGUUACUGAUUUUAUUUUCCUCCAUUAAUAUUUCGUUAAAUUAUAUACAAAAAAACGUAAGAUACCCUAUCUAGGUUUAUCGAAUAUUCACUUGUACCCCAUAAUUUUAACUUUGUCACUAAUUUAAUGAAAAUAAUUAGUGAAAUAGAUAAUUAAAAAAAAAAAAAAACCACAGGGUACGAACUUGAUACACUUUAAACCAUAGAGUACUAAAGUGAGAAAGUACGAAACCAUAAGGGCUAACUUGAUACACUUUAAAUCACAUGGUACUAAAGUGAGAAAAAUGUGAAAACCACAAAGGGAGUAUUUAAAGAUUACCCUUUAAAUUAUUACAUUUAACCUUUCUCUCUCAUAGUUUCAUUACUGUUCCGUUCAUUUCUUAUAAUUUAUAUCAAAAAUAUUUUUUAAAAUAACAAAAAUAUAUUAAAAAACUAUUUUUUUUAAAAAAAAAUAAUUUGAUCAUUUUACUUUCUUCAUUAAUGUUUUUUUAAAAUAUUUUUAAAAUUUUAAGAGAAUAAAUUAUAAAAUUUUGAGACUGAGAGAGUGAAAGUGAAAAAGUAAGUGUUUAUAGAAAAGUUUUCUAUAAUCUAGCCGAAAUAUUUUAAAGGCGGUUUGGUUCUUCAAAAAAUAUAAAAAAAUUGAGAAAAAAUAUUUUAAAAAACUUUUUUUUAGUUUUCUAUCUAUUUGAUUUUAAAACAAAUUAACUUUUUAAAAAACUAGUCUUUUAGUUUUUCUAAAAAGAGAUUCAAAAAAUUAAAACACGAAUUUUUAUGAAAUUCCACAAUUUUUUUUUUAAAAAAACCUAGUUCUUUGGAAACAACUGGACAAAAAAGUGAAAAUGAGUUUUUUCUUUUUUUUUUUUUUACUGCUUGAUGCAUUUAGCCUUGUCUAUUAAGAUUUCAUUACUGUUUUAUCUAUUUCAUAAAUAUUUUUUAAAAUAGUAAAAAAUAUAUCAAAAUAUUAUUUCGUUUACUCUAGAACAACCAAAAAGACAAUUUGAUCAUUUCACCCUUUUGAUCAACGUUGUAAUUUUUUGAAAAUAUUUCUAAAAUUUUGAGGAGGAAAAAAACAUAGGUUUUAAAAAUCAAGAAGGAAAAGUUAAAAAAUGAUAUAUUUACAAAAAUAUUUUCUAUAUUUUAGCUAAUUUUUUAUUUGCAACAAAUAAAUUUCAAACUGAUCAUUCCCAACGCAAGUUAUUAAGAACUUGAUAGGUUAAAUCCAAGGUAAUAAAUUUGAAACUUAAUUACUUAUACAUUUUUAGUUAAAGAAUUGUUUGGAUUUUAGAAAGCGUAUGAAAGAGGUUUUUCGAAAAAAAAAAAUUUAUGGAAUUUUUUUUUUUUCAAUUUUUCGUCUGUUUGGUAUUAUAAAAAACUAGCAAUUUUAAAAUUUAUAUUUCUGAUUUUAUAGAAAACUAGUGUUUUUGUUUUUUGACGCUAGUUUCUAUAAAAUCGAACCCUUUUUUUUUCAAAAAAGCUAUUUUUUCUUGAAAAUAAAUGGGUGAAAACAAGAGAGAAAAACCUUUAUUUUCCUUAUUUUUUUUCAUACUUUUGCAAGAAAACCAAAAAAAUCCUUUAUUUAUUAAUAACAUGCACGAAGUAGAUACCAUGCUAUUUUUAUCUCAAAAAAAAAAAUAAAUUUUACAAUAUUUUACAAAUUAUGUAAUUUAAUGGUUGGAUUUCAAUCUCAAUAUUAAAAGUCAUGCUUAGCUUCUCGUGAUUUAUACUUUAUUAUUAAUUAAUACCAGCUACGCUCUUCUACAAAGUAUUGUAAAUUAAUCAAUUUGUAAGCAUAAUAUUACUCUUCAACAUAAUAGAUUGAAGUGAGACUUCGAGGUAAACUAGAGUUCAAGUAAAACUUACUUCCUCCUGUUCUUCAUUUAUAGAGCUGUGAAAUUGAAGUUUUUCGAGAUCUAUUUUUUAUUUGGUAAGAAAUGAAUGACGUGAAAAUUAAAGAUGUGAAAAAUGAAUUAAUAUUUUAUUAUUAUUAUUAUUAUAUCGUAAUUGACUUUUAGUUUGGGGCACUGUCUUGAGGACAUUGAGAUUUAACUAAAGAUGAAGUUACGGUGAUCUAAAUAAAGAAAGUAGACAUUUACUGCUAAAAACCACUUUACCCAUUUCUAGGUGAAAUAAACACACAAAUUAAAAGUGAUUUCUCUAGAACUAAAAUCUAGAUAACAAUUAUUUAUUUUUUUACGGGGGUCAUUCAUCCUAGAACUACUCCCGUUCUAAUACGUUUUAACUCUCUUAACCUCUUGGAUCUAGCCACCACCUAAAAUACUUAAGCCGGAUUAUUAUGUCUAGUCCAAAAUCACUAGACGAUGUAAAACUUGUCUCGUAAGGCUUUGUCAUUCACUGACCCUGAUUUAAUUUGUCAGCCUAAGAAUGUUAGCUGAUGUGAGACUUGUCUCGUUAGCUUUUGUCAUUCUGAUCAUAAUUUAGCCUGUCAUUCAUCAACUCUGGCUCAGCCAAGACUCACCUCAUAUUUUCGACCGGUGAAUCGGCUCUGAUACCAAAUAUAACAACCCAACCCGCUAGCAAUAAUAACUUGUUGGAUCCAAACUAUCGACCAAACUAUUAAACCUAGUUAUUAUUAUUAGGGUGGAGUCCUCUUGUAUACCCAAAAAAAACUCAAUUCUCAUCCGAUGUUCGAGCUAUCACCUUAUCUUUUAGGCAGGGACUCAGUCGAAACUUGCCACACAUUUUUCUGCUGGUGAAUAGCUCUAAUACCAAUUAUAAUAAUCCAAUCCACUAGCAACAAUAUCCAGACCCUGGUAUAGCGGUUCACCUUAUCAUUCAGACUCCAGCAUCACCUAUCACCUUGUCUUUUAGACCCUAACUCAGUCGAGACUCGCAACAUAUUUUCAGUUAGUGAACUGGCUCUGAUACCAAUUAUAACGACCCUACCCGUCAGUAACAAUAACUUGUUGGGUCCAAACCACCGGCUCAAAAUGUUUAAGCCUAAUUAUUAUUAUUAGCGUGUAAGCUUUAUAUAUUCUAAUCAAAAUUAUUUUUCCAUCCUACUAAUAAUACUAACUCGUUGGGCCAAACCAUCGGCUUAAAAUGCUUAAGCUCAGUUAUUAUUACUAGCAUAUAGGCUUCAUAUAUUCUAAUCAGAAUUAGUUUUUUCACUCGAUGUGAGACAAUUGCGGUGUUACAAACUCUCAUUGUCCUCGUCGAGUCCAAAUCAGAUUACAGAUGCAAACCAAAAUUAGCAGGCGGUGUAAGAUUCAAAAGGUAACUCCCAUCAAAUUCGUUGGUGUAGCACUUUGUUCCACAUAACACUUAGCUCUCACACUUCCGGCUGACAUUCGGUUCUAAUACCAACUAUGAUGUCCCAAUUUCUCAGGUGGUCAUCCAUUCUAGGACUAUUCUCGUCCUAACACGCUUAACUCUCUUAUCCAUCGCCCAGCACAAAGUUAAUUACAACGUUAUGAUAAAUAGAGUCACGAAGAAAUUUAAUUUAUAAUAAAUUGGCCAACCAAAAUAAGCAUUCACAACCGAAAACAACUUCGCCUCUCUGCACUUUCGGCAAAAGGAACGUGCCCUUAGCCGUAUGUCAAUAUUUAAUUUUCGUUCUAAUCACGUACCGGAAAUUUAUUGUCUAUUAAUUAAUUAAUAAUAAUAAUAUAAUACAAUAUAUAUUAUUAUAUUAUAUAUUUAAUUUUUUGAAUAAAUUGUUUGGUGAAUAAUAAUAAUAAUAAAUAUAAAUAUAAAUAAAAUAAUAAUAAUAAUAAUUUGUGCCUCUUCCCUCGCGUUUCCCGGUCAAACCGUCCCCAGAUCCAACGGCGGUGAUGCUCCGAUCCGCUUUCCCUCGCCCCCCCGGCCCUCGCCUGACCCAUCACGCGCCAACACGUCGGCGCACGCGUACCCCCCGCCACAUGCUUCGCACGCGCUUUCGCACGUCCGGCGCCCCCCGCCGCUCCUUUUUCCUUCCCCCCAACCCCCCAACCCCAACCCUAACCUAACCCUAAUCCCCCCCCCCCCUCCCCUCCCCAGUUCCCAAGACCUACCGAUCCCACACAGAAAAAAAAAGGGGUGGGCGAAGCAACACGAACGUAGAACAACGUAGGACUUGAUCAAAAAGAUAAAUUUGUAGGAAAGUUAUAUUAUUUGUCACAUCCAGGGAUGGAAGUGAACUAGUGACGAAAGUUGAAGGGUUUUAAUGAAAACUAUAGGACUGAGUAACAAUUUUGGAUAGUUUAGGGACUAACGCUUACAAAUCGCCCGUUUAUUAGUUUCUCCAACAUAAAUAAUUAGAAGUCACUAAAAAAAUAAUAAUAAUAAAUAAUAAAUUAAAAAAAGGUAGCAAAACCUUUGCGCUCCUCACGAGCGAGAGGACGCCGAAGCUCGAUCCCCUCCAUCUCCUCCGCGAUACCCUAACCUAGAGAGAGAGAGAGAGAGAGAGAGAGAGAGAGGAGGAGGAGGAGGAGGAGAUUGAGAGGGAUUACUUACUAGGGUUUGGAGGAGGAGAUGGAGGGGAGGGAGACGAGGGGGCCGCCGAACCCGGCGCUGCCGUACAGGGAGGAUUGCUGGAGCGAGGGGGAGACGUCGGCGUUGGUGGAGGCGUGGGGCGACCGGUACCUCGAGCUGAACAGGGGGAACCUCCGCCAGAAGCACUGGCAGGAGGUCGCCGACGCCGUCAACUCCCGCCGCGGCGCCGCCGUCUCCGCCGGAGCCGGAGGAGGAGGAGGAGGAGGGGGAGGGAGACGGCCGCCGCGCACCGACGUGCAGUGCAAGAACCGGAUCGACACCCUCAAGAAGAAGUACAAGGUCGAGAAGGCCCGCAUCGCCGACUCCGCCGGCGCCCUCCAUAGCCCCUGGCCCUUCUACGCCCGCCUCGACGCCCUCAUCGGCUCCUCCACACCCCCCGCCGCCCCUCACUCCUCCGCAUCCGCCUCCGCCUCCGCCUCCGCCGCCCCUAAAAAGCCCUCCUCCUCCCCUCCCUUCGCCCUCCCCCUGCCCUUCCACCGCAAGGGCUUCCGCAAGGCGGCCGCCGCCGCCGCGGCGGCCGCGGCCGACGACGACGAGGACGAGGAGUCCGGAUCGUCGUCGAGGUCGCUUUCCUCGCGGUCGAAGUUGGGGAAGCGGAGGAGGGGGAGGGAGCGGGACGAUGGGGACGGGAUCCGGGAGCUGGCGAGGGCGAUCGAGAGGUUCGCGGAGAUCUACGAACGGGUGGAGGGGGCGAAGCAGCGGCAGAUGAUGGAGCUGGAGAAGCAGCGGAUGGAGUUCGCCAAGGGGCUGGAGUUCCAGCGGAUGCAGAUCUUCGUCGACUCGCAGGUCCAGCUCGAGAAGAUCAAGCGCUCCAAGCGGGCGGACGCCGGGGAGCCGAUUAGAUCCGUCGCUGCCCUUCAUUUCCUUUCUACCCCGCGGUUCUUUGGAUGAACUAAAGUGCUCGACCGUUCGAUCUCUAGGUAUAAGAUUCUAUUCCUUUUCUUUGCUUUUGAUUUUAUAUACGUUUCGACGAAUGUGAUUUACGUAUUCUAUACAUCUCUAUCUUUAGAUCUUUACUUUUGGUCUUGUCAUCUUUUUUUUGUUGUUAGAAGAAUAGUAAUCGAGUUUUUCUUUCCUUUGAAGUUGUUUAAAUAGGAAAUUGGAGGCGUCAGAUUGGUGUAUUGUGUUAUGUGUUGAUGUCGAGGUGAGUACUGUAGGUAGAUAUUAUUUCAAUCAAUUGAGAGUAGGUUUUAUUCGGAAUUGCCUUUUUUAGGUAGUAUAGAUGUGCUUGGUGCCAUUGAGUGCUUGUUGGUUAGGAGGUGAAGAUAGUGAAUCUUACAAAUUUGAAUUUGUUAGGUAAUUUAGUGGUAUUAUUUCCACUGUUAGAGAGAUUUUGUAAUUAAUGGAGCCUCUGUUAUCUCAAUUAAAAUUGUUGUGUUGUUAUGGAGGUGAUUUCUGUAAGCACCUGUCUAGUUUUCAUUAGAUAUCGGUGAGAAACUAAAUGCAACUUUGACAUGAUGCACAUAUGUAAUGUGCAUUCACUAGCCCAAUUGAUUUUGGUUUACGAAAUCUAUGAAGCUGAUUGCUUUUCGAUGUUUGUAUUUUCAUAAGUUGUUUUUUAUAUGAACGAAGUGGUCUCUUCUAUUUUGGUGACUAGAUAGUUAGGAAACAAAGGUUAAAUAAUGUCAAAAUUAGAUGAUACAUUGCUUCUUGAAGUUCCAGUUAUUCAUGUUGCUUAGCUAGAGAUGUAAUCUGUAAGAGCCUUUCCACUUGGAUUCUUAUUAAGAAUCAUGUUUUGUCUUUAUUAAUGACCCGUGCUUGUUGAAUAUGAGUGAUGAUUCCUAACCAAUCACUAUGAUGCCUUCAAGUUUUUCAAACUUUGUGAUUAAGCUUCAUAUAUACUGGAGAUAGUUCAAAAGAUGCCAUGUAUUCUACAUAGAAAUUGCAUUCUUACUUCGAUGUUUUUCUGUUCAUCCUCUAUGAACGAUUUGCAAUGGUGAACAAAUUAUCCUUCAUCGUCCUAAUAUCCUAUUAUUUUUCAUUUUUAAGCCUAGAGUGUUUGGCACAUUGAACUAAUAGCUAGAAGAUUCUUGAAAGUGUUUUUUUUUUUUUUUGUUUUUUAACACUUAUGCAUGGUAGAUGCUUAUUUGAAAUAUUAAACACUGCUGGUUUUUGAUCUGGUGGAGAAUUAUAUAUCUGUGAUAAGAGUAUGCAUGAUGUGGUUAUAUUUACCUGUCAAAAUAAGAGUAAUAUUAUUUAUAGGUUUUUCUCUUCUUUGUAUACUGCUUAACAGCCAUUGUGUUUGUGGCCUCGGCCGUUUUGCCUUUUUAUCCUCCACCUACUACUAAUAUUUUGUGCUACUGAGGUGCCCUUGUUAUCUUUUAUGUUGACACGCACUGCUUGAUGGGAAUUGGUCUUUCUUGCUAAUUUUAACUCGAAACUUUUGCAUCUAUCAUCUGUUGAACUUUAUUAAACCAUUAGACAUGGUAAAGUAAAUAUUGUGAGUGAUUAAAGCAAUAUUGCUGAUUAAAACACCACUUCUCUACAAUACUCCUCGAAAAAGUCUUUACAGGUUGUAAAAUCGAAUCGUCGUUUUAGCUUCUCAAGUUAACCAUCUCCAGGAGAGUAAAUGAUUUACAGCUUGCAAUAAGUGCGUUACAUGAAAUUCAAUUCAUCAGUCAAACUUCUUCUGCCUGAUUGGAAGCAACCUGGGGGAGCACAUCUGUAGAGCUUCAAGCAUCUAACGUGCCAAUCUGAUAUUUCUUUACAUUUGUCAUAGUGGGAAAAACUAACAUGGUUAUUUGAGAGUGAGUUUAGUCGAAACAAUACGUAAACUCUAGUGUUAGUUGAGUUCAACUAGGUGCUGAGAAAGUAUUGUAUAAAGACCCGUGGUUAUAUCCUUUUCAAGAGCUUUCUUCAGUUGUGGGGAAUAGAUUUUUGGUCUCCUCAUACUUGUUGUCGUAAAUGUCAAUUCAUGGCAUGAGAAUAUUGGGUAUAGAUCAAUUACAUUGGAAAUUAUAUGCUAUUCUUUUGUUUCAUUUGCCUAAUGCUUCAAUCUUUCUUUUUGGCAACCAGCAAAGAUAGGUUUGUAAUUUGUCCUCGAGGAAUAAUUGUUUCUGUUUUUACUAUGCUGGUUUGUUCUUCUACACCUCAUAAACACAUGGCAGUAUCGUGUCUCAUUUAUUAGUUUUCCUGUAGAAAAGUUGAUUAGAGAAUCAUGUGUUACCUUUGUGAUCUUUUUUUGAUUCUGAUCUAAUUAGUUGUAUUAGGUUGCACAUGCUGCAUGCGCAACUUUAGUUUGUCUGCCACGUAUAAGUUUUGAAAACCUUUGAACUCUAUCAUGGCUUGAUUAUUCAAUGUUCUGUUGGAAACCUUCUAGAUUAGAGACCACAAUUAAUCUUCCAGUCUUUAUAUAACUGGUAUAUACGCCGCAAGGACUAUUUGCUGCUGCUGAUUAGUUAAAGAUCAAGUUGAAGCCAAAAUAAAAAAGAAAAUAACGAGGAUAUUGCUGUAUUCACAUUAGUGUCUUCCUAAACCUAAAAUGGUAGGAAGCUUCACGCAUAUCUGACAUAGGACUCCUGAUCAACGUCUGCUAAACAUCUAGAGCUUCCCAUGUAUAUUUUCUUUAUCACCUACUUCAUGCACAUAUAAAACGAGACUUUUCAGGACCAUCAACAAAUUAUCAGAAAAAUUUCUCCAGUGUGACCUGAAAAUCUUAUAUUGCAUUCGCAUUUCCGUCGCUCCUGGUCCUUGCUAAAAUUUGUCCACUUUAUCCUACGUCCCAUUGCUCUUACUAUCUAAUCGAAAGCAUUUCAUGCACAUCCUUUUCCCGUUCUUAUUCUUCAUGUUGACGUAUGUUGCAGCUGACAUAUCUGAUAGGUUUUCACAAUCAUGGAGUUUAGUGGCCAUAAGAAGUGUGUGUAACUGUGGCCACUUAUUCUGUCUGUGUUCAAGUGAGUGAAGAAAGAUCCGCACACACAUUCACACCACCAGUUUGUGUAUGUCCCUGUGUCGGUGUUUGUUCUUGUAACGCAUGGAAUCAAUGUUUAAGGAAUAAAUUAACAUGCAUGUGUAUGCAUGCUGGUGUGCAUGUAUAUUUUUGUUGUCUGUGCAUGCCUUUUUCUUUCUGUGGAUGUGCUUGGGUCCUAGGAUUUUGAAGAGAGAGGCAUAUUAAAAAUAAGAUUGUGUAUGUGGGAGAAAGGUUUGGACCUUACUUGCAAUAUUGGCGUAAGGAGCAAGUUUAUGCAACUACUGAAAGUAAAUCGAAAAAAAAAUGGAUGAUGCUAUGGUGAAACAUCUCCAGCAAGACCUUACUGAGAUGGUUUAAAGGAGUUCUGUCUUUGCGUUCUAUAUUGGUGAAUAAAUCAGCAUAAAGAGGAAUGUAGAGGAAUGUUUGUAUGGUCUAUUUAUAUUAUGGCUUGGAUAUGCUUGGUUGAUUAGCUGACGAAGUGCUCUAUUCUGGUAUUUGAGAAUCUGCAACACUUGAUUUAGAAAGAACGACACUUUUAUUAUUGGUAUGAGUGGUCAUAGUAUUAGUUAGAUUUACUUCUUUCUGAUAUAUUUGCUGGAACUAAAAGAAACUAAAUAACAGAAGGCUUAUCCUUGAAUUGCGUCAACAGGUUAGACUUCCGGUAGGUCAAUUUAGCUCGAACAAGUGCAGACCCAUUUUGCCUAAUGGGUCGGCCCAACUUGCAAACUUUUGGUAGGGAAGCAGAAAAGAAGAUGCGAAGAGGAAGAGUGUGACAGAAGUGUUGAGGUGGAGGAUAAAGAAAAUGGGGGAAAGAUUGCAAGAGUUUAGGUGCAUGACAAUGUUCCUGAUGAAAGGUCACUGCAAAAGUCAAAGAGGAAGACAGGAGGGGUUGGUGAUUUUGAGAUUUGGGUGGGAAGCAGAAGGGUCAUGGUGAGAAGAGGUAAAGGGGGACUAUGGGUGUAAGGGGAGGGAGGUUAUGAUCUGAUCUGACUUGCAUCUGGUUGACUAAUCUCCUCUUAAACCCAAACGGUAUAAUCAUCAGGUCUAGUUAAACUAGUUUGUUUAGUUCUGGACUUUAGGUUGGCUUUGCCUGUUUGGGGUUUUGUAUUACCACCAUUUAUAGGAACUAAAUAGGAGUCUUCAAAGAAGUUUUGUUGCGGUACCAAGAUGAAGUGAUGUCAGUAUCAGCAUGUUACUACAGCAGUUGUAGACAAAAUUGUGCACACCACUUACUCUGGCUUAACACUAAUAAUAAUAAUAUAUACAAUAUAAAGCAAUAUAAUCUUAGGAGAUACUAUCAUUUUCCCUAGGAUUGAUAAGAGGCUUGUUGAGACUGCCCUUGAACUGGAUCAAGGACACUAAGAUUCUACAAACUAUGAAAUUUAACUUCAAUUGUUUUACCAACAAGAAUUACUUACAACUGGAAAUAACUGGUGAAUAGAAGGAAAAUUGGGAAAAUUCGAGAGAAGUUAAUGUGCUAAUCAAUAGCAUUUUGUAUAAUUUGAAUGUUCGUGUUUCUCAUUGAGCCCAUUUAAUUCGAACCUUAAAUUAAAUUUGGAAAUUUAACAAAAAGUGCAUAUUUAGACCAAGGUCUGUCCUCUAGGGUUUGUAUUGUGGAUGACCCGUAUUUUAGCAUAACUUGACCUAUUUGUUGCUCCAAGUUAGAUAGUCUAAAUCGGGUAAAUACUAAUAAUGGCCGCAAUAGUUUACUUGAAUCAUAAAUUGACUGUUGGGCUAGAUGUAUUCAUCAGAAUAUAAUGAUCUGCAUUUGAAAUUAUCAUUAAAUAUGAGCAGCAACAUUGUUUACUUUUGUGCCAUUGAGAUGGGUAAAAGACUAACAAAGUAUCUACCAUUCCUCUCUCUCUUAAAAAAAAAAAAAAAAAAAUCAAAUUUGAGGUCCAUUUAUGAAGUUAUCUGAAUUUGCACAAUGAUUUAAAUACCGAUGAUGGCAUUUAUAUUUGCUACCUAAUUUAUUGUUUAAAUAUUGCUUGUUCUUCAGAUUACAUGUAGCUUGCCGUGGAACAAGUAUUGCUGUUAGGUGGCGGGCCUUCAUAACUUAAACGUGUUGCGAAUAUUCGCUGUCAUCUUCGAACCGCGAUUUGGUGGAUGGUGGUCGUUUCUUGGUAGAUCCUCCUCAUAUUGUAAUUCUGAAGGAACUUUGGAUAUAUGUAGUAAUAGCAGUAGCUGAUGCCCUAACAAUGGCUUUUUGUUAUUUACGUCUGGUAGAUAACUGCGGCUAGAAACUUUCUAGGCCCUUUGUUGCUUGUUUAUGUUAGAAAACAGACGUACAUUAUUUAGUUCAUCUUUUUCCUUUUCUUUUGCUGCUGCACCACAUUUCGCCUCCAUUUAAUGUGAUUACUCAAGUUCCUCAAAAUUUGCCUUGCACUGAUCAUCAUAGAAAUUUUUAUUAGAUGUCCUGAAUGUAGAGUCCUUUCGACAAAAGGGAGCUACAAGGCCUUAGUAGUAGUGUAAUAUUGUGGCUAAAAGCACCGUUUUUAUAUUUUGGGUGACCCAAAUGUUUCCGAAAUUGUUUUCAAUCUUUUGUUUCUCCAAUGCUAUAAAGUUACGGUAGAAAUCUUCAUUGGAGGAGAGAAAAUUGAACAUAUUCUCAAAAUUUUUGGGCCAUCGAAAGCAUAGAACUAAUGCUUUUAGCCACCACGUUGUCAAACUAUGCCUAGCAGGUGUUCUCUGGUGAUCUGUUGCUGCCAAGGAAGUCCUACUGGUAGCUGUUGUAGAAGUGUUGUUUAGAUAAGAGCUGCUUGGAGAAGCACAAACAGCUUGGCAUUUUAAUAUUUCCCGCCGUCAACUGCUUGCGGCAGCAGCAGUCGAAAUUUCAAAUGCAUGUUAGCAUCUUGGUAAAAAGCUGGGAUAUAUGGAUGGAGUCCCUCUUCAAGUGAGUCAUCUUUGCUUUGCCUGGUUCGGUGAAAGCCGCGGUGCUAUGAAAAAUCACAGAUUGUUUUAGCUUCUGUUGCUUGUUUUUGAUGGAGCUGCUGCUGGUGCUCUGAAGAAAUAUGAAGUACAUCAAUUGUUUUUUUGUUUUGAAGGAGAGUAAUUAUUAUUUAUUAGUUUUUAGUGAAGCUAUAGAGGAAGAUGGACCAAAGAAGAAGUUACUUGCGAAGAUUGCGAGGGAUAUUCGACGCUGCAGUUACAAUACUUUUUAUUAUUACUUUCAUCAGCAACUAUAAGAUAAUAGUUUUCUCGGCUUAGGGUGGGAUGGUACUAUUUCGUACAUUUAUAUGGUCCAGCUAUUAUAUUUUUAUUAGUACAUUUAUCAUUUUCGAUGAUAGAACUUUCGUAUCGAUAAUUUAUACGACUAAAUAUAAUUUGAAGCAUUUAAACAUUCUCAAAUACCUAAUUUAGUAAUAUUUAGACUUCGAUGUACCUUAUUAUCAAAUGACUCUGUAUAUAAAUCAUAAUUGGUUGAAUUUUUAAUAAAAAUUUUUAUUUACUAUUUAGAUCAAAAUUAAUAACUCGGAUUUAAAAUUUUUUUUAAAAAUUAAUUCUUUACUUUUAAGAGCUCGUUUGAUUUUGACCUUUUAUUUUAUACUCGCCCAAUGAAUUUUAUUAUGAAUGCGAAAAAUUAUAAAAUUUAAUUUCUACAUAAUUCAAAUACUUCGUAUCAUGUUAUUGCCACGGAUCAUCGAGUCUCUAUGAUCUAAAAUAAUUUAUAAAAAUAUAAAGGCUUUCAAAUGUAAAGACUUUCGUACUUUUUUUUUGAAAAGAAGUAGGAAGCUAUCAAUUUCAUUUCAUUAGACAAAAUGAGCUAAGCAUACAAGAUAAAAGUUGUUGAGGCUUCUGAAGAAAAGAGAGACAUAAGUAAGAAAAAAUAAGAAGUGAAAGAAAAGGAAAUACAGAUAAUAAAAGAAGUUUUGGCUGAGAUAGGGGUCAAGCGGUUGGCGAUCAGUGGAUCUCAUUCCAAGAGGCCAGCAAGAGUUUGACAUGCUCAAUCGAUCAGGUAGGUUUGGGGAGUUUCGCUCAGAAGAUAAUGUUAUACCUCUCUGUCCAGACGACUCACCAGAUUGCCAACAAAAGGGUUAAACGUUUUGUUCUCUUCACAGUAUCAUUAGGCUAGUUGUCCUUAACUAGAGUACACGAACGUCGUCCGAGACGUCAGCGAGAAUCUCCGAACCAUCCACACAUAGAAAAAGGUAUCAAACAAACAUGCAGUUAUACAAGAGAUGAUCGCAGCUUUCCGCAAUAAAAGCACAGAAAGCGCAAUGUUGCUCCACCUACCGACCUCGUAUAAGCAGUCUAUUGGCCGUAAGAAUUCUUUUACGUAAAAGCAUCCAAAUGAAUACUUUAAUUUUAGCGGGGAUUUUUAGUCGCCAGAUAAAAGGGCUCAUCAAGUCUCUCUGUUUAGCGUCAGUGAGAAACAUAUAAAUGGAUUUGACGAUAAACAAUUGAUUUGAGGUCCAGCGCCAGUUGACCGAAUCUGGCUUACUGUUAGGGCGGAAGGGUUGAAGUAGGUCCCUAAAUGACGUCAACUGUCUGCGAUUUUUUGCUGAAUGGGACGCUGCAAAACCACGGCAGAUGAAGCGCCAUCUCUAGCCGUUUGGAUUCUAGCAUUGAGACACUUUAACCUUCUUAUUCCUUAUCCGGUGCAAUACCUACUGAGGCGCUUUGAAGACGGAGAGAUAGAACAACAGCAGAUCGGGGAUUGAGGCGCUUUGAAGAUGGAGAGGUAGAAUAGCGGCAGAUUCGUGAAGACAGAGUUGACAAGGAUGAGCCUAUCCCUUUGGGAGAGUAGGGUGUAAAAAAUAGUGUUAUAGCUCUACUCUUUAAGUAGACAAAUGGCCCAUCCGUGCUUGGAAUUACCAGGUGGAGUUUGUGCCAGGAGCGUGUUUGAAAUUUAAUAAAAUGGAGAAUCACAAAAUCGCCAGUUUAUUAAUGAAGCCAGAGUUCACUUUGAACUCAGUGACUCGAUACCGAUAUCAGAGAAAGUCAACCGUGGAAGUGAGCCCAACUUCAACACGAACAAACACCCAGCCCCACAUAGGCUGGCUGGAAACCAGGUCUGGAAAUGCAUUUGAAGCCAAAAGAAAAAAAAUUUAAAAAACAAAAACAAAAACAAAACCCACAGUACGAACGAGCUUCGCGCACCCUCCUUUUUUUUUUUUUUUUUUUUUUUUUUUUCUUAGGAGGGAGAUGUUGAUCAAGAGAAAAUCNUUUUUUUUUUUUUUUUUUUGUUUUUCUUUUCUACGCUGAAACACACGAGGGUACACGAAUAAAUGUUUUUCUAUGCUUAAAUACAACAACAUAGCACCUGAGAUACGAAAUUCUACGGUAAAAGAAACCACUAAACCAAUAUGAAAAGAAUCUUACUUAUUUGCUUGGCUCGGGUCAUAUUCACCCCCCCAAAAAAAACAGAAUAAAAGAAAAAGAAGAAAAAGAGCACAGGAUGAAGGUCAAAGAGACUUGGGGCCAUCACAAGUAAGUGAUUGGUGCAAAAUCAAGCAAUUCCUGUCAUGAGCUGCUGCUGGUGCUCUACCUUUCUCUCUAUAUUUGCUCCCAGAGAAAGAAGCUUGGCUUCGAAAUUUUCAUAGCCUCUAUCGAUAUGAGACACGCCGCUGAUCUCGGUCACCCCUUCCACCGCCAUUCCUGCUAGAACGAGGGCCGCCCCGCCUCUCAAAUCGGCGGCCUCAACUGGGCAGCCAGAAAGCGCAGCGCUGGGCCAGGAAUGAAAGUAUUGAGAGAGCAAACAAAUCUAUUUACACUUUGUUACACACACACACACACACACACACACACACACAUAUAUAUAUAUAUAUAUAUAUAAGAAAACGAGUGGAAUUGAUCUAGACUUCAGGUUAUUUGCAAAACGACUGUCCAACCUUGGAACCUGUUCAUUUACUUUUCUAACAUUUUAAUUUCUUUGAUUUUAGUCUUGAAAAUGUCGCCGAUGUUGCACGCACACCAACUCCGCAUACUGUGCUGUCCAUGAUGCAUCUCAUGUGUUUCUUCCAACCAUCUAUAUAUCAUGAACACUUCUGUAAGACUCGUGUGUCCGAUAUGGACAUGCGCAAACGUCCGUGUCAAACUCGUGUCCGACGCGGACACACCAUGGACGCACGUUCGAUGCGGGUUCAUAGAGCAUCUCAUUGAAAAAAUAUAUGUAGUCUUUUUAUUUUACUUUCUUUUAUGUAUAUAUAAUAUAAGAUAAUGAAGAUUUUAGCUUUUUGAUGAAUGCAUAUUAUUAACUAAUUUCGUGGUGGAGAUUGAAUCAUCAAAGAUGGAACGAUGGAGUCGCAGUGCAUAAAUGAAUGGAUGGACUGGCUGCAUGCAAUAGUUUCUCAGUACCGUCAUAUGACUCAACUCAGGUGACUUGCUGUUAAGACUAAAAUUUUCAAAAAGUUGGGCAGUCGUUUCAAAAUGAUCUAAAGUUCAAGAAAGUCAUGACCUGGGAGAUGCUGGGAGAAAGAAUUACCUUCUGUGCCUUUUUCCUUGGAUAAAUGCCGAACUUCCGGAGAGUCUGAUUCUGGCGCCGAGUUUCUGAAGCUCUUUCACUACCACCAGCAGAAGAAAAAUAAUCAAGGUUGAUCAGAUUUAACUUGACAUUAAAUCUAUGCUGUGCGCGUAGUAUUGAGUAUCACAUCAUGCAUAUCGGAUUUGGAUACGAAUGAAUUAGUUUUAUGUUACUUUUUUAGGAUAAAUUGCACCAUUAGUUGUUGAACAUAUCACGAGAUCUUACUUAGGUCACCAAAUUUUUAUAUGUUGAAAUUGAUGCACAGAAAUUGUGGUUAGAAAGAGAUGACUUGGCAGUUGAUUUAGUUGCCACCUGCCUUGUCAUCCCUAGAUUGACAUGGCCGCCAUUGGCAGUUGUCUUCGAGAGUACGUUACAGCUGAGUUACUUACCACAUCAUCUCUCCAAUAGGAAAAUUGAACAGCAUUUAACUUUGGACCGCAUAAAACGAUGUUCAGUACAAUACUUGCAACAAUUUAAAAUUUGGUGCACUAAGGGGGUGUUUGGUUUUCCAGAAAAUAUCCAAGAAAAUAAUUUUUAACUGGAAAAGUAUUUUCUGUCUGUUUGGUUCCUAGGAAGAGUAGUUUUCUUGGAAAAUUUUUUUUCCAUAUUUCAUAUUAAAGUAUUGUUUUCGUUUUCCAAAUUUUCUAUCUGGAAAACGAGAAGUGUGGAAAAGGAUGUUUUCCAUGGAAAACUUUUUUACCAGAGAAAUAGUUUUCAAGCUUUUCCAACUAACCAAACACACCCUAAAGUGAAAUUUCGCAGCAAGUUCAACGACAAGUAGUGUAAUUUAACUGCUAUUUUCUGGCUAGGAAAUUGAGAUCAUGAACCCAAAAUGGGCAUAUAGCUAGAUAAAAGCAGUUGAAAAUGUACCAACUUGAAACAGAAGAAACAACCUUAGAAAACAACCGAAUUGUUUUACCACAUACCGUGAUGCAUACGAUUCUCAAAGACAGAUUCUUCCACGACACUUAACCCACUACACGUUGUUAGUAACGCCAUGAACUGAGGCUGGAGAUCGGUAGGGAACCCAGGAUACGGAAGCGUUUUCAGAUAAAACCCUUGAAGGUCUCCAUUAUUUGGCGAACUCAGAGCAGAUACCUGUAAAGCCCACACAGUCUCUCAGAGUCCUGAUUUUUAAUACCAGGAAGAUGAGUUUACUACCUAAAAGAACUCCUACCUCAAGAAUAUGACGUCCCUUCUGAAUAAUCUUGCAACCAGCAGCAGAAAGCUUGUCCAUAAUACUAGUUAAAUGACCAGGGAUCACAGGAGACAAUGAAAUACAAGAGCGUGUAAUUGCUGCAGCUACCAUUAAUGUACCAGCUUCUAUCCUAUCAGGGAUUAUAGUGAAUUCAGCGCCAUGUAAACGCUUUUUACCAUUAAUAACAAGUGUGCUUGUCCCAGCCCCUUCAAUUUGUGCGCCACAGGUAACAAGAAACUUAGCAAGGUCAGCAACUUCAGGCUCCUGUAGGUCAGUUAGCCACAUUAAUUUGCAGUUGAAUAUAUAUAUAUCCUGAUAUCAAUGCAGCACCAAAGAAAAGAAAGUAAAGUUUCAUUGUUCAGAAUCUCACUCGAGCUACGUUAGAGAGUAUAGUCACUCCAUCAGCCAAAGAAGCUGCCGUCAUUAGAGUUUCGGUUGCUCCGACGCUAGGAUAAUCAAGAUGAAAUUGACCUCCGACAAGUCCUUUCCCAUUCGCUGCCUCGACACGAACUUUCCCAUGCCUACAAAGUGCGGCUACAUAUUCAGUGGCUGACGCUCCAGAUGUUAAUUAGUAUGUUAGAAUUCUUAUAGAAAAAUGCGGGAUUAUUUUGCGUUCCACAUUACUACAUAAACAUAUAUUGCGUCGCUAUUUCAUCCAGGCCAGGCUCAAGUCCAGCAAACAUUGACUCAUCUCGACCUCACCCAAAACAACAAGCCAAAAUCAUACAAUCAAAGUUGUCUUUUAAUUGGGUUGGCCGACAAGCACGAUAGAUAGUCUGACCGAUUUGCAUCCCCGCCGCAGUAGGGUCUAUGCAGCUAGAGUGGUUAAUUUGACCAAUUACCCAGUCCCGGUUAAAUCCGGAGUCAAUCCCAACCUGAACCUGAUUAAUACCUGAGGUACUACUGAUCAGCAGGGUCUGGUCACAAGAAAGGGCCUGUUAAAAUUCGGGUCCGGUUGUGGGUUUAGUAGAUGUAGGGCUUCAACCAAGACAUGGUUUCUAUCUUCAAUUAAAUAUAUAUUUGGUUAUAUAAUAUUAAGGAGAGCUGGAUUAAUAAUUGGAGGCUACAAACUUACAAUAGCAUCUUUAUUAACUUAUAAUUGCUUGCAUGAAUGAUACCUCCUUUUUUGUCAAUUUUUCAUAAUAGUUUGUUUAUUUGUUUCUCAUUAUUCUUCAAUACUACUCGUUUUACUUUGAUAUGAAGAUAGGUAGGCCAAAAGUAUAGAAACCACAUGUCCAAAUGAUUAUGUCGUAGGUCCGAAACAUCGUUUUCUCGACACUUUUCUUAAUCAACUGUCGAUUUCGUCCAAUAAUAGAAGAAUCUACCAACAGCAAUAAAUUACAAAGAACUCACAUCAUCCACACAAACAAGUAGUACAUGACAAACUAUAAAUACUACAACGUUUUAUGCAUCUCCUCGCAAGCAAAUAAACAAAGGGUUUGAGCUUCUUCAACAGUUACCUCAAUUGGACGACGGCGCCGAGCGCGGCGAGGCCGCGGAGGUAAAGAUCGAUCGGCCGCGCCCCGAUCCUGCACCCGCCCGGGAGCGCCACCUCCGCCUCGCCGAAGCGCGCCACGAGCGGUCCCAGCACGAAGAACCCGGCGCGGAUCCUCCCAAUCGCUUCCGAAUCGGGCUCCACCGAGGUCACGGCGCCCGCGUCGACGACGACCUCCCCGCCGCCGUGCUCCUCCACGCGCGCCCCGAGGGAGCGGAGCACCGCGGCCAUGGUGCGGGUGUCGGAGAGGUCGGGGACCCCGCGGAGCGCGAAGGCGCCGGAGGAGCAGCAGAGGGCGCCGGCGAGGACGGCGAGGGCGGCGUUCUUGGAGCCGCUGACGCCGACGUGGCCGGCGAGGCGGCCGCCGCCGGAGACGACGAGGCGGUGGUCUGCGUCGGCGUUAGCGGCGGCGUCGGCGGAGGCUGCGGAGAUGGGCCGCGGAGGGAGGCGGCGGAGGCGGAGGGGGGAGGGGGACGGGGAGGGGGAGGGGGAGGGGAAGGGGAGGGAGGAGGAGGAGAGGAGGGCCAUGGGAGGGUUGAGGUGGGACUCAUUGUUAGGGUUAGGGUUUUUGGAGUGGUGUGCGCUCCACGUUUUCACCGUGCUCUCUCUCUCUCUCGCUUCUCUUUCUUCUCUCACCUCGGUGCUCUGCUUCAGUCACGGCGCCGAGCUCCGUCUCGGGAGUCGAGCAGUGUGGCCGUAGGAAGAAGUAAUUAUUUCGUGCACCGCAUGUAUUUAAAAAAACAUUGAAUGCAUAUUGGUCCCGCAAAUAUUUAACACUGUAUAAUUUGGCACUUUCUCCGAUCCACGUAGCAUCCUUAAUUUUGGUUCAUUCCAGUGGCGAUGUUAUCUCUUAUCAGAGCUCUCUCUUUUCCCAUCUCCCACCUGAGCCUCUCUCCCUUCAUCUCCCCUGCCAGCUGGCCCUCUCUCUCUUCACACCCUCUCUCUCUCUCUCUCUUCCCCCUCUCCAGCUGGCCCCUUCUUUCUUCCCCUCUCCUACCUUUCUUCUCCCCCCCCCCCCCCCCCCCCCUUCUCUCACCUUCCCUGCAAGCUGGCCCUCUCUCUCUCUCCACCAACCGCACGUCUUCCCUAUCCACUUUGUCUCUCUCUCUUCCCCACUGUCCAGAUGCCCCCCUCUCUCUACCCCUCUCUUAACCGGGUCUCUCAUUCUCUUCCCCUCUCCUCCAAGUGGCUAUGUCACGCCCCGGGGUCCCUUUUAAGUUUGGAAAAACAGCGAAAACGACUAUUUUUUUUUUUUUUUUGAAGCACCUGACCCCAGAGUAUGUCAGAUCCGCCACAAAUACAGGAAAUCCACUGUUCACACGGACAGAGUCUCCCCUAUAUUUGCACGGCGUCGCACAAGUACAAAAGUACAAGCAGUAUACAACCACAACUAAAUGUAUAUACAGAUAGCUAUACGUUCAUACAUUUACCAUUCACACCGUAGUUUUACAUUCGAUGUUUAAACAAAAGUCCACGAAAAAUCUUUUAAAAACUGUUCCAUACGCGAAAACUUUUAUCUUUUAUAAAAGCUACCACGAGGGGUAGAAAACCUUUUAUUUUACCAAAUCCAGAAAUUCUUUUAUUACAUUCAUGAAAGUCCACAUAUUCCAAUGUAAUAAAAAUACUGAACCAUAUAAACUGACUAAGCUAUAACAACAGAAUAGUAGGGAUAAAACUAAACCGAUAAUCUGGGUCGGAAGCUCUAUCGACCGCUACGAACGUACCUCACGGCUCGUCCCAAAACUCAACGUCUGCAAUAUCUGAAAAAUAGUGGGGGAGGUGAGAACAUGUAAACAUGUCUCCCCUCCCAGUGGGUACCGCAAGCCGAAGAAGGCGAGGAGUACUCACCGGAUCAGGAAGAGAUAAACAACAGUAUGGGUAAGUAAAAUACAGUAGCAACGAUAAUGAACGAAUGAGAUAUAUAUAUGAAAGCACAACUACUGCUACUGUAAUGUACAACUGCAAGCAUACAAGGAUAUCAAAACAAUAGUAGCAAGACAACUAUAAAGAAAGAACUAGAAAUAUAUAUGCAACAACCGCUACUAUAGCUAUAUGCGUCAACCGGACGAGAAGUCCAAAAGUACCCAAUCUAAACCGCCGUGUCGGUCUAAGGACCUCAGGCAAAAGCCACUACCUGCUCACACCUGGCAUGUAACCCUAGCACAAAGAGAACACCGCUGGGCUCACGGGUCGGAUUUACGACCAUUUUUCCGGAAAAGAACACCCUCCUGCGGGGGAUCAACCCGCUGGUGUACGUGAAAUGCACUCGAGCUGCGGCGAUCAAUGCGGAUAUGAUCAAUAGCCAAAUGUCGGCAACCAGCCGACAAUCACCGCCCCUCGGGGCAAACCGACCAAUAGGUCAUCAAACUAUAAAGAAGCACAAGAACCGACCACUCAAGUCAACUAGGAUGGAACGACUCUACAUCCUCUCAACUGUAUGUAAGUAUUGACUAAUCAAGUCAACUGGGAUGGAACAACUCAACAUCCUACCAAAAAUAUGUAGAUACUGAUCAAUUGGUCAACUACUGUAUAUAUGCAAGAAUCGAUCAACAAGUCAUCUGAGUAUAUAAUCUAGAACUACCGUCGGCCAUGGCCGACAAUCCUACCCCUCAGGGUACACCGACCUCAAAGGUCAUCAAACGACAGAAGUCAAGAAACAGACCAACCCAAUACAUAAUGCAACAACCGACCAACCAGGUCAACAGAUAUAAGAUAAAAGCACCGAUCAACUAGAUCACCGAAACGAAGUACGAGAACCGACCAAUCAGGUCACCGAAACGAAGUACGAGAACCGACCAAUUAGGUCACCGAAACAAAGUACGAGAAUCGACCAAUCAGGUCACCGAAACAAAGUACGAGAACCGACCAAUCAGGUCACCGAAACAAAGUACGAGAACCGACCAAUCAGGUCACCGGUAUCACAUAUGGAUAAACUACUCUACUCCUACACAUGAUACUAAGCAUAGAAACAUAUGAGUAGAGUAUAAUAGAAACAACGGGGAUGCAAGCUCAAUAUAUAAUACGAAAAUAGCAACAGAAGAACAGGGAUAGAAGAAAUAUCACCGAGCGUGCACCACUGUACCGACGUCGGAUCGAAGUACCCACCUGUAUAAAGCUGAAACGGUCUCGCGAAGGCGGAGACGAAGCGACCGGACCUACGAAGGGUCCACCGGGUUAGAGUCUAACCCACAAACACAAUAACACGACCAUUCUCACACAAAUCCCAAAAUCAUAACCCCUCGGAAAUCGGUUUCUCAAACGCAACUACCGAACCAGCCGGAAAUCCCGGAAACCGUACCGAAACUCCACCGUCGCUCACCCGUCGUUUCCGAACCCUCGAGAAGACGCGGGUGACCAGCCAACAAGGCUCAGCGACGCUACAAUCAACCACGAGGCACCGUCGGAUGAAUUCCGAGUCGAACGCGCGUUCUAUCGGCGGAUUUCACCGAAAACGCUCCGGAAAUGACAGAUAGAUUUCCGCAAGGGCUUGGGGCCUUGGACGAUCAGUCCAGAGGUUAUCUUAAGCCUUAACCUGCUGCCAACAGCAGCCACAACGAAGCGAAACGCAAAAGGAUCCCUAAUGGCCCAUGAAAUCACAUUAUUUUAUGUGAUUUCAUGGCUCUAACGGGUCGUACCAGCAAACCAGGGAUCUACGGAGGUUGCCAUCGCACUUGCUGCAAGGUUUCAGCAUGCCUGAGGCCGUGCUCACCUUUCGGAGCACUGCCGGCAGCAACCACGCGCGCACGAGCGACGCGAACCUCAGCGAAUCAGUGCGCAUACUGUGGAAAACAGCCUUUUCUCACUAACCAGGGCACCGUUAACCUAAAUGGAGGUGAGCAUCGUGUUCAGCACGAGCCCACGAUCACCGUGCUCACCUCCCGAGGUGCCAGGGAGUCAUCGGAUCACCGAAAAAGUGACCGGAACGCAAAACAGCAGUGCUGGAACCAAAGUAAACUACUCACCGGAGCUGUGGGAGCUAGGGAUGGCCGCCGGCGAUCGGGCGGCGGGCGCUCCGGCCGGUGAUGGGAGCAGCAGGUCGGGGAGGUCCGGGGGAGGUGCUGGCCGGCGGCGGGCAGCAGCCGGUGGCGCGGCGGCGGAGAUCGGGCCCGCACACUUCCUCUCGGGCUGGAGCUUGCCGGCGGCGAGGCGGCGACCGGGGGAGGUCGGGGCGGCGAUGAUCCGGUGCCUGAGACCAAGGGGGAGGUGGUGCUCACCUCAGAGGGCAACGGCAGCGCUCGGGAGUGGCGCGGCUCCAAGGUCGGCCCGCACAGGACCCGAGCGGCGGCGGGAGACCUUGGCGGCGGCCGGCGGGGCGCGGGGACGGCCGGGGACGCGCGCGCCGGGUUGCUGGAGGUCGCCGGGGUCGACAGGGGGGCUUGGCCGCAGGGGAAGUGCGGUCCCAAGGCCCGCAACCUGAGCUCGGCCUGGCUCGGGUCUGGGCAGACCCGGUUGGCUGCAGCCUCUUCCGGCGGCUCCGGCGACGCUCGGGGGUGGCCGGGGCCGGCGGGGGAGGGCGCCUGAGGAAGGUCUCGACCAGGGGAAGGUGGUGCUCGGGCUAACAGGCCUCUCCAAGCACCAAGCUUAAACCGGUGGUGAGGUGGUCCAAGAGAGGAGGAAUAUUGGCUGCAGGCUGUUUCCGGCGGCCGGGGCUGCUCGGCGGCGGCCGGAACGCGAGCACGGGCAGGGCAGGGAGGUGCUGGGAUGGCAGGGGCGGCUGGGGUUAGCUGGGGGGUUCUAGGGUUAGGGUUAGCUCAAGAAACCCUAGGACAACCUAUAUAUAGGUGCGGAAAACUCGCGGAAAACCCCCUCGAAAGGAAUCUAAUUAAUCCCAGCUCUCAACCAGCAGUCGCAUAACGCACGAUAGUCCCUCUAAGUUCGAAAACUCGCAAUUCGACGCAUAAAAUAUAGGGCCUUUUCGCGAAUAAUCCGAUUACUCAAAUCAGCCCCUUCGCGGACUUUUCGCGAUUCCCGAAGAUCCGUCCGUCGGAUUUCCGAUCGGAUCGUACCAGCGCGAUCAGUACGACAGAGGCAUCGAAUCUAGCAUUUCGUUUCGCCCGAAAAGGUUCCCGAUUUGCGACAAAACCAUCCCUCAUAGGUUCCACCAAAAACCACAUAUAGACAACUAUAUGUAAAAACCAUUAAACCCUUUUUCUCGAAAUCCGUGCAUCCAAAUCCAAUUCCGUCAGUGCCAUUGGGUCCAGGAUAGUCGAGCGGUUGAAAACGAGCUAUUGGAAGGCUAUAUUCGGAGUCCGAUACGCGUCGAAAGUCCACUCUACUCCGCGGCCUCUCUGGAAAACCGGAGUUACUAUUCACUUAAGUCAAACUUCCGGGUCGCGUAACUUCUCCGUUUUAACUCGUUUUCUCCUGAAAUUCGACGAGUACACUUAUAAUUAUAUUACACACAAGAACAUCGUCAAACAAAAGGGUUUAAUCAAUAAAUCAAAAAUCUCAGUUAUUACAGGCUAUCUCUCUCUCUUUUCCCUGUCACACCCCAAUAAUCCCACAUCGGAUAGGAAUGAAAAUAUGAUUGGAUAUAUAAGUGACUUAGACAUUAGUAAUAAUAACUGGGCUUAAGCAUUUUGGGUCGGUGGUUGGGCCGAACUAGUUAUUGUUGCUAGUGGGCUGGAUCGUUACAUUUGGUAUCAGAGCCAAUCACCAGCCGGAAUUGUGCGGCGAGUCUCAGCUGAGGGCAUAGUCCGUACGACAAGGAAUCAUCAGCCAGAAUUGUGCGGCGAGUCUCGGUUGAGGGCAUAGUUUGUACGACAAGGUGAUCGACUAUGCCAGGGUCUGGAUCGCCUGGUGAUCUUUGCCUGUGUGUGGGGGAUUAUUGCGGUCUGUCACACCCCAAUAAUCCCACAUAUGAUAGGAAUAGGGAUGUGAUUGGGUAUAUAAGAGACUUAGAUACUAAUAAUAAUAACUGAGCUUAAGCAUUUUGGGCCGGUGGUUGGAGUUAUUGUUGCUAGUGGACUGGGAUGAACCGUGCACGGCACUCGUGCUCACCCUAUGAUGAGCUGUGUCCUACGUUCGUAGGCCAGGAUAGGUUGCAAGUGGGGCGCAUCCUUUCCCUCUCUCUCUGCUAACCCUAGGGAGUGGUGGCGGCGGCGGCGAGGAUAGCGCGACAAUGUCGACUCCCCCUUCAAACCCCCGAGCUUCGCCGUAUAUUUCCACUAAUAAUUCUCUCCACCCCUUUUUCAAUUUUUCAAAUUUGAAUUUGAAUUUUUCCUUUUGGUCUUGUUAGUAGCCAAAUUUUUCGACCCUUGACCCGGUCAAAGAUCCUUCUCAGGAAGUGCGUCGGGAUGAGGAAUGGCUACGGAUAGUGACUCUCGAAGUUUGCGCCCUUCGACAGAUCAAGCGAUUCUGCUGACGAGGGAUCGAGCCAGCCGGGUUCGAAAACUACUACUAUCUGUUCGGUUCGGCUGAAACGAAGCCGGAAGAAGAGUCGAAUGGCUAAAGCAACACGAGAUUGGGUCGGCUUGAAGAGCCGAAAUGACUUUCUAUUGAUUGAUUACUGAGAAGUAUAAGGACGGAUAUAUAGUUUACAACGAUUCGGCUAAUGAGGGAUCGAAUCAGCCGGAUCCAAAAAUCUUCACUAUAAACUGAAAGAGCCGAAUAAAUGAAAUAUACAAUGACUGGUCGGCUGAAAGAGCCGAAUGCCUAAAUAUAUAUAUAUAUUAAUAAAACAGAGUGUGCCCGAAGGGCAUACAGACUCUGCAAAUAUGUAGUUUACAACGGAGCGAUGCCCAUGGGGUAGACAAAUUCUAGGGUUCUACUUAAAAACUAUUCCUAGGAAAGCAGUAAAUGCGAAAAAGAAAAGAUUACAUUUAAACUACUCCUAGAAAAGCGAUAAAAUUGCGAGGAAAUAAGGGUGGUUUUUUGUUCACAGGGGAAAAGACCCCUAUUGCAGGCUUCGAAAUUACUAUUUAUAGUAAUAUCAACCCACAUUAUUGAUUGGUUGAAAGUAGUGGGGGGAGUGGUUAUAACCAUGAUCGUGGAAGUUACGCCCACUCAGAAGUUACGCCCCAUCGUGGAAGUUACGCCCCACUUCUCAACCGUACCCGCCUAAAACCUUCAAGCGCCUUAUUGCCGACUCCUGGUGUACCAUGAGUCCUUAUUGGCUCAUACGUAGGUUAGGUCGGCAUGUUAAUUUCAAUUUUGGCAUCAACAGGUCUAACUUACUAUUAGGGAGGUGAGGCAGUGCUCUACAACGGAUACGGUGCUGGAUCGCUUCAGCGUGCGGCGCACCAACAUUUCCACCACCCCAAGGUUUCCCUUUUUUUUUUACUUCGAAAAAAAAAAUCAAAAUUAAAUCAAAGUCCUCCCUUCUAACUUCAAAACAUAAUUUUAAAACAAAAAUCUUGCCCAUUACCUUUUCUCUUUUUUAUUUUAUUAUUUUUUUUUGUGGAACAAUAGGGUGGGGCGAUGGGUGCGCAGAGCUACGGAGGAGCGCCGCCGAGAGGAGCGGCGGCGGCACUGCCGCCGCAGGCCAUCGCCUCGUCGGGCAGCGGCGCUGCGGGGACAAGCCACUGACCCUCACAGCAUCAUAGAACGAGUAAGCUUACUCUUUUUUUUUCCUUCCAUUUUUGUUGCAUUGAAAAAUAAAAUAAAAAAUUAAGAAAAUUUUUAAAAAUAUUUAAAGUAAUUUCUAAUCUAUUUCUUGAAGCUCGAUCUCCCCCCCAAAUGAACCAUAUAGCCAAGAGAAACCAUGAACCAGAAUAGAAGAGCUUGCCCCACCCAUGAGUAAAUAUUUCAUAGUAGCCUCAUUAGACCGUACAUCUCUCUUGGUAUAUCCGGAUAAUAGGUAGGAACAUAAACUGAAACAUUCUGGAGCUACAAAGAUAGUUAUUAAAUCGUUUCGUUUGUUUUCGUGCGAACAGCUUCGCAGGGAGAGAAUCGCGGAGCGAAUGAAGGCCCUUCAAGAAUUAGUCCCUAACGCCAACAAGGUAAUAAAACAAUUUAUUUAUAAAAAAUUAAAAAAUACACUGUAAUUUGGGAGUGUUUUAACUUCCUACUAUUGUACAAAUGAUAGCUGAUGUUGCACAUGUAGUAUGUGAAAGCGCUUGUAAAGUUCAGCGCAGAGUAGUCUACUUCUUCGUUUGGUUCGGAUAUAAGCAAGAACUAGCUAUUACAGGAAUAGAUAUAAGUAUGGGGAUAAACAAAAUAGCAUUUGGAUAAAAAUUGGGUUGUUUCCGGGAAUAAAAAAAAUACCGUUGAAUAGAUAAUAUGGAAUAAGAAAAAUAGUGGGUAGUUAUAUAUAGAAAAUAGAGGUGUUGGUGGGGAUAGUUAUACCAGCUUAUUUUAGGUAUCUGAGAACUACUAUUCUCGGAUAAAAAAUUUGCGUUUGAGAUAAAAGGGGAUAAAGUGUUAUCCUUCCCCUUAUCCCAUAUCCAAAUGCUACCUAAGCCUUUGGAUAAAUCCUUAUAUUCUGAUAUUUAUUUUGUAUUACAUUAAACAUACACACACACACACACACACACACACACCUUUUAACAAUAUACAACUCUCUAGGACUAGCUGAUAAUUUAAAUAAAAUUCAGCCUGCGAAAAAACAACAACUUACGUAAGAUCUAAUAUCAAUGAUUUGUUACCUCAAAUAUUUACUGUUUAUAUAUUAUGGCCAAUUUGCAUAAAAAAUUCACUAAUUUUGGACUUUUGCAAAAGUAGGCCACAUUUUUCGUUUUUGCAGAUUCGGUCCGAAUUUGUGACACCCCAAUAGUCCCAUAUUGGAUGGGAAUGGGGUUGUCAUUGGGUUUAUAAGAGACUUAGACACUAGUAAUAAUAACUGGGCUUAAGCAUUUUGGGCUGUUGGCUGAGCCCAACGAGUUAUUAUUGCUAGUGGGCUGGGUCGUUACAGAAUUUUCAGCAAACUAACCAAAAUACCCUUAUUACUUUUUCUCUCUCCUCUCUCUCUUUUUUUUUUUCUCGUUCAUUUUUUUUUCUCUCGCCGAAGAGGCAACGGAGGUAGAGGCGGAAGCGGAAACGGCCCACCUCGCCUCUCACCCUCAUGCUCUCGCCCUCGCCCUCGCCCUCGCUCGCGCACCCCCCACCUUCCUCGCCUCCGACCCCGCCGAGGCCGCGCCGCAACUAUUUUUUUUUCCUCUCCGACUCUCCUCCACCAUCUACAACGACGAUGCCUCUCUCACCCUUCCCCGCCCUUCUUGUCCUCUCCCUCUCCCUCCUCCUCUGCCGCCUUCGACGACGACGCAUCUUCGCCGACGUCGACACGUGGAGAUCGCUGCAGUGCUGUAGUCUCGGAGCGGGGGGUGCUUAGCAGAACAGUAUAAAUAUCUCUCAAAGAAUGCAAUUUUCGUUUAAAGAGUGUAACUUUCAUCUUAAUGGAUACAGUUUACAUCUGAAAGAAUGCAAUAAGAGGAGAAACAGUGUAAAUAUUUCCCAAAUAGUUUAAUUUUUAUUUAAAGAGUGUAAUUUUUAUCUUAAAGCUGCAGUUUACAUCUUAAGUGGUACAACUUAUGUUCAUAAUAGUGCAACGUUUUUUAAAACAGUACAAUUUUAUUUUUAACGGUGCAAUUUUAUCUUCAUCUUUUUUUUUCUAUAAUUUUUUUAUUUUUUUUUCUCGCUUCUCCUAUAAUUUUUUUUUAUCACCUCUCUCUGUCAACGGCCACAGCGCCGGCGACGCCGCCGCUAAGGACCCCCUGCUCCGAGGUUACAGCGUCGCAGCGACCUCCACGGUGUUGGCGUCAGCGAAGAUGCGUCGUCGUCGGAGGCGGCAGAGGCGGAGGGAGAGGGAGAGGACAAGAAGGGUGGGGAAGGGCGAGAGAGACGUGGUUGUCGGAGACGGUGGAGGAGAGUCGGAGAGGGAAAGAAAAAAAGAGUCGUGGCGCGGCCUCAGUAGGGUCGGAGGUGAGGAAGGUGGGGAGUGCGCGGGCGAGGGCAAAGGCGAGAGCGAGAGCAUGAGGGUGAGAGGCGUGGCGGGCCGUUUCCGCCUCCGCCUUUGCUUCCGCUGCUUUCUUCGACGAGAGAAAAAAAAUGAACAAAAGAAAAGAAGAGGAGAGAGAAAGAGGAGAGAGAAAAAGUAAUAAGGGUAUUUUGGUCAGUUUGCUGAAAAUUCGAACUGAAUCUGCAAAAACGAAAAAAAUGCCCACUUUUGUAAAAGCCCAAAAUUAGUGGAUUUGUUAUGCAAAUUGGCCAUAUAUUAUACAUAGGAUUAGAUUAAACUAAAUUGGUUACUUUUGUUUUCAGGUUCCAUGAAGCUUCCUCUCCAAAUGAAGAUAAGAUGUGAAGGAUUGCAUUUAAUUUUUAAGUUAUAUUAUAAGUUUCAACUGUCAGCUUUUUUAAAUAAAUUUCCCGACAUUUAAUAUUGCAUUUCUCUUUGUGAUUGUACAUUGCGUUUAUGCAGAUUGAUCCCAAUCUACUUACCAUGUAAAAGACUAUAUUUAAUACUAUAUUUGUCUAUUUAUCAUGUAAAAACCUAUAUUUAAUACUAUAUUUAUCUAUUUAUCUGCAGCGAAGUGUGGGUUUUCACUAGUAAUUCUAUAAAGUUUAUUUUUAUAUAUUAUUUCUGUAAAAAUUUUAAUAUUUUUAAAUAUAUUUUUCUGAUUUAUUAUCAUUAUUGAACUAUUUAUAUUUUAAUAAAAUAUAAAUAAAAUGUUAAUUUUGCCAUCACAAAUAUCUCCCUUAAAAAAUCACAACAGUAUAAUAUAAAAAAAUAAAAAUGUUAAAUUAUCUUAUAAACUAAUCAGGGUUAAGUAUUUAACUUAUAGUUAACUAAAUUUUUCUAACGAAUUCUAAUGGUACAGACAUAUUUGAAAAUAUUAGGAUUUUUGUAGGAACAACAUAUAAACGUUGAACUUUAUGGCUAUAUUUGGUUCAAAGGAUAAAGAAAGAAUAAGAAAUUUAUGCCUCUUAUUCUUCCAAACGGUGUCAAAUAACGCCAAGAACUACUAUUUUCUUCUUAACGGGUUAUUCCGGAAUAACCCGUUAAGAGGGGAGAAUAGUAAUUCCACCUAUUGGGUGGAACAAGCUAUUCUCUACCUUAUUCCUCUACUAAUUAAAUUAUAAAUAAUUAUAUAUUAUAAUUAAUUAAUGCAAUUAAAUUUUUUAAUAAUUGACUAAUUAAUUAUUUAAGUUAUUAAAUUAAUAAAAAUUUAAAUAAUAAUAUAUUUAUAAUUAUUAUUAUUUAUCUAAUUAAAUAGUUAGCCAUAUAUUCAAUUAUUUACUAAUAUUUAUAUUAUUUAAAUAAUUAGUAUUUUAAUUGAUAUAAUUAAUAUAUUAACUAAAAAAAUAAAUGAUUAAAUAAUUAAUUACUAUUAACAUGUCGACUUAUUUUUUAUNAUAGUUAUUUACUAAUUAAUUAGAUAAAUAUAUCUCAUAUAGUAAUUUUAAUUAAUUUAUAAUGUAAUUUUGAUUAAUUUAUUUAUUAACUUAUUAAAAUACUAAUUAUUUAAAUAAUAUAAAUAUUAGUAAAUAAUUGAAUAUAUGGCUAACUAUUUAAUUAGAUAAAUAAUAAUAAUUAUAAAUAUAUUAUUAUUUAAAUUUUUAUUAAUUUAAUAACUUAAAUAAUUAAUUAGUCAAUUAUUAAAAAAUUUAAUUGCAUUAAUUAAUUAUAAUAUAUAAUUAUUUAUAAUUUAAUUNNNNNNNNNNNNNNNNNNNNNNNNNNNNNNNNNNNNNNNNNNNNNNNNNNNNNNNNNNNNNNNNNNNNNNNNNNNNNNNNNNNNNNNNNNNNNNNNNNNNGUGUAUCUAAAGAUAUAGAGCAAGUAUACGUAAGUUGUCUAACAACGAGUAGAAACGAAAAAGGGAAACUUAACCAAGGGGCGCAAAAGAUAAAAUAUAACAAUCACAAGUUUCAAAGCUAGUUAUAAGGGAGUGUUUCUUACAGAAAUGGGGUACAGGUCUCAUUCAACUUCCAAAACAAAAUCGAGAAGAGAGGAUAGACCACUUCGUCGAAUUCCUCGUAGCUAAUCGAGGGAUUCCUUGUCCCCAUCCGGAGCUCUCCCUGGGGGUGGCAAGGCUCUGAAAGAAACAUAAACAGGGGGCGUGAGAUAUAAUUAUAGUUCAGUGGCGAAUUACUGACCUUAGCAAAAUGCACAACUAGCGCAAGUCCAAACCAAUCGAGCGAUAUAGAAAGGAAAAUAGACAACUGCAGGAAUAAAAGCACCUAUAAAAGAAAAUGCUUUAUUACUGCUACUGCCACAAGUAUAUGUGUAAGACAGGAGUACAAUCUACUCUUAUAUGAUCCAAAUAUGCCCCAAUACAUACUCUAAUGUUCUAAUCACGGCUACCGUUGCUAUGCGAUGGCCACAGUCAUACGCUAUCACAGUAUAUACAAUGUCCAAAUGUCCGAUACUAUGCUAAAGGGCACUAUCCAAGUUUAAACCAACUACUAAUGCCUAUCAGUAGUGAAUUGUUAUACACCAGUUAAAUGUCAUGUCUCAAUCUUGUCUCUUAGGGACCGUACACAAGUGUAGGUCCGGCUUGUGCGCCGCUAGCUGCCUUGUGGUAGCCCUAUCAUUCCACGCUAGAGACAUGAGUCUGUCGCGCACAGACGACCCUAACAGGCGCCUCGCCCUACCGCCUAGGCUGCGUGGGUAGCUCGGUCAUUCCCCACGGCUGGAAAUAGGCUGUCCACCGCGACCCCUACAUGCAUCUCAUCCCGGCCGCCCUGCCGCCCCGCCGCUCAACCUGCCGUCCGCAAAAGGCCAACUCGGGUGGCCGGCUUGUAGGGACGACCUCACAGCAAUGUGCGGAAAAAUGAGCACAAAAUGCAAGCAAGCGAUUGAGUUUCUAUCAUGUAUGGAUCUCGUAUCAGUGUCUCUGAAAUAGAUAGCCAUAGUACCCAAGGGAUCUGUCUAUGUCUCAAGUGAAGUCUCCCAAAUUCACUUAAGUCUUAGUGCCUUUUGUAGACCGCUAGAACUAUUACGUAUAUACCAGCUGGUUCAAUUUUUCAUGCCUCUUUAUGAAUUUUAGUUUACUAGUGUUUCAUACAAUGUCCCAACUCAAUUUGCUCGCAUUUAUUCAUUAGAUUAACUAUACCAAUUUCCAAGUCCAAUGCCUCUUAGACAUUAGUUACUCUAUCAAUAGAUAGGUUAAUACGCAAGAUGUCCUUGCCGAUGAUCUCACACUUGCUAAUAUGUACCUAGCAAUGUGAUUCCCAAUGAUAUAAUAUUAAGCAUGCAUCUAUCCACUUAACAACAUGUUUUCAUGCUCCGUAUUGCAACUAUCUAACGAUAGCAAUAGUUCUGAUAAUGCUACAUUGCCCCCCCGGGCCCCCCCUUACACUUUCCAAUGAAUACAAUUUAGCAUGAAUUUUUUUUUCUUGUAACUGUAUCAUACACAUACAAUUCACUAUAUUAUUAAGUUUUGAUAUAUGCCUCUCUUAUGCAUUAAUAUGCUGGCUUAUUCAAUAGCUCAAGCUCAGAUGUCGCUUACGACAUUAGCCUCUCUAACUGCACAAGUUAUUCAAGUUCAAAGCCACUUUUAUGGCUAAUGUAUUCUCUUAUGGUCCAAAUGAGAAUUUAUGUCCAAGGCAUAAUUAAUUUGUCAUGGUUUUAUUAUAUGGGAGCAUGAUUUCAGUCCCGAGUUGAAUUUGCUAAAAACCCAUUCUGACAGUAAGUCUCAAACAUGCAGGUUCUCUACUACAUUAGAGGGUCCGAAUGCAUGUAUAUAAACAUGUGGCAUUUAUUAUCUGUCAUAUUCACUAAAUGCAUAUGAUCUCAAAGCCAACAAUUAGAUGCUAUCCAAUUUAGGGCAAUGCCAACACGAACUCUCUACUACAUUAGAGGUCCGAAUGAUUUGUAUAUAACAUAAGCAUUUCAGCAUUCUAAAAUUCACAUAUAGCAUCUAUCAUGAAAAUCGUGAAAUUCUAUUUUUACGAUAUUAAAAUCCACAUAAAUGAGAUUUUUUAUUUGUGCGAAGGGUCCCCACCGAGACUCUACGCGCUUAGUGCCCCGACUCUCUUGCUCAAUGACUUUAGGUGAAACAUUGACUCACGAUGCUACGAUUCCGAUUUUGUUGAUUUUUUUGUUGGGAGCUUUACGCGCGAAGCUGCAGGCAAUCUGUACCGAAAUCCGGCUUCCUUCAAUAUCUUCGGUAGCUCGUCGUAUGCGAACCGACUUCGGCCAGGUAGUCAGAAACCUAGCAAUUUAGGUUAUAUACAGGCUCAAUCUAGAGUCGACCCUCACGAUAUUACGAAAUCUUCAUUUUUGACCUAAAUGCAAUUUACCCAAAUAAUCCAAAUUAAGAUGUGAGCAGCAAAUGCUAGAAUGCUCAUUAGAGGACUACCGUAGAAGCACUUAAAGCUAAGGAUUAAGACAAACCCAUAGCUACCCAAUGGUGAACGCCAGACGCACGAAAACACGCGCGAUCAGAGCGCACGAAGCUCGAUUCCGUUCGCUGCCCACGCGUUCGCAAGCUUUCUCCGCCGAACGCCGUGAUUUGGGCGAAAGAUCUCUGUAGAGAGAUGACGACGAGAUAUUUUUUAGAGGGAGAAAAGGGAGGGGUUUCGUCUAACUACAAUGAAUCGUGUGGUGUGCCGGUGGUGGUAGUGGCUGGUGAAGAUAGAAGAAGAAGCUAGAAGCUUUUACUUAUAGUCUUACCCCCAAUAGUUAGAUACACUAUUCACUUCAGGCACGUUCGAAAUCUGACUAUUUUUUCGCUGGGACGCCUCUGAAAAAUGCCGGUUUAGUUCAAAUUUUACGUUAUGUUCGGUUGUUUGCUUAACUUGACGAGAAAAAAUUUAAUUUUCGUUUCGACCUCCGUUUAUGGCACGAAAAGCUCGUACGAACUGUAAUUCUUUAUCAGAUCUGUCGGAUUUUACUUUCCACCCUUUCUGAGGGGACGAAUGUCAGUGAUAUGAAAUUUAAACUUAGCUCAUAAAAAUAAUUCUGGAUUUCCUCCAGUUUUUUAGAAUUUUUGAAGAUGUGAAUUUUCUGGUUAAAUAACCAGGCCGCUCGAUUCACACAGAAAAUUCAAAAUCUUCUGUUCUCGCUCCGAUUUCCGCACGAGCCGUUCCCGACUUAUAUUUAACUUCUAUAAGUCCAAUAAAAAUAGUAUCUCACACUAUUUUUAUUUAUACCCUUAUUAUAAAAUCCGGUAUGCUACAGGGCAUUAUCCACACCCCGCAACACAACAGUAGCCAAGUAGGCUACGCAACCUCUACUAAUCAACUGCCUAGCUCGAGAGGAUCUAAUCGUCAUCGCAAACAGCGAACUUUGGCAUCCUCGGUACACCACCUCCGCCUGCCCCAGCUCUCUAAAUGUCACCGUUCGAUUCUUGCAAUCGAUGGUGGCAAAGUAUUUAGUUAACCAAUCCAUGCCCAACACAACGUCAAACUCUCCGAGUUUCUGCAAAGCUAGCAAGUCUAUGGGCAUGAUCCAAUCUCCAACCCGAAUAGGGCAACUGGGGCAAAAUUUCCGAAUGUCCAAAGAAUGGUCGGGUACAACAACUCGGCCCGGGUGCAAUAAGGAUAUAAGUGGGAUGCCAUGCAACUCGGCAAAUAGUCGAUCAAUGAAUGAAUGCGAUGCACCGGUAUCAAAUAAAGCUCUAACUCGAAUACCAUGAAAUAAAAUGAUACCGGCGACCACAUUCUCGGCUGCCGCCGCCUCCUCAGUCUCGGUCGCGUACAUGCGCCCGCUCGGGGCCUGUCGUGACCCCUCCGCCUGCCGCAAAACUGGCGGCCGCCCUACCUGGUGAUGCGCAAAAGAUGUCCCCUGGCUGGGACCUGGCGAUGCUGGUGCAGACACCGAAGAUAGCGCUGGCGCUGGACUCCUCGGACAGUCCGACUGAAAGUGGCCCUCCUGACCACACAAGAAGCACCUGCCCCGACUGCGUGAACACUGUCGUGGGUAAUGAGGACCACCACAGAUCACGUAGCGGGGGGCCUGACGACGAUCGGGUCCUUCUUGCUGAGUAGACUGGCCACGUCCUCGCGACUGGCUCCGGCUCCUGGGGUGCCUCGGCGGCCUCCGUGAGUGCGUCGGACUCACACCCUCAGCCGCGGGCCUCAUGCCCUUCCCUUUCUCCGAGCUCUCGCGACGCUCCUGCAAAUCCGCCGCUCCUGCCUCCACUAUCAAAGCUCGAUCCACAACCUCUCGAUAGGUCUGGAGGUUGGAAGACAGCACCAACCAGAAGAUAGAAGGCCGCAAACCACGCUCAAAGAUGCGGGCCUUGUCCUCGUCGUCCCUCACAACAAACGGUACACAGUGUAAUAUCCGGGAGAACUCCCUCUCAUACUCAGCCACUGACCGCUCAUCCUGGUACAAGCUGCGCAAAUCCUGCUCCAUCUUCCUCUUGACGCUGGUAGGAAAGUGGUGCGCUAGAAGAAGCUCCUUGAACCUCGUCCAAAUAAUCGCUGCCAAGUCGGUGUUCGGGUUGCCCUGGAUAUCCAACCACCAACGGUAGGCCUCGCCGUCCAGAAAGUUAGUGGCGAGCCAAACUCUGUCCCGCUCCUCUACAAAGGUGUCUCGAAACAGCUUCUCCAUAUGCAUCAACCACUUCUCGACAAUCUAGUGGUCGACGUUCUCGCCAUCAAACAUUCUCGCGCUACACCUCCUGAACUCACUGAGACGAUCCAUGAGCCGAUCCCGCUCAGCUCCCUCGGCCAUCACGGGGUAUGCCGCCCCUGUCGCCGGUCUCUGAACUGGUAGUGCCGCAACCACCUCCUCCCGAGGUGCGGUCGCCGGUGCCGCACGUGAAGAACUGGGCGCGAGGGACUGCGCCCUCAGUGCGACGUCCACCACGGGUGCUGGCGGUGUGGGACCCUGGGUCUCCCUCGAAGCUGCUGCCUGCUGAAGUAGGAGGUCCUCAAGAUGCUUCAUCCGCGCCUCCUGCCGAUGGGCCACCUCAGCCUGUCGCUGCGCCGCUGCCGUCUGCUGCGCCAACAGAUCAGUGAGAACCGCAAGCUGGGCCCUCAAGUCAUGGACCUCACUAGAUCCAGAAGUAACGGAGGUCUCGACCUCCUCGGGGUGUGCCGCAUCAUCCGCCCCGGCAGACUGGGAGCGUGUAAUCGGCAUCGUCACUACAAAACAUAAAAGCGCAAGUUAGUAACCCACGCUAUCGCAUCCCCGCUCAAAUAAAUAAAACCCCAAAUCAUGCGAAAGUAAGGAAGUGUCCUUCACUACUAACUCCCGAUGUUACGUUGUCGGUCGCCAACGUAACCCCCCGCGAAGUUAGAAGCCGUACACUCCGAUCAAACUCUAACUUUUUAGAGUUGUCAUAACCCAAUCGUAAUACUUUCGCUCACAAGUCAAUUAUACCUCGUCUCUCACGAGCCUAAUUCCUAUAGUCCAACCGGCCUAAGGUUUGCUAGGUCCUCUACGACUCAACCCUAGGCUCUGAUACCAAAUUAAUCUGUCACGCCCCGGGACCGGCGGAGGCCCUCCCAGUAGCGUGCCCAGACCCGCCAUAUGUCUACACAUAUAAGGCGUCUACAAUAAAAGCGGAAGUAAAAGCAAGAGAUAGAACAAAUAGAAUGAAUAGCAACUAAUGAUAUAAGAGCAAGUAAAGUUCUAUCAUCUAAACCAGAGUAAAAGAAACAUAUCUAAACAAUAAAAGUAGCCAUAAAGUGGUACAAUAUCUGUCUCAAAGGUACACAAAAGGGUGGUCUCUAGUACACUGGUACAACUCUCAACCUCUCCAAAAAGAAAUACAUCGAGAGGUAGACCACCUAAACUCAUCUCUCGCUGAAGGGCUAACUCGAAGCGAUGCCCUUCCCACGGUCCCUAGCCUCUCCCGACGUGGAAGGCUCUGAAAGAAAAUAUAAAACAGAGGGCGUGAGAACUAUAAUUUAUAGUUCUCAGUGGGCAAUUACUGACAUCAGUUCAAUGCACCACUAGGCCCCAAAAGAAAAAGGUAAGUCCUAGAUAGUGAUAACAAUAAAUAAAUUGCAAAUAUGAAAGCAUAAUUAAAAGCUACACUAAUGCAUUGCAAUUAAACAUGGCAUUUAUAUAAUGCACCUUUACCUUGUCAUGAAUGCUAUGCCUCUACAUGGCCACAUGGGAUAUCAUGAGAUACUUUAUGAAGUUAUGAAAGUGAUACUUUAUCAUAACUACAAUGCGUGUAAGAAGGCAAUAAACGACGUCUCCUAGCAUACUACAUGUAUAUAUGCAUACUCAUGUGUCCAACACUAUGCUAGAAGCAAACCCAAGUAAUCUAAUUACUACUCUCUAUCUAGUAGUGAUUGUCACACACUCAAUACUGUGUCGGUUUCCAUUUCCAAUUAAGGACCUACCCAAAGUAGUCCAGCUUGUGCCGCCUAAGUGCCUGUGGUAGCCCAACAUCCCUACUCUUGGAAUGUGUCGCCGCACUCUGACCUCUGAUAGCUUCUUCUUCAUAACCGCACGGAUUUGCGAAAAUAUAAUCGCCGUAGACGCCAAACUCCGAUCCGGCUUCGGGAGACGACCGACUCACAAGCAGUCGAAGAUGAGUCACAAAGCCAAGCAAGCAUCAUCCAACGUCUCAUAUCUCAAUCCUCGUUCCUAAACAUGUGAUCGUCACUACAUUCCGAAGAUCUAGUUCAAUGUCACAAAGCAAGUUCAACAAAGCACUAUCCAUCGCGGCGCUAGGUCCUCUUGAUGACACUUAGGCAAUUGAUUUCAACAUAAGCCAAUCCCCGCAAUGCUAACCACCAGGUUCACAGCAUUGCCGCGAACUCGAUCCGCUUGAUACAUUACUUCUCUAAUUCGGCAUUCAUUCUAUUCAAUAGCCUCUAUAUGGCGAUCUUGUCAUCUUUCAUGCUCACAAAUUAAAUCAAAGUUUAAAUGCAUGAAUCAAGCCCAUUUACCAGCUAUAUGAAGUAGAAAACCAAUCUCAUAAAUGCGAAAUGCAAAACGCAAAGUCUCGCCAACUUCUACUACUACAUAGAGGUCUAAAAUUUUACUAUAUGCAAUAUGGCAUUUUAAGCAUUCCUAAUAAUUCACAAUAAAUACAUACUAAGCAAGGAAUAUGCAUGCUUUUUUGAAUAACCGAUACUUAUUCAUCAACAUUAUGCCAAAGAAUUCCAUGUGUGGCUAGUCAAACCACCGAACUCGUCGCGCUAGGGCCCCGUUUCCUCCGAACAGGAGUUGUCCAAAGAGAUCUCAAUAUCCUAAAAGUAUUGAGCGAAGAGAUACAUCCGCAUUACGAUCAACAUAAGAUCAAUAUUAACCAACAAGACAAAAGGGCUAAAACUCACACUCAAGGAAGAAAUGUCAACCCCGGACCCGAUACUCAAUUUGGGCCGGUCCCUGAGCACGUCAAUCAAGACGCCAACGGACAGAGUUCCCCUACCGCCACAAGCCAUGCACAUUACAAAUCAAACAAAAUGCAUCUACGGAAACAUACAACACGCUUACACGAGUUAAGGCAAUAGCCAAUUAGUGAGAGAAGGAACAAACUAAACAUCUACAACAAUAAUAUGCAUCAUUUUAAUCAUAUACAUUGCAUUCAUUCUUACAUUUGGAUUCUCUUGUAUUUCAUUACAUCAUUUCAUCAUUUCUUCUCUUACAUCACAUUUUUCUCAAAUGAGCUUUCAUUCUUAUACUUUACCAUCACUAAUCAUCAAAUACAAAAAUGAACAAAGGGUAGCUACUAACAAAAUAAACCCAACUCGACUCUGGUGGCCUCUGUCUAAGGCCGGAUAACAUUUGCCUCGUCGCUCGCUCGUUCGCUCGGUCCCGGCUCUGUGGAAUAGUGGGUUAAACAUACAACAAAGUUCCAGUGGUUCGGCCCCAACAUCACCGACCUUCCCACUAGGACUAACUCAGGCAUAUAAGAAAGAAUAAGCUGUAUAGUAACCAAUCUAUCACAUGAUCCUAAUAUGCCUGAAAAAUAGCAAAGAAAUACGCUCAACAUUAAAAGAUGCAGAUUUAUGCAAAUUUUCUCGUUCUUAUAUCUUUACACUUUGAUCUUUUUCUUUAAUCUUUGCUCUUUAAUCUCAAGGCUAACACCGGGGUUUUGCCACAUUAACUGCUUCACAUAAGUCCAUCAUCGCAGAACUCACACCGCUAGGACCGUCUUCGGUCUACUCCAACCCGUGAUGCAUAACUCCGGACGCAUCGCCAGGGGAAGCGACCGCCCUGAGCACCGAACUCAUAGCAAGUAUAUCGAAUCCUUAACUCCAAAGAUUAUAAGUUCAAUCUUGACUACACACUAACUCUAGUGUUCUUCACAUCACUUUAUGUUGCCACUCUAGCAAUCAAUUUCUCUUUUGCAUUUCUUUUACUUUUGCUAACUCUAGCAAUCACAUUCUUAUCAUUACUUUACUUAGCUAUUCUUUAGCUUCACAUCUUUAACUUUACAACGUUCUUUAUGCCCACACUUAACGUAGCUAUUACUCAUUGAUAUCAUCUUUACCUCGCAUUAGUUCUUUGCCUCACACUAACUCAGUGUCACUUUAACAUUUUUCAAAUGCCACUCGAUCUAUGUCAUCGUGCCACUAGGUUCUUUUGGCUCCACUUUGUACUCCACAUUUCUCUCAUACAUACAUAUAGGUUUUAACAUUCAUAAGGUCCUGACCCUCACAUUAAGCAAGUUUUACUCACAUCAUGCAACAUCACAUUUUUUAUCAUCACUUUACCUAAAAUGCAUGCAACAAGUAUAAUAACAUAGCUCAAUUGAAAUGACACAUUAGGCAUAAGGGAGAAGUUCAAACGAGUUGGAAGCACCACCCACCUCGUAGGUCUCUUUAGGUGCUCCGACGAUUUCUUGGGAUUUUAGACACCCGGUUCACUACCUACAGGAAAACGAACCCUAUUAGCCAUUUUGCUCAUAUUUUACUUUGCUUUUCGUAAUGCUAAUCCAAGCGCACAACGCGUCGGAAAUACCCCCAAUUAGGUUUUUGAAAGGUCAAUUCACUUAGAAAUCUCCAAAGAGCAAAAGCCCACAAAUUUUGGUACUCUAGCUCCAUACAUAUACUAAAACCUAGGGUUUGAUCUCAUUAGGAAGCAAAAGUAGCUUCAAUACUACUCCAAAAUAGUCCAUUCGAACCAUCUUUAAACAAAGCAAUAACCCUUACUUAAAGGUUCACCAUGAGAGGUGAUGAACCUCACCUCAAGCCCUCACCAUUUUCAUGGCCUUGAUCUCAAAAGAAGCAAAGGAAAAGCUUCAAAUACCAAAUGGUUCGCAUAAAAUCUAUUUUAGUCAUUUCAAGAACUCAUUCAGGGAUUUUAACUGAUAGUAUGGAUCAAAGCUUACCUACAAAAGCUUUCCUAUGUUGCUCCAAGGAGUGAAGAAGAAGAGGUAGGCUCACUACUUGAAUCUUCUUCCUUCACCUUCUUUCCCCUCUUGUCCUUCCUUUUCUUUCUUAUCUUCUCUCUCCUUUGGUCUUCUAGAAGGAGAGAGGAAGAUGAGAGUGUGAAGAGGGAGUAGAAUGAGAGAAACCCUCAGUGUCCCUCAUACAAACCAUUGGGUCCUGCAAAAGCAUCAAUAACCCCUCAACCUUUAUACUCCUUCCACAAGCCCCUGGACUGGGCUGUUCGCGCCAGCAGGAACCCGUCUCCUCCUUCAGUGGACCGGUUCCCCGAAGGUCGUCCCAGCGCAGCAGAAGCUGCCUGCGCGCCAGUGCCAUACCGGUCUCUCUUUGCGGGACCGGCUCCUCAGGCAAGGAUCGUAUCCGAGAGCUAAAUUUCUCAGAGACUUAGCCGAUAUUGGCUGCACAAAUCAUAUCGCGUCUGGACGUCUUAUCCACCUGUCACUCGCACCCGGAUACUCGUUCCCGGGCACAUCGACAAAUCCGCCGUAAUACAAAGAAAUAUCCCUUGUAUACGAAGCGUCAAAGUAACCUUAAAAUAACGAUACACAAACAGUACAAAGAGCUGCUCCAACAAAAACAAAUAACUGAGUUCAUAUAAUAUACUAGAAUACACAAAAUACAAGGUUACUCGCACUGGCGAGUAAACAACUAAAUACAUAAAUCCAAAACAACAACUACCUUGCAGUUAUGAAAGCCUCUAGCUCUGACUGUCGGGCUAGGAGCUCUAGCUUCGCAACCCCUGCCUGAUCCUGGUCGCGCGGAAUAUCAGCAGCGCACCUGUGGCCGUGCAAAACAGAGUAACAACUGGCGUGAGACACUACUGUAAAAACAGGUAUGUCUACCCAGUGGGUGCCGCCAAACAACAUCGGUCUAACCCACACGUAAAGUUACAGAAAGAGAGCAAAAAAAAGUAGGAAAAGCAGAAGUACACCUACGCGUAUCAAAUCAACACGCCAUCAUGCCUCACACUAACCCAAACUGUAGGAAAUGUCAAAUCUGACCUAAUCCAAUCGGACUGUAAACAUAUCCCUCCUUUGACUGAAUACACGUCCCUGCCGUUCGACUACCAGCUCCCCCCACUAUAACUUGGUCUUGGAGAAGCAAUCCAACGGCAUAGCGACACCAACCGCGAAAGCACAAAGCCUGACUCCGGAGUGCACUCGUGGCCUACCCACCUGAGUAUCAGCGUAUCCUUCGAGCUCAAUCAGCUCCGACCAUAGCAAAGUCCAAGUAAUGAACUCAACAUGAUCCAAACAACCAAUCAGGUAAACGUCCCCCGCACAGGUCUACGCCAAAAUAAGGCUGAUACGGGCCACCGUCAAUCUCUGACGGCACCCAACAGUUCCGAAACAACCUAGAACGACCUGGUAAAAAUCCACAUCGCGAACCAGCACGAGUGUAAAUACAUUCUAGACUACCUGGAGUACUCGUCUCGAAGAAACUGCGACAGUACAAUUUUCUAACGGCUCCUAGAGCUAAAUCAGGCAGUUUAUACAGGUGACAGGUCCAAAUCGCAGGUUUUCUCCUAAUUCAAUUUUCAAGUCCAACAUGUAUAAUCUACUUAAUUUAUAAAACAUGCUCCAAAAUUCAGAUUUCACAAUCUACAAUUAAUCCAUGAAUUUGAGCUAACAUUAAUUACCGAAAUCAAAAUCUAUACAUGUCGACCAAUAAGAACUUAGGAGUAAAGCCGAUGUAACCCACCUCGCACGCAAAUCCCCGGCAGCGAAACACUCUCACAGCUGUGGCUCCACCUGCUGGGUCGAUCGUAGUACUUCGAUCUCAAGAAUCGCGCUAACUCCAAGCUCUACACCAACCAAUCACCGAUUCAGUCCAGAAUUUGCAGCAGUAGAGUAGGAAUGAGAUUCGACCAAGCUAACCUUCACCAAAUCUGGCAAGUGAGGGCUUCGUGGAUUCCUCUCGAAGUUCCGAAUCCAACGAACCAAGUCUCGUCGAAAUCCGAUGCUCCUACGUCGCGUACGAGCCAAAACACCGACAGUAGACGCAGAAAUCUUAGAACCAGCACGACAUCAAGGAUGGCGAAAAUCCGCACUCGCCCGGCCUCCUCGCAGCAACACGACGUCGAAAAUAAGCUCGAGCGGCUCCGCGGCACGCCGUCGACGACGAAUCCGAGCUUCGCGGCUACCUCUACGCGGCUCCUCCGCUUCGGCUCUCCACUCCACACGAAAGAGAGAAAGAAAAACUAAUUAGAGAGGUUUAGGUUGCUUCCCUUAAUUAAAUGCAUGGAUAACUAUGCAUGGGGGCACGUGGCACCCACCUAUAUAUAUAUGUAUAUACAUGGGGCAUGUGGCAUCCAUAUAUAUAUAUAUGGAUGUAUAUUUAAAGGAUACUACAUCCUCCCCCACUACAAUAAGUUUCGUCCUCGAAACUCAAACAUACCUUUGCUCAGGCAUCAAACAAAAAGGGAUAGGCCUCCCUCAUCACCGUCUCAGACUCCCAAGUCGCCUCCCGCUCAUCAUGAUUAUUCCACUGCACUUUCACAUACGGGAUGACCCGACUGCGCAAUUCUUUCGUCUCCCGAGCAAGAAUCCGCAACGGUCGCUCCUCAUAUCUCAGAUCCUCGCCAAUCUCAAGUGGAGUGAAGUCAAUCACAUGAGAGGGAUCGAAAACGUAUCUCCUCAAUGCUGAGACGUGAAAAACAUCAUGGAUGCCAGCAAGUCGCGGGGAUAGAGCUAUCCUGUAAGCCACCGGUCCGAUACGCUCCAAUACCUCGAAAGGGCCAACAAAACGUGGACUAAGCUUCCCACGUACUCCAAAUCGGCGUAUCCCUCUGGACGACGAGACUUUGAGAAAAACAUGAUCUCCAACCUGAAACUCCAAGUCUCAUCUCCUAGUAUCGGCGUAACUCCUCUGUCGGCUCUGUGCUGUCAAAAGGUGUCGUCGAACGACUCUCACCUUUUCCUCAGCCUCAAGUAGAAUCUCUGGUCCAAGUGUCUUCCGCUCUCCCACAUCACUCCAAAAUAAGGGGGAUCGACAUCUGCGUCCAUGCAACGCCUCAAACGGAGCCAUCUGGAUGCUCGCUUGAUAGCUGUUGUUGUACGCAAACUCAACCAGUCUCAAAUGUCGAUACCACCCUCCUCCAAAGUCCAGGACACAUGCCCUCAGCAUGUCCUCUAGAGUCUGAAUGGUCCGCUCUGACUAACCAUCUAUCUGUGGAUGAAACGCCGUGCUAAAAUGUAGCUGUGUACCCAAGGCGGUCUGAAGACUCCUCCAAAACUGGGAUACAAACCUCGGGUCUCUGUCUGAUACAAUCGACACUGGCACGCCGUGCAGCCUAACGAUCUCAUCCAAGUAUAGCUGCGCAAGUCUCUCCCUGGACCAGGUAGUCUGAACCGGUAGGAAGUGAGCAGACUUGGUCAGUCUGUCCACUAUCACCCAAAUCGCGUCGUAGCCACCCUGCGCUCUAGGCAAUCCAACGACGAAGUCCAUCGUGAUGUGCUACCACUUCCACUCGGGAACUGGCAGACUCUGAAGCUUGCCAGCAGGCACCUGAUGCUCGGCCUUCACCUGUUGGCAAGUCAAACACUGAGCCACAAAUCUGCCAAUGUCCCUCUUCAUUCCAGGCCACCAGAACCGUGCCUUAAGAUCCUUAUACAUCUUGGUUCCCCCAGGGUGAACCGUAUAAGGGGAACAAUGAGCCUCUCUCAGAAUAUCCGCUCGAAUCUCCGGAUCCACAGGCACACACAGUCGGUCCCUGUACCGUAGUACUCCCGAACUGUCCAAAGCAAAACCCUCAGCCUGCCCCCUGUCUAGCUGCUCUCUAAUCCUCAACAAGUACGGAUCUCCACUCUGUUUCUCUCGGAUCCUAUCCAACAGAGUGGGCUGUAAAACUAGAGACGUCAGCCUCGCCGUAGACCCAGGGGGUACUAUCUCGAGUCCCAGCCGCUGUAGCUCCUCGAGUAGGGGUCUCUGCUCAGUAAUCCUCAAACUCAGGCUCUGCACUGACUUCCUGCUCAACGCAUCUGCCACCACAUUCGCCCUGCCGGGAUGAUACUGAAUACUAAUGUCAUAGUCCUUCAGUAACUCCAACCACCGGCGCUGCCUCAGAUUCAGCUCCCUCUGUGUGAACAGAUACUUGAGACUUUGAUGAUCGGUGAAAACCUCGCAGUGCUCGCCGUACAAGUAAUGCCGCCAGAGCUUCAAAGCAAAAACCACCGCGGCAAGCUCCAAGUCAUGCGUAGGGUAAUUCUUCUCAUAAUCCUUUAACUGCCGUGAAGCAUAAGCAAUCACCCUACCAUGCUGCAUCAGCACGCAACCAAGUCCACUGUGCGAUGCAUCACUGUAGAUCACGAAUCCAUCCCCCAUCACCGGAAGGGCAAGGAUAGGAGCCGACGUCAACCUCAGUCUCAACUCGUCAAAGCUCCUCUGACAGUCGUCGCUCCAGACAAAACGAAUCCCCUUCCGCGUCAAGCGUGUGAGGGGUGUGGAAAGCUUCGCAAAGCCUUCCACAAACCGACGGUAAUAUCCUGCCAGUCCCAGGAAGCUCCGUACCUCAGUCACCGUCGUCGGUCUAGGCCAAUCUCGAAUCGCCUCAAUCUUCUUCGGGUCCACUGCUACGCCCUCGGCUGAAAUCACGUGGCCCAAGAAAGCGACCUCCCGUAACCAAAACUCGCACUUCUUUAACUUGGCAUACAACUUCUUCUCUCGCAGAAGCUGUAGCACAAUCCUCAAGUGCUCCUCAUGCUCAGCAUCGCUCCGGGAGUAAAUCAAGAUAUCAUUAAUAAAGACUACCACAAACCUAUCCAAGAACGGCUUGAACACUCUGUUCAUCAAAUCCAUGAAUGCGGCAGGGGCAUUCGUCAAUCCAAAAGGCAUCACCGUAAACUCAUAAUGCCCGUACCGAGUCCGAAAAGCCGUCUUGGAAAAUCCUCGGCCCUCACCCUCAGCUGGUGGUAACCUGACUGGAGAUCAAUCUUCGAGAAGACAUAAGAUCCCUGCAGCUGAUCAAACAAAUCAUCAAUGCGCGGCAAGGGAUACUUAUUCUUGAUGGUCACUUUAUUCAGCUCCCGGUAAUCCACACAUAACCUGAGCGAACCAUCCUUCUUCUUUACAAAUAGCACUGGCGCUCCCCAAGGCGACACACUGGGUCUCACAAACCCUUUAUCCAUCAAAUCCUGAAGCUAUGCCUUUAGCUCUCUCAGCUCUGCCGGUGCCAUCCGAUAAGGUACCGUUGAGAUUGGUGCAGUUCCAGGAACUACAUCAAUCACAAACUCAAUCUCCCUCUCCGGCGGCAACGUAGUCAACUCAGGGAAAAAUACAUCUGGAAACUCGCGGACUACUGGGAUGUCCUCAAGUCCCGGCGCCGCCGUUGGUACCUCCACAAUAGUCGCUAGGAAAGCGAUACACCCGCUACUCAGCAUCUGUCGAGCCCUCGCCGAAGAUAUCCAGGUGGCAAAUAGCGUGCUCCUGCAGCCUCUGAAAGUGAACUCCUCCUGACCUGGCUCGCGGAACGUCACCGUCCUCGCUCCACAGUCGAUCGUAGCGUAGUACCGCGCCAGCCAAUCCAUACCGAGCACGACGUCGAAGUCCUGCAGCUGCCCUAACACCAACAAGUCUGCAGGCAUGACACACGAGUCCAACUGCACCGGACACGACAAACAACACUCCGCAACCAGUAAAACAUGGUCCGGGAUCUGCACCUCUCGUGCCUGUGACAAUGCCCCUAACUCUAGCCCAUGCAACAAUGCAAAUGCUCGGCUAACAAAGGAAUGCGAUGUACCAGUGUCGAAAAGAGUGCGAACUCUAAUGCCAGAAAUCAAAGUGAUACCUGCCACCACUCGGUCGGCUGCUGUAGAGUCCUCCACCUGAGCUGCAUAGACUCUACCACUCGGAGCCUGCUGUCGAAGCUCACCCUGUCGCGGCAUGGACGACCUAUCCUCCUGGCGGUAACUCGGUGCUGCUCUGUAAGUCUGCUGAGGUGCUGGUGGAGCUGAAGCUGAUGAUGGUGCUGGAGAUGCUGCUCGAGGACAAGCUGCCCUCAUGUGUCCCGGCUGACCACAUCCGUAGCACCGGCCCUCCCUCUGCUCACACUGUCUGGGCCAGUGUGGUCCUCCGCAGAUCACACACUGCGGCGCCCUCUCAGGCUGUCCUCUCUUACGGGAGUCUCUGGAUCGCUGACGUCCUGAGAACCCACGACCCUGAGAACGCGAUCGUGGAGGUCUCGGCGGACGCCUGCUACUCGAUUGGCCUCCGUCGUCUGGAGCUGGGCGCUUCCUGUCCUGAGUCUGUCCCGGCUCCUGAGCCCUCUCUCGCAGUGACACCUCUCCUCUCUCCUCCCAUAGUGCUUGCUCAAUGGACGCGUCCAAAGUCCUCGACCUCUGCGCCCUAACGAACCUGAACAGGUCGGGUCUCAAACCCUGCUCGAACAAGUAGACCCUAUGUGCCUCGUCUCUGGCCACGAACGGAACACAGUUCAGGAGUCUAGUAAACUCCCGAACAUACUCCUGAACUGUCCGCUCGCCCUGCUGGAUCCUCUUCAAAUCCUCCUCAACCUUCUGUUUCAUGCUGUUCGAAAAAUACAUCCCAUACAGCAUUCCACAGAACUCAUCCCACCUCAGCUGCGCUGCCUCCAGUCUCUGGUCUCGCCUCACUCUCCGCCACCAGUCACGUGCAUCACCUGACAAACAGUGUACUCCCAAAGGUACCUGCUCCCCCUCUGGAACGUACAGAUCCUCGAAUAACCUCUUCAUAGCACUGACCCAACCCUCAACAACCCAGGCCUCAGUGCCUCUACCAUCGAAGAUCGGUGGAUCAAAUCGGCGGAAACGAGUUAACCUCUCCGUCCACCGCUCCUGCUCGGCCUCAGUCAAUGGUACAGGCCCCCUGGCAGGCGCAACUGGCGCUAUAGGAAUCUCCACCGGUGGGGGCAUAGCUGCGGCUGGAGCUGACGCUGGAGUAGUCGGGAGUGGAACAGUCUGCUCUGGUACACUCGGUGCUGAACUCGGUGACUGAGCUAUCCUCUCACACAACCUCUGCAACAACUCUCCCUGCUGCCUCGUCACCUCAGUCAGGGCAGCCAACUGUGCACUCAGAUCAGGGGGUGCGCUAGCCUCAGGUCGCGCACUCGGCUCUCCAACAGGGGGUGCACUAGCCUCCGGUCUGUCCCUCUGCUCCUGCCGAGCACUCUGCUCCAUCUGCUCAGAUCUCUCAGAAGGUCCCGCACGAUCCCGCAACGACGGUCGACCUCGGCGACGAUACAUAGCUGAAAAGAAACAAGUCGGGGUCAGAUACACGCAACACUCUAGACCCAAUCAACGAAACUCGGGAAGGCGGUCCCUGUUUUCCUCCAAAAUUAUGUCGUCUGCAGCCAACAUAAUUUUUCAGGCCAAAACAGGAACUCCUUCAGUCACUCACUCCACUCUAGGAGGAAUUAGAACAAAUAAUCAUUGACCUUCGCAAUUAAAUGACGCCUCUCGCGUCUUGCUUCCUAAGGUUUGCCAACUUAGGGUUUCCUAGGUCCCAACGACCUAUAGCAAAGCUCUGAUACCAACUUAAUCUGUCACGCCCCGGAUAUCUCGUUCCCCGGGCACGACGACAAAUCCGCCGUAUACAAAGAAAUAUCCCUUGUAUACGAAGCGUCAAAGUACCUGUAGAAUACGAUACUACAAACAGUAGCAUAGAGCUACUAAAAAAAACCUAAAUAACUGAGUUUCAUAUACAUAGCUAGAAUCCAAAAUACAAGGUUACUCGCACUGGCGAGUUAAACAACUAUGUACAUAAACUCCAAAACAACAACUACCUGCAGUAGUGGAAAGCCUCUAGCUCUGACUAUCGGGUAGGGCUCUAGCUCGCAACGCCCUUGCCUCGAUCCUGGUCGGCGGAAGAUGCAGCAGCCGGCACCUGUGGCUCUGCAAAACAGGAGUAACAACUGGGCGUGAGAACUACUGUAAAAACAGGUAGUCCUCAGUGGGUGCCGCCCAAAAUAACAUCGGUCUACCCACUAAGUCUACAGAAGGGAGCAAAAAUAGUAGGAAAAGCAGGAAGUACACUCUAUCGCUAUCAAUCACUACGCCAUCAUGCUCUACACUAACCAACUGUAGGAAAUGUCAAAUCUGACCCAAUCCAAUCGGGACUGUAAACAUACCCGUCCUUGGGACUGUGAAUACACCCGUCCCUGCCCCGUUGCGACUAUCCAGCUACCCCCACACUAACUGGUCUGUGGAGAGCAAGUCCAACUGGCAUGAGCGACACCAACGCGAAAGCACAAAGCCUGACUCCGGAGUGGCACUCGUGGGCGCUACCCAACCGAGUAUGCAGCGUAUCUCUGUCGAGCUCAAUCAGGCUCCAACUAGCCAAAGUCAAGUAAUCGACUCAAACUGAUCUAACAACCAACAGGUAACGUGCCCUCGGCACAGUCUGACGCCAAAAAGGCGAUACGGGUCGACGGCACCUAACAGUCCGAAAAAACCUGAACGACCCUGUAAAAAUCCACUUGGCGAACCAGCACGAGUGUAAAUACAUUCUAGACUACCUGGAGUACUCGUCUCGAAGAAACUGCGACAGUACAAUUUUCUAACGACUCCUAGAGCUAAAUUAGGCAGUUUAUACAGGUGACAGGUCCAUAUCGCAGGUUUUCUCCUAAUUCAAUUUCAAGUCCAACAUGUAUAAUCUACUUAAUUUAUA